UUAUGAGUAGCAAACUUACAUUUGUCUGAAAAAGAAAAAAAAAAGUUCUCAUCAGAUUUGGAGAAAGAUGUAGAGCUGAUUUAAACUAAUUGAAUUAAGGCUUUAUUGAGUUGAUGAGUCAAAAAGCGUCAAUAUUUGCAGGGAAAUUUAAGCAGAAAUAUCUUGUCUGUUUUACACUCCUAUGAACACUAUAAGCUAGUCAUGUUUUACACACUUACGAACCAGCACAUGCAUAUUCUUGAUCCAGCACAACCUCAAAAUUUUCAGCAAUCAAAAACUCAUCAAUUUUCCAUUUUAGAGGUAAUGGUGACUUCUUCCUUGAAAGGCUGAUGCUAAAUUCCUUCCAUCUCUUCAAAAUGGAUACACAUUAGCUUAGUAUAAUGGAUCUUUAGUGUCUCUUACCUUUAGUUUGUACAUGACACCAACUUUUAAGUGUCAAGAUUUCAUAAAUUGAACUCAUUCACUUAGCUUUCUGAUUUUAGGUCAGGUCUUAAGAUCAAGUUAGGAAAAAGAAAAUUCUCUGGAAUCAAUAUGGAUUGGGUUCUCCUUAGAAGUCCUGCCUCUUCUAUUGGGCACAGAACCAUUGGUUGCCCUACUUCUUACCGUCCCUUUAUGAGGGAACUCUAGAGCUCCUCACUACUGGGAUCUUGUAGUUGAAAGAACUGGAGAUAGGUUAACCCUUAUCAAUUUUGCCUAGCUCAAAUAUCUAAUGUACCACCUGUCUAUCUUCAAAAUCUCAAUGAGGUAGCCUCAAGGAUGGAAAAAAAUUCAGCUUGAUUUUCUACAGUCAGGUCCUAAGAUGGGAAGAGGGCUCAUUUAGUGAGCUGAAAGAGUAUAAAUAUCUUCAAAGUCUUAAUGGUUGUGGGUGUUCCUAACAAAAAUAACUUCUUGGGACGUAAUGUUAUUGCAGGCAUCUAUAUUCUGCAUUCCAAUGCAUGGGACACUGACACUUUAAAAGGGUGGUAACAUUGAUCAAGCCAUCCCCCAAGGGUUUCUAUUUUUAGUUCCUUUUUCUCACUUUUCAGUUAGUGAUUGUGUCUGAUCAGGUUUUAAGAGGAAUUAUGGUGGAGAGGAUCAACCUUUUUUACUUCCGAUAUCCCAGAUGCCUUAAUUCAAUUCAAGGCUAGAAAUUCCCCAAAUUCCCCUGCUUCCCUUUUUAUUGUCCAUUCUCACUCAACCCAUUUGUGGAAUUUUCACCUCCUGCCGAAAUUUAACAGACUAAGAAAUUGGCAAUCUUUUUAUCCUCUCAUGCAAUGCAACCUUGAUCCAUAGUUAUAUAUCCCCAACAUUUCUGGAUAAGAAGGUUUGUGCCUUUAACACAUCAAGCUUGUUUUCCUCAAACUCCUUGUUUCAUGCAUUGUCUUAACAGCUUGUCCCCAAGUAUUUUUACAUCAAGCUACCUUUAUCUAGAAAUAUAAUGCUCCACCUAAAGUCAAGGCCCUUGUGGUUGGUCAAUAAAAAAGUGCAAGGCACCAGCAACUUGCUAGAGAUUAUUAAGCCACUGGAGUCCUUUACGUGAAGCAUUGUGUUUUAUGCAGACUGACAAGAUAGUGCAUCAUCUUUUUCUUUACUGUCCUGCUUCUCUGGGAGUCUUUCACAGACCACUAGUUGGUAUUCCUUGGUUCAGAUCUAGAAGUAUUAAAGAUUUGAUAGUCACUGUUCCUAAUAGCAUAGGAAAGAAUUCAGAAGUUGAGCCUCAAGAAAACAGAGGGACUCAGAAUUUGGGCCAUUGGUUUCACAAAAUAUUGAUCUCUCAAGAGGUUUAAGUUAUUCUUUAUCCUGGAUAUCUAGAAUGAUCAAUCAGGUAGCAGACAGGGUGGCUAAAUGUAGAGCUUUAGAGGACAAGGUUUGUCAGAUGGUUUCCCCCCUCCCUCUCCCCCACCCCUACCCUCCCUUCGGUUUGAAAGAUAGCUCAUCUUCUGAACCUUUCUCCACAACUAAUGAAAUACGGUUUCCUAUCAAAAGAAACGAGUGCAAUAUACAUACAGUGCAAAUGAAUGCACAGACACACGUCUUGAUAAAAAAUGAAGAGAUAGAAAUCAUACCAUCCUUAAAAGCAGCUGCAGCUUCUGAAUCCUGCAUUAAAAUUGAAAGAAUUUCAGCAACAGAGAUCAAAGAAAGAAAGAUAUGACCAAUCAUUCAGAUUUAAGGUCCAUAUUUCUGGCUUGACCAGUAAUCAUGACACAAACCUAUACACAUAAUGAUUUUAAGUCAUGAAUCAGUCAUAUGCAAUUUAGACCUGUUGGUUAUUGUGAAGAGAGAGAGAAAAGGGAGAAUUCCUAAUUGUUAUUAUUGAAAAACUGUAAAAAAUACACAUUGGACUUGGGUAUAUAUAUACAUGUUAGUGGGACCCACAAUACAAUAAGGAAAUAAAAGGAAAAGGAAAAGUAAAUAACCUAAAUAACUAUACACUAUCUAACACUCCCCCUAAAGCUAGAGCAUAUAUGUUAUAUGCACCAAACUUGUUACAAAUGUAUUUAAUUCUAGGACCUUUGAGAGAUUUAGUAAAAAUAUCUGCUAGUUGAUCAUUUGAAUUAACAAAACUAGUCGCCACACAUCCUGAUGCGAUCUUCUUUCUAAUGAAGUGACAGUCAACUUCAAUGUGUUUGGUCCUUUCAUGGAAGAUUGGAUUAGAUGCAAUAUACAAAGCGGCUUGGUUGUCACAGAUGAGCUUCAUCUGUUCAUCCUUUCCAAAUCUCAACUCCCGAAUAAGAUGUUUCAGCCAUAUGAGUUCACAUGUUGCCAGAGCCAUAGCUCGAUACUCGGUUUCAGCACUAGAUCUGGCCACUACAUCUUGUUUCUUAUUCUUCCAAGAUAUUAGGUUACCUCCAAUAAAAACACAAUAUCCGGAAGUGGAACGUCUAUCUGUGGAUGAGCCAGCCCAAUCUGCAUCUGUGUAACCAACAACUUGGGUAUGACCUCUGUUCUCGUACAACACACCUUGGCCUGGUGUGCUUUUGAUAUAUCGAAGAAUGCGGAUUACAACAUCCCAAUGGCUAUCACAUGGUGACUGUAGGAAUUGACUAACAACACUUACAGGAAAAGAAAUGUCUAGACGAGUAAUGGUGAGGUAGUUCAGUUUACCUACAAGUCGCCGAUAUCUCCCAUGAUCUCCUAAAGGCUCCCCCUGUCCUGGUAUAAGUUUGACAUUUGGAUCCAUAGGAGUGUCUACCGGUUUACAGUCUAACAUACCGGUUUCUUCCAAGAUGUCUAAAGCAUACUUCCUUUGGGAAAGAACCACACCGGAACUGGAUUGAGCUAUCUCAAUCCCUAAGAAAUACUUGAGUUUCCCCAAGUCUUUAGUCUAAAAGUGGGUGAAAAGGUAUUGCUUUAGUUUCUGAAUACCAUUCUGAUCACUGCCUGUAAUGACGAUAUCGUCCACAUAAAUUACCAAAUAAAUACACUGCACCGAAGAGUUAUGAUGAUAGAAAACGGAAUGGUCUGCUGUACUGCGGAACAUGUCAAACUCCUGAACAAUAGAACUAAAACGGCUAAACCAUGCUUAAGGAGAUUGUUUCAAGCCAUAUAGAGAACGGCGUAACCUGCACACUAAACCAGACUCCCCCUGAGCAACAAAACCAGGUGGUUGCUCUAUAUAAACUUCCUCAGCAAGAUCCCCAUGAAGGAAAGCAUUUUUAAUAUCUAACUGAUAAAGAGGCCAAGAACGCAUAGCAGCCAUGGAGAGCAAUAGACGAACAGAAGCUAUCUAGGAACAGGAGAGAAAGUGUCACCAUAAUCAGAACCAUAAACCUGAGUAUAGCCUUUAGCAACUAAGCGGGCCUUAAGGCGAUCAACCUGACCAUCAGGGCCAACCUUAACUGUGUAGACCCAACGACAACCAACUGUAGAUUUAUCAGAGGGUAAAACAACAAGAUCCCAAGUGCCAUUGGAGUGUAAAGCAACCAUUUCAUCUACCAUUCCCUGUUGCCAGCCUGGAUGGGAAAGAGCCUCAGGGGUGCUCUUGGGAAGAGAAACAAAAGAUAUAGCAGAAACAAAUGCAGAAUAGGGUAAAGAUAAUCGAUGGUAACUCAAAAAAUUGUAAAUGGGAUGAGGAUUACGAGUAGAUCGAUUACCUUUCCGAAGAGCAAUGGGUAAGUCAACAGAAGGAGGCAGAGCCGGGGCAGGAGAAGCCGAAGGGAUAGGAAGUGAGUCAGCAGGUACCUCGGCCAAAGAAGGAGAAACAUCGACACGAUGACGGCAAUGAUAAACCUAAAGUGGUCGAGAAGGCACUACAUCAGGUGGGGAGAUAAUGGGAAGGGGUAAGACUUCAGAAACAGGAAGAGACUCAGAGGUGGAGAAGAACGGGGAGUCCUCAAAGAAAGUGACAUAAGCGGAGAGAAAGUAGCAAUGAGUUUCAGAGGAAUAACAACGAUAACCCUUUUGAAGUUUAGAAUAUCCCAAGAAGAUGCAUUUUGUGGCUCUGACAGAAAGUUUGUCCUGUCCAGGAGUGAGAAUAUGAACAAAGCAAGUACAACAAAAAACACGAGGAGGAAGAAAAUAAAGUGGUUGGUCAGGGAAAAGAAGGGAAUGAGUAAUCUGAUUGUGUAAUACAAAUGAGGGCAUACGAUUAAUCAAAUAACAUGCUGUAAGAACAGCAUCCCCCAAAAACGAAAAGGAACAUGACUAUGGAGAAGGAGAGUACGAGCUGUCUCAACAAGAUGUCGAUUCUUACGUUCAACUACCCCAUUUUGUUGAGUAUGAGCACAAGAAGACUAAUGAAUGAUCCCAUGUUGGGACAUAAAUGAAGUAAAUGGUGUAGAAAAAUAUUCCCUGGCAUUGUCACUGCGCAACACACGAAUAGAAAUAUUGAACUGGGUUUGGAUUUCAACAUAAAAUUUCUGAAAAAUAAAGAAUAACUCAGCUCGAUUUUUCAUUAAAAAUAACCAAGUACAUUGAGAAUAGUCAUCAAUGAAAGUGACAAAAUACUGAAAUCCUAAAGUAGACGCUAUCCGACAAGGACUCCAAACAUCAGUGUGAACAAGUUCAAAAGGAGACUUUGCCCCAUUAUUCAAACGCUUUGGGAACGAGACACGAGUAUGUUUCCCAAGUUGACAGGACUCACACGCAAGCGACGACAAAGAUGAAAAACUAGGGACCAUUUUCUGGAACUUGGAUAGACUAGGGUGGCCCAAACGAUUGUGGAUGAGGAGGGGAGCAUCAGUGGAAAUGCAAACUGCAGGAGUUGAAGGCGCGGUGAGGUGAUAGAGGCCUUGAGACUCACGUCCUAUGCCAAUCGUCUUCCCCGUACUCCGGUCCUGCAAGGUCACAAAUUUAUCAAAGAAAGUGAUAGAACAGUUAAGAGUGCGAGUUAUUUUGCUGAUGGAAAUAAGAUUAAAAGGACACUCAGGGGCAUAAAGGACAGAAUGGAGAGGUAAGGAAAGGAGAGGAUGAGCGAAACCAAAACCUUUAGCCAUAGUUUGGGAACCAUUAGCUAAAGUAACAAUAGGUAAGGUAGAGGUAGUAGUAAUAGAAGAGAAAAGAUCCUUAUUACCAGACAUGUGAUCAUAAGUGCCAGAAUCUAGAAUCCAAGGUCCAAGAGAAGAUGUGUGGGUAAGACAAGUAGAAGCAUUACUAGUCUGGGCAACAGAAGCAACAGAAGCUGACUUGGUGGCCUGAUAGCGGAGAUAGUCAUCAUACUCACUGUCAGUGAGGGAAAUACCCUGAGAUGUGAAGGAACUGGGAGGUUGAGGCGACUGAGGAUCAGAUGACUAGGCCACGUGGGCAGUGCGGGGAGGCCGCCCAUGUAACUGAUAACACCGAUCACGAGUGUAGCCAAGCUUAUUGUAAUAGGUGCAAUGAGGACAUUGGCCUCUACCUCGUUUACCACUGCGUCCUCCUCGAGAGCUAGUUUGAGAAACUAACACAGAAGAAUCUAAAGUGUUAUCAGAUGGCAAAGUCUAAGUGGAGGAGAUACGGAAGAGGCGAGCAAACACAUCAUCCAAGGAUGGAACAGAGGAACUGCCAAGAAUCUAAUCGCGAACGGUCUCGAGAUCUGGAUGGAGGCCAAUAAGCGUAAGAACCAUGAAGAACUUGUCAAUCUGUGUUCGUUGAUCCCCAACAUCAGUAGUAAGAGGCAUCACGGUCAAGAAUUCCUCCUUAAGAGAGGCAAUCUAGCCAAUAUAAGUAGAUAAAUCCAUGUCUUGUUGUCUGACAUUGACAAUAGAAGAAGCCACCUUAUAAAGACGUUGGAUAUCAUUUGUGUAUAGCCCUUUCGCCUGAUUCCAAAAUUUAAAGCAUGUUUUGUAGGCCCGAAGAUGAAGCAGAAUCUUAUGAUCAACUGAUUGUCAUAACACACUACAUAACUGUGCAUCUAUCUUCCUCCAUUGUACUCUGUCAACCUCAGGGAUAUCCGCCUCCUACGUAACAAGGUGAUCCUCAUAACCUUGACCCAUAAACCAAAGCUCCACAGAGGCAGACCGGGACAAAUAAUUUUCACUGUCAAUCAAUUUCUCCGAAGUAAUCAUAGGAGAUCCAGAUAUGACAGAGGAAAAAGUGGAACUUUUAGUAGCCAUAUCUACUUAUCUGGUGAACGAAAUACGUUUGGAUCGAAGAGAACCCUAAUACGGCUUAUUGCGGACUUCCUAAGACACGUGCAAGACUCGGGAUGGAGAGGAAGUCACCAGAGGUCGCCAGAAAGGCUGUUUAGAUGGCCGGCGGAGACAAAAAAACCCCAAAAAAUGCACUUUCAGGGCUCGGAUGACACAAGCACAGAUGGAGGAUGGCUAGAUGGCGUCAGGCGAGGCUGGAGGUGGAAGCGCGUGGCCGGAAAGUGCUCCACGCGCCUUCACGCGCCGGCGCGUGAGAUUCAAGCCGCAGGAGAAGAAACGCGCGUGGCCGGCGCAUGGCUAAGAUUCUCCCUCCGGUGCUUUGAGAUAACUUGAAGAUCUCCUCCUUGCGCACCUGAUGGUAUGGUCGGUGUCGGAAAAGGAUGUCGCCGAAAAAAAGUCGCCGGAAAAAUCGCCGGCGGUGAGGGUUUUCUGACGGUGAUACGGUUGAUCGGAAAGCUUUAGGAGAUGGGAAGGGUGACCGGAAUGAAACACGGUCACUGAAAGAUUUCCCAGAAUGGAUCCACGGAUAAACCGAAAAUAAUUAGGGUUUUUUUUUCUCCCUUGGCUCUGAUACCAUGUGAAGAGAGAAAGAAAAGGGAGAAUCCCUAAUUAUUGUUAUUGAAAAACUGUAAAAAAUACACAUUGGACUUGGGUAUAUAUAUACAUGUUAGUGGGACCCACAAUACAAUAAGGAAAGAAAAGGAAAAGGAAAAGUAAAUAACCUAAAUAACUAUACACUAUCUAACAGUUACUUUGGCACUGUGUAAACAAACUAGUACUUUACCAAAACCCCACAGACUGAGGCCCCAGAAAGAUGGGAGCCUAAGUCCUUACCAUUAUAUAAAUCUUAUUACCAAAGAUGGAUAGCAUUAUCUUAAGAUUCUAAACAAAAUCAAACUUGGUGAGGCUCUCAUUUUACUAAGAUGCUUUUUUUUAUCCCUUUCAUAAAUCAUAGGUUGUCUUCAAUAAAGUCAUUAUUAUUCCUGAUGCUAAACAAUCAUAAGAUAAUAUUAACUCUUCUUACAUGGGGUUGAGCUUGCUGCUGUUGCUUCUGAUGCCCAGAUUUUCUUAGCUCCCUCUCUUUGCACAACCGUGCAUAUUUUCUGCGAUGCUCCUCAAUCUUGUGUGCAUUAGGUUCAACCUGUGGAUUCAAUGUAAUAUCUAGCAACAUUCCUUAUGAUAUCUCCCAUAAAAAGAAAAGGGAAGGAAGGAUUAAAAAAAAGAAAAGAAAUGAAAAGGGUUGAGGUUUCAAAGUUCAAGUCCUAAUGGAGAUACACACAUGGCACACAAAAACCCUAUAAAAAAGAGCAAACAGGAAACAGAAACACAAAUCAUACCUUUUUAAGAACCAAAGCAAUCUCCUCAUCGUGAUCUAGCCUUGAUGCCACAUGCAAAUCAGUUGCUGCUUCUUCCCACAGGCCCAACAUGGCCCUCGCCAUUCCUCGUAUUUUAUAUCCUUUUGCAGAGUCAGGGUUGAUCUAAAACAAACAAAUAUUAUUCUUCAUCAGUAACCAGAUAGUGUUGGACAAGACGAAUUCAAGCUCAGAAAAAUCAUAAUUGAUUGAGUUGAAAUUUCUUCCACAGUUUAUUCAAGCACAGAAUAGAUAGGCAUCUAGACUAGCCUUUAAAGCUGCAUCAGCAUCACGGAUUGCAGCAUUUGGUUUCUUCAGCUUAACAUAGACACUAGCUGGAUAAAAAAGGAAGAAGCAACUCAGAUUUCCAAGGGAAUGAUCGGGUAACAAGAACUGAAUAUACAAUGAAAACAACUAGAGAUUCAACUAAGACAACUUGAAUUUAAAACAUAUUACCUCUAGUUGCAUAUAAUAUUGCUGAACUUGGAUUCAACAUGAUGGCUUCUGUUAGAUUAUCUGUUGCUUCAUCUAGCUUUCCUGCAAGGCAAGUACAGUUUGGCUAACAAAUGGACAAGUUGGGCAAGACAAGGCACAAUGAGAAAUUUAAAUCACAACAAAUUGAUGGCAUGCCUUCAGAAAUGGCCUCCAUGGCUUUUGAUUUCAACAUUUGUGCAGCAUCCUGAUUUUCUUCGGUUACAUCAAUUGACAGAUCUCCCAUCUGCAACCAAAUAAUACAAGCAGUUCUUUUUAAGUCUGAAACAUAUGAUCAACCUCAACUUCAUCUCUAUCAUUCUUUUUACCACCUACCUUUUGUGGAGGAUCAUUAUCAGGCUCCACAACAUCAGUGUCAUCCAAUUCAAUAUCAGACUCAACAAUAUCAUCCUCAAACUUGUCAUCUUCACUACAUAGAUUUGUUUUUUUGGCAUCAACAUGUUCCCCAUGGUCUGAAGUGCCACAACCACAUUUAUCCUGCAUCAUGUGACAUUUCUAUAAUUAAAACAUGAAUUACAAGAAUAUCAAACUUUUGAAAAGGAAAACAAUAAAAAAAACAUGGGUUCUCUAAAGAAAGUCCCUGAACUGGUCCAAGUGCAAUGCAAGUCAGCUACUCAAAGUUCACAUAUAUGGCACGGUCAAAAUUUGCGCUAAUUGGCAAGAAGAAUCAUAAUAACCAGGGUUGAUCUUAACAACUUUUAAGCCCAUUAAGAUCCUUCUGGUGAAUUUUGAUCAUAAUCAGAGUUAAUCAACUGGUGUCAUCACCUUCUACACCCACCAGAAGGUCUGUCCUCCUCAAUUUUCACCACAAUCAAAGUUGACCUUAAUGGUUUUUAAACCUUUCUAUUGAUGACAACAAAAUUGGAUACUGUUCAGAUGGAUCUGGAUUGCAGCUCCUUUUCUCCAUUUUUGUUUGUAUCUGGCGGUAACUCCUGGGUCAGUUUUAACUUUUAAUGUCUGCUGCUCUUCAAACUUUAUGGACGUAUUGUUAUCAGUGUCUCUGAAUUUAAGCUUUUAAAUAAAGAAAUGGCCAUUCAACUUAUCACAACCAGCCCUACAUUGUUUCUGUUUUGUGGCUUUUAUGCUUUCCUUUUGAGACAGUUGAUCUCAGUUCUAUCUCUGUCUUUCUUCAGUGCUUGUUUGAGUUGUUGAUUCAGUUGUGAGCAUGUCUGACUUGCCUAAGAACCAUGUCAGUUAAAACUCACUGACAACUGGUCCUGGAAGCAGUUUUCUUCAUUAUAAUAGAGAGCAAAGAUCAGUUAUUUAGAUGGCAGGAAUAAAGGAUUAUUUUUAAGGCAGACUCAAAGAACCAGCUACCACUGAUCCUCCGUAUGCUUACUCAGACUCUGAAAAUCCUACAUUUUUUUUUUCUUUUGGGAAGAUAUGCUCUGAGAAUGCUACAAUCAUAUCCUUGGUUCUUUAUUGCAUGCAACCUGAACUAAGCAACAGAAAUAUUUUUAUGAAGACUACAAAGGAAAUUUAGGAUACUGCCAUCAGACUCAUCCGAAAGGAAUGCUGCUAAAUUUUUUUUUUUUUGAUAGAUAAUCACAAAUAUAUUAAAGGGCAAAGGCCACAAAGCAUAUAGGGAGUAUACAAAUCAGCCUAAAACAAGAACACAAAAAGCAAGCAACCUCACCCACCCUUAAGUGGCCGCUAGCCACUCCAAAAAGCCUAAGAGUGAAGAGGACUCCUCUCCAAAGCAUAUAGGGAGUAUACAAAUCAGCCUAAAACAAGAACACAAAAAACAAGCAACCUCACCCACCCUUAAGUGGCCGCUAGCCACUCCAAAAAGCCUAAGAGCGAAGAGGACUCCUCUCCAAUAUACACCCUAUCCCAACUCCACAAGUUACAUACAAAAGAAUUUUUGAGUUUCUGUAUAGCUAAAGAACCUUCCCUAAAAGCUAAUCUAUUCAUUCCUUCCAUACCGUCCAAAAAAUACACGACGGGAUGGAAUUCCAAAUCUUUUUCCUUUUUUUCCCCACAAAAGAGCCCCUCCAACUGAAUAACGCCUCUUUAACCGACUCUGGGAACACCCACUGAACCCCAACAAGGGCAAGGACGAUCUCCCAGAGGGUCCUUACCACUAUACAGUGUAAAAGAAUGUGAUUUACAUUUUCCUCUUCACAACCACACAAAAAACAGCGAUUAAGGAGCUGCCAUCCCCGUUUUUUAAGCCUAUCCAAGGUGAGAAUCUUCCUCCAUGCGGCUUCCCAAGCAAAAAAAGCAGCUUUGGUUGGGACCUUGUCCACCCAAAUGCAUUUAGUCGGGAAGGCGCAUGCAUUGGGAACAACCAGCACAUUAUAAGCAUCCUUAACCCCAAAUUUGCCAUGACCCCCACCUUUCCAUAGUACUGAGUCCUCCUCUAAAGAUAUCCUAAAGUCCCUGAGCAUAUUAAGCAAUCCUCUAAUCAAGUCCAGCUCCCAAUCAUUAAAAUCUCUAUAAAAUCUUAAAGGAAUGCUGCUAAAAUUGUUUAGUUUAAGCAAUGGAUACACAAGAUGACACUAUCUUGCAAUAUGAAAAGAGUUCAAUGAUUAAUUAAUUAUAACCAAUUCCAAGACGACUAGCCAUGGGGUGCAUAUAUGUUGGUGAAGAUGAUUAGAGGUGGUAAUACAUAAACAGGGUAGGGGCAGGUUUGGGAGAAAAUGGGAUAACCUGGCUCAAUUUCCAGACGGCUACGGUAUUUGAAUGUCCCAGCCUAGCCUGGCCUGAAUAUAGUGUUAUUUUACCAUCUUAUCCUUGAAUGUGCCAAUAAAUUACAUGAAUGCCAUUACAUAUACCCAAAUUCACAACCCUAACCUCAUUUUUGUUUUCCUUCCCAUAGCUAACACCUCACUUUCCCAUUUCUCCCUGCUCAAGCAACAUGUUCAGCCCCUUUGUUGCUGCCUUUAUCAUCUCUAGUCAUUGAUAUCAUUCUAGCUUUAUAUUCUUUUAGUUUUUCCAUUUUAUUUUUAUGAAUGUCUUUCAAGAAAACCAUCAGAUUGUUGAAUUCUUGUUCCAUUAAAUUUUGUUUGAUUAAGGAUUUGAGUCUAGGUUUAUUAGAUUGACACAAAGAUGUUAUUGGAUUAUGUUUAUUGAAAGAAUAAAGCCGAGACUUUUUUAUAUGAUAAGGUUUGUUUUUUGAGAUUGGCUUUGUUAAAAGCUUUGAUUUACUUACAUUUUCACAUUAAGGAUUGCAAUUUUUUCCUUUUUUUUUUCAUUAGAGAUGAUUAAAGAUGGCAAUGGGGCGGGUUUUUUGGGUAACCCAUCCCAUCUCUAUUAGGGUGGGUUGGAAUAGAUAAACAGGAUAGGAGAAGGUUUAGGAGAAAAUGGGAUAAGCCAACUCAGGUUUGAGCAGGUAUAGUAUUUGAGUGUCCCACCCAAACUCCGGCCGAUAAUGGUAUAUUUUACCAUCUUAUCCUUGAAUUUUCCAUUAGUACAUGAAUGUCAUUAUGGAUACUUACCUUAACCGAGACUCAUUUCCUUUCCUCCUCUCCCCCCUCUCCCCCCUCCUCCCCUCGGGAGCUGCCACCUCAUUUUCCCAUUUCUUCUUGCUCAAGCAACAUGUUUAACCCCUAGUUGUUGCCUUUGUCAUCUUUAGCCCUUGGGAUCUUUCUAAGUUUAUGUAAUUUUUUUUUUUCCAUUUUACUUUUAUGAACAGCUUUCAUAGAAAUCAUGAGAUUGUUGAAUUCUUUUUCCAUCAGAUUUUGUUCAAUUGAGGAUAUGUUUUUGUGUUUAUUAAAUUUACACAAAGAUGUUCUUAGAUUGCAUUCGUUGAAAGGAUAAAGCUGAGAAUUUUUUUUCCAUAUGAUUAUGCAUUUUUAUUUUUUUUACAAUUAAGUCUAUUUAAAGAUUGAAGUUCAAUUUUUCUUUUUUCAUUUCAUUUUUAUUUUUUAUUUUUGACAGCUUUUCACUAAAACCUUGAAUUUGUUUGUUGAAGGUUUCACUUUUGUAUUGAUUAUUAGCUUAUUGUCUAGUUUUUCUUUCAUUUUAUUUUCUUCCCAAGCAAACAAAUGUAUGUGAUAGAUUUUUCCUUUUUUGUUAAACCAUGUCCCAACCCACCCUCCAUGAUUCAGGUAUGGGUAAUUCUAGCCCCGAUCCCCACCCAUAUCUGGUUUGAGCAAUGUAUGGGUAUAUGGUUUUCCUUUUGGUCCUAGGUCAGGCAAGACACACCCCAUUGGCAUCCCAAAAGAUGAUAAAGCAAGAGCCACUUUUUAUUUUCUUGAUAGUAUGGAAACAAAAUGCUAAGCUUUUGCCUUUUAUGGAAAAUAGACCACCUCUUCUGUCUACAACACAGCAAGAUGGAGAUAGGGCUAAAAUUAUCAGGCUGGGACUUCCGGUCUUCAUCACUUCACAAAAUCCAAUCAUUGCAUGUCACAUGUCAAGUUGCACUUAAGCUAUAUGACUGCUAGACCUAUCAAAAAAGCAACAUGUAUCAUUUAACCUAGUGCCACACAGAUAAUGCAAUUUUCCAUUAGAAAUGCAGCAUAUCCCGUCUUUUAUCCCCACGUAGAUUUGCCCUAGCUGAUAGCACAAUAUAUACUCUGAUGUUAAAGAAUUGUUUUACCAAGGCACAAAAAGCCCACUUUUUGGAGGUCAAGAACAUCUUCAAUGCCCACAAGUUACUGAUGCUUUCCAUUAGUUGAUGUUGAAGGGGUUCUCCUACAUCACCUGUAGUGAUAUGGAUUUAAGAGAGACUACUUGGCUUCCAUCAUCCAUGGAGGAUUAAUUUUCCUUUGAGAGGUCAUAUCCUAGUCAUCUCCCAUACACCUCAAAGGUUCAUCCUUGACAUGGCAUCCAGAUACUGAUGGAUUUACCGAAGUUAGAAGCAGGGCUAAAGUGUUCUAGCAUGAAAAAAACCUAGUGCACCUCCAUAGGGGAACCAGCCUUUCCCAUAGGCAAGUAUUUUGAGAUAGUCUUGAUUUAGCAACUAUGGAUUGAAGGUCCCAAGGUGGAUGACAAAUCAAGAACAUUUGAUAGGAUUGUCCCAAGACUUAUGUUAGUGUCAGAAUUUCCCCUUGUCAUAAAUGGAGGCUACAUGAAGUAAUUUCCUGGAAACCUCAUAGAAAGGGAGCAUCUUUACAAAUUCUAGGCGUAACCACGUUACUUAGCUGACCAAUUUUCAGCCUUAACUAGCUGCUAAAGAUCCCAAAGUUUUGAAAAAGAGGACAACCUUGGGCUCACCAUUUUGUUGAAGUGUUCAUCAUAAAAUGAUUAUUAUCAUAAAAAUAAAUAAAUAACUACAAAAAGAAAAAAAAGGAUAAGGCUCAUACAAAUUCUUCCCAACCCCUUCCCCCUCAAAACAGAGGAUCUUAUAUCAAAUUGAGGGUGGAUAAAGUGGCAGAAAUUUUUAUAGGAGUGAAAACUCUAUUCUUCCCUCUUAAGAGAUGCAUCCAGCUACCCAAUGAAAAAUUAUCCACAAAACUAACAAGCCAAGUAUAAUUAAAAUUGAAAUGCAGGACAGACACUAAAAAGCAUCAUGAACAACAAAAAGGAAUAAUACUUCCAUUCAAAAUAUGUAAUAAGGAGUUCUAAAAUAUUUUGCAAGCUUACACUCAUUUCAGAAUAUAAUCAAUUUAGAAGCUAACAAUGAAGGAGCAUUUGUCUUGGAAAGACAGCGGGUAGGGAGAGAGGAAACUCAGCAUAAAACAUCAUGCCACCAAUAUUAACUGAGCAAUAAAGAACUGUCACUCUCCAAAACCAGAUUAAUAUCUAUUCAACAGAGAUGGAGGCAUAUGGAAAAGACAGGGUCCCUCCUUCUCUCUCUGGCUACCAAGCAUCUAACCUAGUUACUCGGUCCUACAGGAUAUGAUGGGAGGGAUAGAGCAUACUACAAUUACUUUGCAAUAGUACUGAAAGAUACAAACUGGUGGGAAAAUUAAGUGCAGUUUACACAGAGUUGAAGGGUGUAGAAGAAAAAACAGAACCAGAACCUUCACCAGAUACUGAAAUGGGGAGUAUGGGACAAAAAAUAAAUCCACUGGGUUUCAGACUUGGUACAACCCAAGGUCAUCAUUUGCUUUGGUUUGCACAACCAAAAAAUUAUUCCAAGGGUCUACAAGAAGAUCAAAAAAUACGGGAUUGUAUCAAGAAUUAUGUACAAAAAAAAUAUAAGAAUGUCCUCUGUGUCAAAAUAUUGUGUGAAUGGCCGAAUACCUUGGCCUUGAGUUUUGUAUAUUAUAUAUAGACUUUACAAGGAUGCUAUACAUGGAAAGCAAAUAAAAGCAAAUAAAUUCCCUCAUGAUUCUAGUCCUAUACAUGUAAAUUAUAAUCUGUCAAAUAAUAUAUGCUAAUUGUACAGAAUAAUAAAUGGAGAAAUAAGGAAACAGUUGUAGGCUAAAAUAAGGAAAGAAGUGUGGGUUAAAAUAAGGAAAGAAGUGUGGACAGCAAAGCUGCCCUUUGACAGCCCCCCUCAAAUUGAUGCAGGUUGAUCAACAAGCAUCAAUUUGCUACUUAGCAAGCAAUGUCGAUGACGAGGGAGAGCCUUGGUGAAGAUAUCAGCAAUUUGUAAGUCAGUGGAAAUAUGUAGAAGAGUGAUAACACGAGCUUCAUAGGCUUCACGGAUAGAGUGACAAUCCACUUCAAUAUGCUUUGUGCGCUCAUGAUAGACAGGAUUGGUCGUGAUUUGAAUAGCACUUGUAUUAUCGGCAUGUAGAGGUGUAGGAUCGGUCUCAGAAAAAUCUAACUCCGCAAGCAAACCUCGAAGCCAAAUGAUUUCAGAACAAGCAAGAGACAUCACCCAGUACUCAGAUUCCGUAGAUGACUUAGAGACUCUGUCUUGCUUCUUACUUUUCACAAACAUCUUAAACUAAAGCUGGGCUAGAGUCCGAGAGCCCCUAGGGCUAAAUCCGAGAGCCCCUAGGGCUAAAUCCGAGAAAACCCAAAGAAAAACCUAGAAAGCGUGUAAACUCUAGGUUCAAAAUACAAGCUCUGAUACCAUGUCAAAAUAUUGUGUGAAUGGCCGAAUACCUUGGCCUUGAGUUUUGUAUAUUAUAUAUAGACUUUACAAGGAUGCUAUACAUGAAAAGCAAAUAAAAGCAAAUAAAUUCCCUCAUGAUUCUAGUCCUAUACAUGUAAAUUAUAAUCUGUCAAAUAAUAUAUGCUAAUUGUACAGAAUAAUAAAUGGAGAAAUAAGGAAACAGUUGUAGGCUAAAAUAAGGAAAGAAGUGUGGAUUAAAAUAAGGAAAGAAGUGUGGACAGCAAAGCUGUCCUUUGACACUCUGGUGUCGAGGGAAUUGCACGUAUAGCGAUUCAAAAAAGAAUCAAUCCGAUUCAGGUCAUAAUCUAUAUGGGAUUCCCAAAGUUAUUAGUAGAAGGUAAACCACUAAGAAUUGAAGAAUUACAGAUGAAUGUACAAAAAGAAUUUAAUUACGUGAACCGAAAACUCAACAAGCUAGGGAACGAUCAGAUUUUGAUUACAUCUCUUAUCUGAACUAGUACAAGAGAAAAAAGGAUCAUAUGAAGUCAUAUGAUCAAAAAUUCAGAAUCACCUGAAUCAACAUUCCAUGAUAAGCAGAAGACUUCCCUAUCUAAUUGACUUCCACUAUCAAAUUACAAAUUUUUUCCAUGAAUUCCAUUUUGAUUCCAUCCCAACUUGCUACUACUGCUUCCAAUCUAAAUAAGGUUUGUUUGACAAUAUUUUUUUUUUUUGAUAAAUAAGCACGAAAUAGAAUAAUAAAAGGCAAAAGGCCACAAAGCAUACAGGGAGUAUACACAGCAACCUAAACCUAAAAAUGCAAAAAAAAGCAAUCUCACUAGCCCUUAAGUGGACGCUAGCCACUCCAAAAAGCCUAAGAGCGAAGAGAACUCCUCUCCAAUAUGCACCCUAGCCCAACUUCACAAAUUACAUAUAAAAGAAUUUUUGAGCUUCUGUAUAGCUAGACCCCCCCCCCCCCCCCCCCCUUAAAAGUUAAUUUAUUCCUUUCCUUCCAAACCGUUCAAAAAAUACACAACGGAAUGGAAUUCCAGAUCUUUUUCCUUUUUUUCCCCACAAAAGGGCCCCUCCAACUGAAUAACACCUCUUUAACUGUCUCUGGGAACACCACUGAACCCCAAACAAAGCAAGGACGAUCUCCUAGAGGACCCUGACCACUAUACAGUGUAAAAGAAUAUGAUUUAUAGUUUCUUCUUCACAACCACACAAAAAACAACGAUUAGGGAGCUGCCACCCCCGUUUUUGAAGCCUAUCCAGGGUGAGAAUUUUCCCCCACGUGGCCUCCCAAGCAAAAAAGACAGCUUUGGUUGGAACCUUAUCCACCCAAAUGCACUUAAAACCAGUUCUCAAUUGUUUUUAGAAACAAAAUCUUAUUAUUUAAGAACUCAAAUAUGAAAAACAGUUUUUUGGCCUAUUCUCAAUGAAGGCCCAGUGCACUUAUAUACAAUGAAAAAGCUUCUGGCCUAUUCUCCUUGUUUCCAACUGUUUCUCAGAAAACUCUACAGAACACACUUAAAAACACCUCAAAUUUGUUCUAAAAAAUCACCCUAUUUUUAGAACAAAUUCUCAAAAAUCUGUUUUCAGUCCAAAGUAGGCCAAACAUGUAUUAAUUAGAACAGAAAAAUCUUAUGUUUCCUAUUUUAUUAUACUAAAAUAAUUAGGAUAUUAACUCUAUAGCAGCAUAUUCAUGUAACUCUUUCAUCUUAUGUUUUUAAACAAUAGAAAAAAUGGGAAAUCAAUUUAGUCAUUCAAUUUUAUAUUAUUUACAUCAUUUACUCAAAUACAUACUAGAAAUGGAGGCAUUGGUACCCAACCCAAAAGUACACAAAGUAAUUUAGUGGUGUCCGAGAAAUUGAGAAAGGUAUUAUAUCGUGAGAUGGGCGGGAGGCUCUAGCAAAGUAAUUCUUUCCAAGUAAUGUUACUCAUUCCCCUUUCUGGUUCUAAUUUUUAAAAUAUGAUUUGUGUUGCAAACAACUUUUUUGGUUUAAUUGCUAAAACACUUGCUGGCAUGACAUUUUUUUUUUUUUUUUUUUUACCAAAAACAAAAGAUGUAUUAAUUAAAGUGAAGAAAAACAUGAUAAGGAUGAGAAAUCCAACCCAUGAUACACAAACUUGAUCAAAAGACCCAAAAAAACCUCCGCUUUACAUGAAGAACUGUACAAAAGGAACAAAAAAAGCCUAUACAAGUAUAACAUCUCCUAAAAUUCAUUUGAGAACCUCACAAUGUAGGCCCAACCCUAAGGUGUACAUACCGGAAGCUAACUAAGCUGAAUUACACUCAAUGGAAAGGGUUUAAAAGCGUACAGUAGACCCAAAAAGAAACAUAGAAAUAAAGCAAGUCCCACAUCAUCUCAAGCAUCUUCCAAGUAUCCUAAAAAAAUCUUAGCAUUCCUCUCUCUCCAUACUAUCCACAACAGAGUGAGACAAACAAUCUUUCAAAGAGUCUUGUCUCUAGUAGAGUUCCCAAAACACCUAAAAGAAAUAACCAUCAUAUUGCAAAUACUGCUUGGUUGAACCCGCACCAUCCUAGCAUGUGAGAAUAACCUACAUAGGAUGCACCAGUUAGGACUAAGGGCUUUAAACAACCUUCUCAAUUGUAGCAUGUCACUGGUAUUUACCUUCUUAUAUGCCACUAACCAGUCAAAUGUCAUGACCUUAGAAGGCACUCUUAAUUUCCAUAAAAAUUUAGUUGGGUGGAAAGCAACUAAAUCUAAUAAAUUAGACAAGGCUUACUGAGAAUACUCCAAAAGAAGAAGGUACCUUCUUCUUUAGGUACCUUGCCUAACAAGGCUUGAGUAAGACCCUCCAAGAGAGUGUUUGAUUCAUUAACAUCCAACUUGGGAAUCAAAAUUAUACUUCUAGAAAUAAAUCCUAAAAUACGAUGAGGUUUUCAAUCUAAAUUGAAGUUAGCUUUUGAGAUUCCUAUCAAGUUUUAUUCACAUUUUAACAUUUGGUUAUCGUAAUAAUUGCUUAGGAAUUGAUGCAAAUGUUCAUAAAAUCCAUCAAAUAAUAUUCCCAAGUGUAAUUUGAACUCAAUUUAAUAUUUUCAUAAUAUUCAUAAAUUAAGUUAGCUUAUACAAUAACAUUCUUUUUUUUUUCUUAAUUUUAAAGAAAUUUGUCAAAAUAUAGCAUGUGUUAUUUUAUUUUAGUAGAAAGAUACAUAAGUACAUUUUUACUUUUUUUUAUUAUUGUCUUGAAAUGUUGUCUCAUUCACUAUUUAAAUAAUUAAAUUUCAGUAUAAUAUAUAUGAAAUUUCUAUAUUAAAAAAAUGCACGGGUUCAACUUAAUCCAAUCAAUUUGGAGUAACACAACCUGAUCAAGUCCAACCCAACUAAUGGAAUCUAACCCAAGCUCCAAAAACUGAAGUCCAACUAAUCCGAGUCCAACUCAAGCUGGAAAAAGAAAUGAGGUUACUUUGGUUUGAGUAACUCGGAUUUGAGGUUUGGAUGUUUUUUUAAGGCCAGCCCAACCCAGCCAGUCCGAAUUGCAGCCCUAAUAAAAUUCAGCAAUCAAAAUGGGGCUUGAUCAGAAUGUCAGGUACUUCAUUUUAUGUUGGACUGGUGCCAUUCCCAAAAGGAUAUUAAUGUCGAUCACAUUCAUAACUAAUAAAGAAAAUAUAAAGAAAAAGAUCAAACAAAUGAAAAUAGCUUAACCAAUUGAAGGUUUUCCAGGAAAUUAUCUUACUGGUUUUUCCGGAAUUCUAGCCCCUAGACUGCAAAACAAACAAACAAUAAAAUCAAAAAAAAAAAACAAAAAGGAAAAGGAAAAGGAAAAGGAAAAGGGAAGAUUUGAUAAGUGUACCUCUGGAGAUAUGAUUUGAAGAAGGAUAGAGAUGGAUUGUAGAGAAUAGAAGGAUCUGAUUUAACACUGUUCACGAACUGUUUCAGCUCUGAGAUCUUUGCAUCGUCCAUGGCUUCUCUCUCAGUCUCACUCUCUCUCUCCUCCUUUCUCUGGAAACCUCGAGGAUUCUGUUUUGAAAGAGGUGGAGCAGCGGUUGUGUGAGACCCGCUAGUAUUCUCCAUUUUCUGGUGGGGACCACUUGUAUCGUUCCAUUGGUGGGACUCAUGGUCUAGUGAAUCUUCAUCGUCAUAAGAUUUUGAUCGUGCGGUGGGGGGACCGGGACAUGGUGAAGUACGGUAGCUGCGAUGGAAUCGCUCUAUCUGAUUCCGAAUUUGUUCGAGAAAGUGAGGGAAAUUUAAUUUGAUGGACAGAUUAUUCGUGCAUAAAAUUUUGUAAAAAAAUAUAUUACUACCUAUUUGUAUUAUUUCCAGAAAUUAAAAAUUAUGUUAAAAUAUUAGAUUAAGGUCAGAUUUUAUUUGGGUUGUAGAUCUGGGCCCGAGCCCAUUCCGAAUCAAGUCCAUCUUACCCACCUAGAGAGAUCAGGGCCCAUCUACAUGAUGAUGUCAUCACCACAUUAAACCAAGAGCUGGCAUGAAGCUUCACUGCAAAAUCAUAUAUAUUAUUAUUUUUUAUUUUUAAUAAAAAUAUUUUUAAUAUUAAAAGCACCUUAGCGGGGUUGAUUUCAAUUUAAAAAUUUGUGAGUUUUCGAAUAGGUUCAAACAUGUCUCAGGCUCGGAGGGCUGGGUUCACUCAGAUUUUCAAAAGCUUGUCUCAACAGCCAUAGACAACAUGCAACUGGGCCACCCCUCCUAAGCCCGAAAUAUUAGUAAAAGCCCAACUAUUUUCAUUGAUACAGUUGUCUAUGUAUCCAUUGUAUUAUUUUAUAUUGCCUAAAAGCUUAAUUUUCUUACAAGUGAUUAUAUAAAUUUUUUUAAAUUAUAUUAUAUUAUAUUUAACUUGUUACAAAAAAAUGUUUAUAAACUUGAAAAAAAGUAGAAUGCUUAAAUUAAAUUAUCAAUUUUAUAUUAUUCUAGUUUUAAAAAAAUAAAUAUAUUAUUUGUUUUAUUUUAAUUGAGUUUUUAAAUAAUAUAAAUUAAUUUCUUACUUUAUAAUUAAUUGAUAUAAAUUAAUUUUUAAUGCAAACAAUUAAUAUGAAGAGAAAUGUUUUUUAAUUAUUAAUUAAUUUAAAAUAAAAUAAUAAUUAUUUGUAUACUAAAAUUUCUUAUUUAUAAAUUAUAAAUGAUAAAGAAAUAAUGUAAUUUUAAAAAAAAAUUAAAUGGGAAAAGAGGAACCACGUAACCUAUGACGCAAGGUCAACUAGAGUCGGAUCUUUUUUACAUUGUGCCUCUCAAAACUCUUAGCUAGUGAUGAAAAACUGGGUGAGCUUCUUCCCUACACAAAGGAUGUCCGGAUAGGUGGUCCAGGCACGCCCCUCCAAAACUUAAGUUAGACAGAGAUAAGUCAAGUCCUUUUAAGGAGGGAAUGAGUGAGCCAAUUUAAGUGUACGUACCUUAUUUAUGCUUUAGGAGGGUUUUUAUAAUGCUCAAAAGAAAGUUACUAUAGUGUUGAUUAAGCACUUUGACUUCUUUAUAAUGAUGAUUGUCCUACAAGUGACAGGACAAUCAUUACAGCUUUAGGCGACUGACAGGCACCGUCAGAAGAUAUCACAUGAUGUUUGAUCAUGCAGUUAUCUGUUCCCUCAACUUGUUGGAGGUGUGGGGUUGUAUGCGGUAAUUAAUUAACAUCGACUUAAGGGUUGAGGAAAAUUCUAUCAGUCAUUUUCCUGUCAGAUACGAAUGAUUAUGCAAGUCAAUAGGCCUUGAAGGCUGACUGGGUGGUUUCGUUCGUUAGGGAAUUCGGUCUUGCUUUUUGUCUGGCCUCAUGGUUUGAAUGAAAAACUUCGGAUAUUGCAGCCGCUAUCGGUAGUAUUGAGGGAAGGUGACACAUGAAGAGCCACCCUACUUUAAAAAUUGAAAACAAAAUUACAAAUCCAUCCGGACCAGAUUAUACUUUCCCCAAACACUUUUCAAGGAAGGGUUAAAUGCAACAUGAAAUAUCAGUACCAUUGUCAUCCCUAUUUAUGUUUAGACGGGGAAAGAUCUUAAACCUCACAUUCUGCUUUGAUUUUCUCAUCCACAAAUGUGGUCCUUCACCUGGCAUAAAUUGACAUGAGCAUUACAAUUAAUACAAUCGUGGUCCUCAUUCCUGUAAAUUAAAUAUAAUUCAGACAGCAAGUGGGCAGGUACCGUUUGGUAGGAUAUUUAAAGCCCUAUUUAUGGGGACAUUCAUAUGAAUACAAAAGGAAACUUUCAUUCCUUCACCACAAAACACACAUGUCCAUUAUUAUGACAUCUCAGCUGAAACCAUGCUGACGUGUUGAAAUAUUGUUAACAUUCAAAUGGGAAUUAAAUUAAAUUAAAUAAUGUGAAUUUACAUUAUUAUUAUUAUCUCUCUUGUAGUUUUCAAUAUUAAAUCAAAGUCCGGAUGUGAACCAGCUUUUAGCUAGUUUGAUAGACAAUACUUAAUACUAAUAAAUAGAAGAAAGAUUUUUUAAAAAAAAAAAAGAGACUUAAACAUGAAGAGAUACAUAAAACUAUGGCAACUAGGCAAGAUACAAAAAUGGGACUUAUUUAGGCCACCCAGCUACUUGUGAUUUGAUGUCAAUAUUUGAUGCAAUGAAGUAACUUUUUGGUGUCAUAAAAAAAUCACAAAACUAUAUUAUAACAUUUUAUGUUAAAAAUAAAAUAAAAUCAUCUACGGUAUAUUUGGUUCUUAAAAAUUUAAGGAAAAAUGUACUGGUCAUAUUUGAUUGAUGGGAUAUAUCAUCGUAUAGUAUCCAAGAAUGGAUAACAUAUCAUAUUUGUUGAUAAGAAGGUAAGUGAUUUCAAGUGAUGGAAUAUAUUAUCCAUCCAUUUUUUUUUAUCUCUUUUACGUAAAUCCACUUUUAUCUUUUUUUUUUAUCCAUCCAUCCAUUUUUUUUAACCUCUUUUACAUGUAUUGCAAAUUUAUUUAUUUAUUUUUAUCAAUUUUGUUAUUUUUUAUAUUACUUGUAAAAAAAUUUUUAUUAAAAAUUAAAUUUGUCAUUAACUAAAAAUAUAUUAUAAAAUAAUAUUAAUAUAUGUAUCAUUUAAUAUAUAUAUAUAUAUAUAUAUAUAUAUAUAUAUAUAUAUAUAUAUAUAUAUAUAUAUAUAUAUAUUAUUUUUGUAUAUUAAAUAACAUAAUAUAAAAAAAAUAUCUAUAAAAUUUAAAUAUUUUAAUCAUAAAUAUUAUUAAAGGUAAGAGCUAUUUCAUUUUUUUUAAAUAGAAAAUAGUGACAUACAAUAUAAUUUUAUUUUAAAUAUUGGAAAACAAUAUACAUUUCAUUUUAUUUUUUUAUUCAUUUUACAAAAUAAUUAUAAGUAUAACAUAACAUAUCUCAUUAGAUAAACUACGUUAAAAUAUCAUAUUUAUUUGAUAUAAUAUUAAAAGAUAUUAUAUCCCAUUGAAAACGAUAUCUUAAGAUAUGCACUUCCUAUCCAAUGUGAUAUGAUGUCCCAAUUAAACAUAACCAAAGGAAAUAAAAUGACAGGAAAAAAAGUAUAAGAAAAGAAAAAUAAAAAAUAAAUUUAAAAUCAAUAAAUUAUUUUCGCAUGUUACUUCAAAUCUAUUUUACUAAUCUUAACCAUUCUAUAUAAAAAUUAAAUUUGAAAAUGAAAUUUUUUUAACUAAUUUUAAUUAUAUUUAAUUUUCUUUCAUGUUUUCCAUUACAAAAUCAAAUAAGAAAAAUAUCAUUUUCCUGUAAUUAUCUUUCCUGUCAUUGUUAGCAUUACACCACACCUUGGACCCUGUCUGCACCUUCAGCAGCAUUCAUGUCAAUGUCCAAAGUGGAUGUGAAGAGCUAAGGAAUAGAAAUACAGAGAAGAAGGAAUCAAAAGGCUAUAAUAAUUAUUUUUACAGCAUGAUGAAGAUUAAUUUGUUUUAAAAGGUGGUCAUACAGUAUUCUUCUAUCCAAUAAAAAGACUACAAUCACAGUAAAGAAAAACACCAGACUAAAACCAUAUAUCUAAGAGACUCAAACUGAGUUCUGGGGUAGAAAGAAUUGAGCUUUUACUAGAAUUAACAAUGAACCGGAAGAAGAUUCUCCGCUGCCAUAUCUAAAUCCCUGGGCAACUUUUUCUUGACUUCCUUGAACGCUAACCCAUGGCUGGGAGAGAACUAGCAGAGUGCAGAAUUCAUGGAGAAACCAACAACAUUUGAUGCAGGGGUGCUGCCAUUAUAGGGCGAUGCGCUCAUCAUCCUGAAUCCACAGAAGAGCAUGAUUUAACGGAGAAAGUCCUCAUUAGCAAACCAACUAUAAGUACAAUUCUAUUAGUUUAGUCAGUGUCUCAUGACAUCUCAGGGAAAUUGAUUCUAAAUGGGGGAAGAGACUGUUGGUUUAAGGGUAUGGAAACAAAGGACUAUCUCAAAAGAUACAAGCAAAUAACAGAAUGAAUAGUAAAAAAAACUUAUAGACUGAGACGUGAUAAAUAUUGUCUUUGAAAUAGAUCCCUUCUCCUCAAAGGAACUCAGUGCGCUAGGGCAGCUUGGGUUCUGAAAAAAUUUCUCCAAAUAGAUAAACUCUCUAAAAAAUUUGUACUCAUAUUUAGAUAGUGAAGGAUGACCUGCUUUUAUAAGCCACUAACAUAGUCCCAAAAAACUCUCUAAAAGAUUCUACAUAUAAAUGGAACGGGUUAAGGAAUUCUAGCCCAACUAGCUUGAAGCCCCACUCAAAUGGGUGGCUCUCCCACACCUCUUCACAAGCCCAUUAGGCUAAGGAAAAUGGGCUAGCUAAUAAACCCACUAAAGUGUUCCUCUUUUUCCUAUACGAGACAAGCAAAAAACACUUUUCACAUUUACAGUGUUCCUACAUAGACAAAACAAGCUCUCAUAUGAAAGACUAAAUGGAUUUGUUCCAACGUGUAUCCAGAGUUCAAAACAACACAACCAUUUUGUUUUCAUCUGGUGGUUUUGUAACUGAAACUUCAUCUACAUUCAAUCUUUCCAUCUACAUGAUGUAAGGGCAGUUUGAGUAACAUUUGAAUUAGUAACUGAAAAAACCGGGAAAUCACCUACAGCUGAACCUCUUUGGUAUGGCAGAAUAACUUUGGGAUGGAGUCUGGCACCUACUGAGCAAAAUGAGGCCAGAACAUGAUUAAUGAUCUCAAAUAUGUUUGAAAACAAACUGGAAACAUUUCAGAAGAUAUGGAAAACAAAAAGGAAAGUUUUCAUUUCAUUUGGACAUCCAAACAGACUUCAAAAUUAAACGCACGAGCUCGACUUCUACAGUGAGACUUUCAAAUCCAAAAUAUAAUGCAAACAUCUUCUAUCUACAUGCAAGAUUGCAAACUAAAAGGCUAAUUGGAACAGUUUGGAAUAUCUAUUCACAUGAAAUAAAUAUAGGCAGAUUUGAAUCAACUAGUACUUAGUUUAUACCUCUCUUUGCGCUUCUCUAAAAAUCUAGCCAAUGAUGCUUUACGAGCCUGAGGUACUGCGAAAAGUAAGACAGUAGUGAUCGACUUGGUAUGGUGAUUUCACAUUAUAAAAAUGCAGGCAAAUAAAAUCUAUUGCUUAUCUCAGACUUUGAAGAACCUUAAACAACACAAGAUUGUACCUGCUGGAAUAUAGGUUGGAGUAGUGGAUCCUAGUGAAGUGACUACGUUGGGAGGCUCUGGUUGGUUGGUAGAUGUCAAAGCUCCUUUUGUUUUCCCUGCCAUCAACUCAUCAAUGCUAUUAGGUCCUCCCCCUGGCUGAGAGCCAACAUUAGAUGAAGCAGAAAUAAGGGUUGGAAGACCUGAGCCAGGUUGUGAAGUAUGAGCUUGGUUCCCCAUAAAACCAUCACCUCCAGAGGGCAUUAUGAUCGGUCCCUGUCCUUGAGAUGCGGGAAGUGUAGUAUUGGGACUUACAGGAGGGACAUUUCCAGCCAAUAACAUAAUAGCCUGAGCCUGGAUACAAAGUAAAGCAUUAAACAAAAACCCACCAAAAACAGACAUGUAAAGCAAAAGAGGUUUUCAUAGAUCAGAAGGCGAAUAGAAACUGAUACCUGCUCAGGAGAGAUGCCAUCAAAAACAUUCACUGAACCGGCAUAAAAGAUAGUCAGCUGAGUAGCUGGCCCAGGGGGCUUGGAAGCAUUCCUACAAAAAGAGAUUCAAGUUAACUUGAUUUUCUAGAUGUUCUUUUGGAAUAAUAGUUUCAAUUUAGCUUUCAUAUCAAUUUCAGUGUAACUGAAAAAACUAAAGUAGUAGAUGGUUACACACUUUUGAUCAGUAGUACCAAUGAAGGAACAGAUGGUAGGAUAGGAACCAGGGGCUGCUACUGGAACGCCUCCAAGAGGCUGUGGCUUUACAGCAGAACUGCCCACACUGGGUCCACUGAAAGCAAUUUGAGAUUGGAGAACUGGGUUGCUAAAAGCAACAGAAAUGGAAUGGUUUGGUUGGUUGGAGGCUGGGAAUUUCCCGACUUCAUGAGCACGGCGGACUGACCGUGCAUCUAAGUGUUGAAGAGGAUAGCCUGUCAUUACAAACUGGCUUCCCACUUGCUUUUCAAGAUUCAAAUUUUUCUGAAGAAAAAAGAUAGAUCAGUUGCCGCCCCAUCAAUAUAAAUACAACAUUAAAGCUUUUAAAUCUAUCUUUAUAUUAAAUCAAAACCUCCAUACACGGUUUCAUAUCUGCACUUCAAGUUUAAGUUCUCCUUGCUGUAACUUAUCUCAGAUACAAACCAUGAUUCAAGAAAGAGGCAAUAUCAAACCUGCAAAACACCAGGGUGUGGUUGCUGGUUAGAUUCAAGUGCAUCUGCAGUGGAUACAGACAUUAGCCCAGAUGAUGCAAAGGGACGAUCAUACACACUCCUUCUAGGCCUAUCUUCUUGAACUGCCUUAAAGGACAGAAAAUGAGGAAUGGCUGAAACCUUGUUGGGGAAGGGCCACUGCAUCCCCAACCCUCUAGCAGGCACUACAAAACCAAAAUUAAAAUCAAAACCCCAGAACAAUCCAUUAUACUUCAGAUCUUAUUUGAUAACAAGCACCAUACUCAUCAACCCUUGUAGUGCCUCUGGAUUAAGAACUAAAACACCAAUUUGGCCUCAACUCAGUCAAAGCUCAUCAAGAAUCAACAUUAUAAAUUAUUAUGGAACAAUGGAAUCACCAUGAAUAACACAUCAUAUCAUCAGCUUGAACCCCAUGAGAUUUUCAUCAAAGAAUAAGAUUUUUUUUAUUUUUUUUUUAUAUUCCAGUUGGAUUGUAACUAUUUGAUAUUAUUUAUUGCAAUAACAAAUAAUAGAUGUUUGAACCAACUGGGCAGGCACUUCUACUCAGAAAAACAUUUCUUUUUUAUUUUUUAUUUUUUUAAUUAUUUUAAACAUGGUGCAAUUCAACCUUAUAUUAAUUGAUAAUAGCCACUUCAAGCACAUGUUAGCAAAAAAUUAUACUAAAAAAAUUUAAAAUUAUACUAAAAUUGUUAAAAAUAAUACUAAAAAAAUAAAAUAAAUAAAGAACUCUGCAAUAAAGCCAAGUUUCUGCAUCCCAUUUCUGCAGCAACUAGGCGCCCCAGGCGCACAUAAGCAAACUCCAAAGAAGAAUGAAAAUUAAGAGUAGAAGAAAACUGGAAAACCCCGGCAGUUGUGAAACGGUUCUACCUCGUGCUGUAAAUGUCGUGCACUGAUUCUUUGGUUUUUUUUUUCAUAAUGUUCCGUUCGGUUGCUGAGAAAAGGCAAGGAAAGAAGAAACAAAAAAAAAGGAUGGAAUUCCACAUAAGCCCCAACCAAUUCAAGCUUUCAGCUCAUUUCCCACGCUUUCUCAGCAACCAAACGAACGAGAAAUCCCCAGAAAGAAAACAGAAUUAGUACCUGAAUCACCGGAUUCCUCCUUCCCCGAUGGCAAAACUUUCCCCGACCCCAAACACAAGAAAUCUCUCUCCAUACCGAAAGAAACACGGAUCAAAUUUGACAAAAUUCAAGCUCCAAAGGAAUCGUACAAAGCCUACAAGAAAGACGCGGCAUUCGCAACAGAGAGAAUGGCCUGCUGGUUUGCUUAUGAACCAAGACUAGAGAAAAAGUUAGCUAGUUAUUGGAGCUCUGAAAAGGAAAAUUCCUAGUGACAAAUCUCGAUCGUCGGAUCGGAAGAUUCUCUGUCUCCCGUCCACCGUGUACCGGGUCGUCAGGUUUCCCACCGGCUAUUCUGGAUCGCUUCCCACGUGCGACGGGGAAUUUGGGACGUAAGAUUAUUAUUUUAGUAUUUUCAUGAGAUUUAUUUUGGUACGUGGCAAGUUGGAAUUGGUUAAUGCUUGACGAUGACAGGAGUCAGGGGAAUCUGGUCGUUUUCCAGCGGCUCAAAUUGGCAAUUUUCUGGUCUUUUAUUUGUCAUGAUUAUUUAUUUUGUACAAAUUUACAAUAACACUGACAAUUAAAAUCCUGACACUAUAUAAUAAAAUCAAACUUUAAAUCCCGACACUAUACAAUAAAACCUCAACGGUACAAAAUAGAAAUGUAGAAAAUAAUGUUAAAAGAAAAUAAGAAUAUAAGAUAUAAAUAAUGGAAUCAAAAUGUACCUGCAACAUCUCAGGAUUGAUAUUAUUUUUUUAAUCUAUAACUUACGAUAUUUCGAAUUGAUUAAGAAAAUAAGUUCUUAUCACAUGUUUUAAAGUUGUAAGAAAUCAUUAGCUCAAAUCGAAUGAUAUCUACAUGAGCAUACUCCCAUGCUACUUUAAUUACAUAUAUGUGUUUUAAAAUUAUAAAUAUUCAUUAAAUCUAAAUCGAUAAUGUAAUUAUAUAUUACAAAAAGAGGGUUAUUAGAUAAUGUUAUCAAAAUUAAUUAUGACCUUAUUAUGAGACUUUAUCUAUCUAAUUUUAUAACGAAUAUCUACCUAUUAAGUCUUACAAUCUCAUGAGAUACAAUGUUUCAAUAUGUGAUUAUAAAAAAAAUUAUAACUCAUGAAAAGUUUUCAAUCUUUUUAAGAAAAUUAAAAUUAGAAUUAUAAAACAUGUUUAUUAUAAAAAAAAAAUUUAAACAUAAUUAAAAAUUAAUUUAUAUAUAUAUGUGUGUGUAUUACUUUUUUUUUAAAAAAAAAGUAAAAGCUGAUUGUCCCACUUCAAAUUAUAAGCUCUUCCAAUAAAAAUAAGAAAAUAAAAAAAAAUUAUUGAAAUUUUAAGACAAGGGUUUUUGACUUUUGAAGAGCUCAUCCAAAGGGGUCAUAGAUUCUAUAACCUAAAAAGGACGCAUGGACCCACUCCACUAGAUGCCAGCUCUAAGUGGCUAAAGUUCUAGUAAUGAUUAUUUAAUCUAUGCUUUUUUUAAGUUGUUAAUGGUCAAAUGAAAUUAUAAUAAGUCCUUCAAAAGUACUCAAUCAUUAAAAACUUGUAGAUCAUAGACUCAAUCAUUAAGAAAUAAUUUUGAUACCUGUAUAUUUAUAAAUUUGACAUGAGCAGAUCUCGAGAUAAGAAAAAGUGUAAGGUGAUGUUUGUUUUUUGACUUAAUAGAAAAAAUUAAAUAUUUUGACUUUUUCUAUUAAGCUAAAAAUAACUUGUUGAUAUUAUCCAACAUAGUUAAAAUGAGUUUAUUAUCAAUAAAUUUAGUUUAAUGAUGUUGGUUAAUGUCAAUAAAUUACUUUUAGCUGAAUAGAAAAAACCAAAAUAUUCAGCCAAAAAACAAACACCACUUAAGUUUGUGCAUGAAAGUCUCCAUCGAAAGCUUUUAAAUAGGAAAAAUUUUAGAGAUAGGUGCGUUAUGAGAUGGUCGAAGACUUUUUUUUUUUAAUUAUGUGAUUAGGGGUGUUAAUUUUGUGGGUUAUUUGGAUAACCUGCUCUUAUUGAAAUGGGUAUGAAAUAUAAAAAAUGUGUAUAGAUUGAGUUUGAGGAUAUUUUAAAAACCCAAAUCAGGUUUGGGAUAGGUAAGAAUUUUGUUCAAAACUCACCCAUUGUCAUUCCUAUACGUGAUUAUUAAGAAUUGAUAUGAGUUUAAUAUUUAGCUAAAUACAAAGAUUUAAUUUAACAUCCAUCAUAAUUAAUUAAUUUGUAGAUGAGAUGACUAUAGUCUUAAGCCAUAUUAAUUAUCAAAAUAAUAGUUAUUUUUAAAAUAAAAGGAUUAUUUAUAUAUAUAUAUAGAUAUAUGUUAUAUAAGUAUAUGCGUAUGUACAUCAAUAUAAUUAAAUAAGGCUUUCUUUAAAAAUAUUAAUGUUAAAAACUUAUUUGUAGGAGUCACUCUUGUUUAACUAUAAUUCUAAUAAUUACAUUAGUAAGAUAUGGUCAUUUAAAUUAUUUUUCAUGUAAUUCUAAUAAUUACAUUAUUAAGAUAUGGUCAUCAUGUAAAUCAGUUUUACUGAAUGUAAUUGAGGUGUAUAGGGUUGUUAAAUUUUAAAAUGGAAAAUAGUUUUUGAACUUAGAAAAUAUGUUCGAUAAAUUUUUUACCAAAAAAAAAAGAUUUUUAGAGGAUUUGUUUUGAAAAAAAAAUUUUAAAACAAAUAUAAAAUGUUUUUAAUUAUUUUUGUAGAGUAUUUAAAAUAAUGACUUGAAUAUCAAGUAUUUAAAAUAAUGACUUAAAAUAAUGUCUUUAUAAAACAUUAUAAAUGAUUUUUUAACUUUAUAAGUAAUUUUUCAAAAUUUUUAAAGUGUUUUCUAAAAUUUGUUGAACACUUUUUUUUUUUCCUAAACACUUUUUAAUUUAAAAAUGUUUUCAAAAAUCAUUCUCAGACAAGCUCUAAAUAUCAAAAGACAUACUUCUACUUGAAACAUUAAAUUCAUUAAAAACAAACAAUCAUUAACAUGUGUUGAAAUUUUGUUAUGUGCUUAUUAUAUUUCAUAUUGCUUGAGAUUGACUCAAAUAGAUGAUAUCUACAUGAGUAUGAACCACAUAGUGUUAGAUUUAUUUCCCUAUUCAAAACAUUUUUCAUAAGAAAAAAAGCCUUCAAUUUUAUGUUGUGGAAAAAACAAUAUCGUUAGCUUCCAUUAUUGUCCAUAGCUCAACUAUUGAAUGGUAAGAAAUACUACUUUUCUUCCUCUCUUGGACCCCAUUGUUCAUACUUCAUUGGCAUCCCUUCCCAUAAUGGAGAAAAGUUUUGCCUUUUUUUUUUUUUUUUUGGUCAAAAAUCAAUAUUUUACUACAUACCAAAAUCAUUGAUUCCAUCAUCUUCAAAAGAAAAGCUCACACCCACUUCAUAAAUCAUGACUGCCUUGUGAAAAGGACAUGUUAAAGAAAUAAAGCAACAUCAAACCCUAAAGAUGCCAACCCUAAGUUGCUAAGUCUAAGAUGAUUUAAAAUAUGUUUUUCUUUAACUAAUGCCCAAAUGACACCAUAUUUGUAACACCCACAAGGCUAUAAGCCCUUCUAUAUCAUUGAAAUUUUGUUAAUUGUAGACUAAUGACAUAGUGCUUUAAGGAUAUUUAAGAAUUCAAAUUAUUUCUAUUUUAUGUGUUAAAAUAAAAAAUAAUUGGUUAAAAAUGAUUAAAUACUCUUCAUACUCAUGAAUUUAUCCUCACCCAUGUUUUAUUUGAAGAGUAACUCAUUUCUAACAUAAAUACCCUUAAUUAUUUCAAAUAUUUACAAUAUAUUUUAAAAGAAAUUAUUAUUUUUACAAGAAAAUAGUGACGACUUUUUUUUUUAUAUCAAAAUAAGACUAAAAAAUGAUGAAAGAUUAGAUUUCCUAAUUAUUACAUUUUUUUUUAUCUUGAAUUAUCCAAUUUCCUACCUUUAUAAUGGGGAGGGUGAGAUGACAUAUACACCCACUCCUAAUUUUAUAAAUAUUUUUCCCAUCCUAUUUCAAAUACAUUCCUCUCAAAUUUUUACCAUUAGAAAAGAAGGGUAUAAAAGUACCUAUCAUAUUUUGCCCUUUUAUUUUCAACACAAGCACAUGCAUAUUUUACAAAUUUGAGCAUAUAAUAAUAAGAAAAAAAAAUGAAUAGGAUAAGCAUGAAUAAGUUAUAUAAAUAUCGAUAUAUACUAAAUGGGUUGUCAAAUUUAUAUUUAUUUUUAAUAUAAAUUUUUUUUAGUAUUUUUUAUAGGAUAACUAAAUAUGAUAAAAUCAUUUUUUUAAUAUUUCCUUUAUUUUCUAAGUAGUUUUCAAAAACCAAAUAUAAUCUAAAUAUAAAAAAAAAUUAAAAAUGGAAGUCUCACUUGUAUCGAUGGACAUAAAGCAAUUCCAUUUUUUAUAAAUACACAAGUUAGAUAAAUAGUUAAUAAAUACAUUAACAUUUCUAAUGAACAAAUGAGUUAUAGUAUUUCAUGUUGGAUCAAGAAAUUAUUAGGUCCAGGAUUUGAACCAAUGUAGACAUAUUGCAAACAAGUUUACAGUCCAUCCCCAUUAACCGCUUGGACAUCGACCCAAGAAGAAUUAAUUCUAAGAUUAUUGAUACUUCAUAAUCAAUUUCCUUUCUUCCUAUUUUAUGGAAAGUUGAAUUUCCGCCGCUUCCUUAAAAGAGAGAUAUCUUAAACCACCGAACAAUAAUAAUAUGAUCCAUGUGAAUGAAGUUAGAUAAAGAGGCUAAUUUGCUACCAAAGUAAAAGUCAUUUCUAGAAAUCAUUUUAAUAUUGAGAGCACAAUUAGUGGACUUUUUUGCUUUUGGAUUAUUUUUUAAUAUUUGAAGGCUUGUCUUUAAAGUAAUAUAUCAAAUUUUUAACCAAUAAAUUUUUUGGAGUUGUUUGGAAAGCAACCUAUGAAGUGUGGUAUCCAACAUAUCUUAUGUGUUGUCAAGCAUUUAAAAAUAUUAAUCAUAACAUAUGUUAUUAAAACACUCAAUUAUAAAAUAAGUAAAUCAGAACAAUCUUAUUAUUUAAUCAUAAAUAUAUUAAUUAAAUGAUAAUUUCAUAAUAUUUUUUAAAAAAAUAUUAUUUUAUUUUCAUAGUAAUUUUAUAUGUAACUCCUAUUAAAUACUUAAAAAGAGAAUUUAUAUAAUAUUAAUUUUAUUAACUAACAGUCCACCUGUCACAUCUACUUUUGGUAACAUGUGUAAACAUGUGGAAGGAAGAUAGGGCAUGUGAAAGGCAAGCCUAAUUAGAUAAGAAGGGUGGUUGGGUCCACGGGUGAUUGGUCCCCCAUUUUAAUUAUUCAAACAAUAAAUGAUUUGUCCGUCCACUUGCCAGCUUUUUCACUUCACCAUCCUCUGUCCUCUGAUUUUAUAUUUUUAUAUUAUUAUUAUAAUAAUAAUAAUUCUUGCUGGGGCGACACGUUCUCUUUCCAUAUUUAAAAAUUAAAAAUCUUUUCAUUCUUUAUUUGGAAAUUUAGAAUCUUUAUCAACCUUUUCAUUUAAUUUUUAAUUGGAAAAUUCAGAAUCUACAUGAUGAUGUGUAUGCUUACGUCAACCUAUAUUAUUACUAUAAUCGGACAACAUGGCAUGGUCCCAAGUUCCAAACCACAACUUCAAACUAGAUUUUUUUAUUUAUGAUAGUGAUAGACCACCAGACGAGCUUUAAUUUUACUACAUUUAUGAUUGAAAGUAACCAAAAUUAAAAAUUUUCCCCUCCAUAAAUUUUUAUCAUUCCUUGUAAUAUAAUCUUCUUUAAAUAUCUUUCUAGGUGUUUGUCUUUAAAAGACAAACUUUAAGCACACCUAAGCUCAAGGUCCCACCACUCUCUAGUUAUAGUGUCUUAUGUGCCAAGAUAUGCUCUUACCUUGUCGAAAAGGCACGCCAUUACGAUAGGUGAAUUUAUAUAUAUAUAUAUAUAUAUAUAUAUAUAUAUAUUAUAAAUAUUUCAAUAAAAAUUACAACUAACUUUUCUUGGGAGCAGAACCCAACCUUACAUGCAAAAAAAAAAAAAAAAUUCCAUCACCAAGCCCGUAGGACUCCCAUGGGAUCCAAAAAUAUAAUGGCACCACAUGACUGAACAUUCAAGUAAAUCUCAGGAGCAAUGACUGAGGCUGCAAAUAGGGUUAAGUUUGUUGCUUGGGCUUCACGCGAUGGAGUGGCCAUAAGGAUUUGUUUGCUAUGCAGGAAUCUGAAUGAAGAUAAGAUGAGAAUAAAAAUGAAUCAUAAUAUCAAAAAAAGAGAAAAAACCAAUCCCUGUAUACAGUGGUCAUUCUCUGUUCCAAUGUUCCAAACAUGCCCAUUAUAGCAAAAGUAAUCGACAAGCUAGGAAAGAGUAGUAACAGCUUCACCUUGAACAUGCACUAAUACCCAUGUUUGAAUGCUUCCAGGGUUCAAUUCCCAUACAAGGAUCCAGGGUCUCCUGGUGCUGCCCAGAUCAAUACUUCUUUUAACUUUUCCUUUUCCAGAAUGAUUAUAAAGGUCUGAGGAUUCAUUUGAAAAAAUUUCCAAAUAAAAGAGGCAGGACGUUUUGGUAAGUUGUAGUGAAGGAAACAAGUCUAUGAAAAUGAUAGUUCAGCAUGCUAGCUAGCUCCUUUAUUUAUUGAAUGGAUGUUCAGUUCAGAGUAUUCAUCGACAAAGUUUCAAUCCAUAUGCUGACCUCUCAGUCUACUUCAUACCAAAAGAAACAAAAUAUAACAAAAGCACAAACCAAUCCAAGUUCAAGAGUCAUGUUCAGGAAAAGUUAUGAUUCAUACAUGAGAAGGUUUUAGCUAAUUUCAGAAUGUUGAGAAUGGAAGUCCUCAUCAACUUCAUACACGAACAACUUGCUUUAGCUGCUGCAACAAGAAAAUAGCCUUGUUUAAAGAGGACUCCAGAAGGGGACAAUGGAUGUGAAAUAACAACCAUAUGUAUGGACAAUGGGUAAUGGGCAUACAUUGUAUACUGAAACUGAGUUGUUUCAGGCGAUUUCCCGGCUUACCAACUGCCAUCUGGAUCACGAGACUGAUAGAAAUCAUCAUUUGGCCGCACGAUGUUGACAUCCUCAAAUUCAUUGUCAUCUGGAAGCAAGAUAAAGGGUCUUAGAAUCUUGGUCAAAAAAUGCACAACAAAAGUCAGGAAUAUGAGACCAUCUAUGUUCAUCAUGAUUCAAAACUAAAAUUUUCAUAAUACUGGAGAAAUUUAAUUCAUCCUGAUUGCUUACUCAGAAAAUAAUCCCAUUUCCAGCUGGGAACAGGAGAUGGAGAGUGGGUUUUCAAACAGUAAAUGAAAAUUUUCAAUUUAUUGAUUUGGUCAUUAGGGACAUUCCCCAUGAAACAACUCAGAAUAAAGCCAAGGUUUCAGUAUUUUUGAAGAAACUGCAAAACGGACACAAUCUAAAUGGAUCACCUACUUGACAGUCUUGACUAAUAUGUUUCACUAUUGAUUAGUGAUGUUUACAAUUUUCUCCAAAUAUGUCAUUUCACCUUUUAUUAAUCCUUUUGCCUAUUCCUGGACAUCUUUUCACAAUGUAGGUAUCGGUUUUGAAAUAAAAACAAAAGAAUUAAUAGAAUCAUAGGGCCUGUUGGGAUCUAUUCUUGAGAACAGUUUUCUGUCUCUGGAGACAAAAACAUAAACUGCUUCAUGAAUAAAUCACAAGUAAAUAAAUAAAAACUCUAAGGCUAUGUUUGGUUCCCAGAAAAUUUGAAGGAAAAUGCAAGGGAAAGAAAAUAUAAAGGAAAAGUAGAAGGAAAGAAAAAGUGAAGGAAAAUAAAAAAAUAGAUUAAAAGUUGAUAAAUUAUUUUUUUGUUACUUCAAACUCAUUUUAUUUAUUUUAACUCAUUAAUAUAAAGAUUAAAUAAUUUAAAAAUAUAUAAGCUUUUAAUUAGUUUUAAUUAUAUUUGAUUUUCUUUGAUAUUUUUCAUAUGACAACCAAACAUGAAAAAAUCAUUUUCCUUUGCAUUUUUUUUCUUUCCUUAGUAUUUUCCGGGAACCAAACAUAACCUAAGUGUGCUAGGAGAAUAUAAAAAUAGGGAACACUCUAAAAACCUGUUUGCUUGAGCAUUUUCAGAAAAUUGUUAGUUGAAAGGCAGUUAGAGGAAUCUAUUCUUGAGUGCUGGUAUUAGAGAUGGGAACAAAACAUGCCACUAAAUUACAGUGAUUAAAACUUGAAAUGAGAAAAGUUAACCAAGUUCUACACAAUUGUCACCAAUAACAACAACCACACCCAUGCCCUCCUCACCUCCACCCUGAAACACUGAUCAAAGACAUACAAACAUACAUGCAUAAAAUAAGAAACCAAAAGGAAAAGAAAAGAAAAGCAAAACAUAAAGGCAACCACACCAAGUGCACGUUUGCAUAUUGAUUAGUGCUUCUAGUAACUUCAAACUUUUACCAUAAUAAUAUUUAUUAGGAGAAAAACAGUCACUUAGAACUUUCAAUUAUAGCUAAAGCCUAAGAAGAUUUAAUUUUUGGACCUUUUUUUCCCAAAAAUCCCAUGAAAUAAGUAAAUAUGAAGGAGGAUGAAAAAUCCUUCACUUGUAACACAACCACUACAUAACUAGAGACAACUAAAAGUGGAUGCAAUUAUAAACUCAAAUACUCCGGAAGUAGAAAACCCCCUACAUUGGCUCCCUGUUUUGCUAACAUAUCGACCAUAUAAUUAGCUAAGUAAAGAAUCUAAUAAAAGGAAAACCCCCAACUCUAAAAUAAUAUCCAAAAUUUGGUGAAGCCAAUUAUCAAAUUUCCACAAGCCUCUUUCCUUCUUGUUCACCUAAGAUAGGACUACAACAAAAUCUCCCUAUACUAGAAGACUGGAUAGACCCACAGCUUUAGCAAAGUUUUAGGCCUUCAAAGAAGGCCAGUAUUAUCUCCACCCUAAUGGAUAGACUCCCUCUAGCAUGUUUAGGGAAUAUUCUCUCACUAGUCUUUCAGAUGAUCCAUGAGCCUUCCACCAAUUCCUAACAGUCCAAGGUUACCUAAGGGACACCCAUCAAAAUUCAACUUGACGGAGGAGUCGUCCAUAUAGGGACUAUCUCCUCAACUAACCUAGUUGAUUUCACUUGUAUCGUCGUGAUGGUGUCUUGAAUUCCAUCCCUCUUAUUGGUCCUACAUCAAUUUAUGUUCCCACCUAGUCCAUGUGGGACCUCACAUUCUACAAUUUCAUCAUUCUUGUAUAAUAGAAAUUCCUCACUUUAGUCCAUGGGAUGACUGAAUCCAUCAAAUUCGUCCACCCUCUAUUUGCUAGUAAUCUGGAGUUGUGAAUGAUAUCCACAUCAUCCAAUCCAAUUGAGUGGCUUUCUCAAUUAUAGUUUUCUAUGUUACAUGGACACCUUAAAGCAUAGGAAGUAUCCAUGCCAAACAUAACAGGACAGGGCUUUGGUAAAGGAUAUUGUUGUUGCCUACAUGCCUAUUAGUAAGAUUUGUAACCAAUAAGUCUGCCCAGAGAAGAAAAAAUAGGAACAAGUUUCUAGUUCAUGUAAGUAAACUUAGACUCGAUGAAUAUUCUUGGUCAAACAUUUUAAUUUGGCCUACGGGAUAGAUUAAGAAAAAAUUGGAAAUCUGGUUAUUUAAAGAGUCUCCAUGCCUUAAGAUAUGGGAAUCAAUGAAUGUGACCCAGACCCCAAGGCCCAGAACUUAUACAACACCAGUCACUUUCCCCCUGCUCUGUGUAAUACAAAUAUCUUCACAGUUCAAACAUGGAUGGAGUUCAGUUGAAAAAUAAGUUUAAAACCUUGGGUGGACAAGCAUCUUUGCAAAUACAAAAUUUACAUUACUAGAUAUUGAUUAUAAUUAAAGGAUAAUCCUUUAAUUAUAAGUUCAUACACUGGAACCACUGCUUACUGGUUGCAAGUUGACAACGUCCAGUCUGUUUUAUAACACCUGAUCCAGGGUCCAAGAACAGCAAAUUACUACCCACUACAACAGGCAGCUUCUUUUUGUUAUUAGUCAGAUUUGCAGGCUAAUUCAGGAUGGCCCUCAUAAACAGGAUUAAGAUCCUAAGACAUCGUAAGACAACCUAAGAUAAAUGUUCAAAAGGGAAGAACUGUGUCCACCAGGCUCCCAGAUAUUCAAGGAACCUUUUUAACAACUGAAACUAUAAUGACAUCAAGAGCAUGAUAACACAGUUCAAUUGGUGGUUCUUUCAUUCUGUUUGCCACAAGAAUCUACAAUGCUUCCAAAACCCUAAUUCAAAUUUCAACCUGAAGAGGUCCAAGCAACUCCACAGGAAACUGCCUCCUAUUGGUUCAGUAAAACUUAGCACUAUCAAUUGUUUGAACCUUCCUCAGGAAAAUGAUAACCAUUGAUAAGGCUUGGGAUUUCAUUGGAACAGGAAAUAUGGUGUGGAAACCUGUAAGAAAGGAUGAUAUUCAAGCAUUAAAGCAGACUAAUGGGAUAUCAAAAAUAGUUUUUGGAUUGCAAGUGGAAGGAGAAGCCUACAUAAUAUCAUAGAAAUAGAAGGCAAGGAGAAAUCAAUUUCAUUAAGCAAAACCGUAUUUACCAAUUUAGAAAAUAGGAAUCAAAAUAGAAAUGAAAAUGGAUAGAACAUGGGGAACCUAAAGAUAAAUAUGAGAAACCACAAUAAAAUAGAUAGAUGGAACAUGCAACAGAAAUCUAAAUGUUAAAGACAAAAAAAGUAGAAAAAUAUUGGACCAAACAUUUCAAAAAGGUUCUACCAAGGAUAACAGUGUUACCUGACUACCUGCAAAAUGUAGUUGUGGGAUUUCUUAAAUGUUUUGCAGGUCUGCAAACAGCUAAUAAAUUUUUUUUGGGAGUUUGCCUAUUAUAGCUUCCAAAGUAAUUUCAUGGAAAGGAUUACCCCUAGGGAAAAGAGCACAGUAAAACGAAGCAGAAACUUCAAAGAAUCGGGAUUGCUCCAAUGGAAGAUUAUAGGAUACUACUGAAAAAAGCAUUAUUUUUCUUAGGUACUGCAUGUACUUAGAGGAAACUAUUUAUUUCAGAGUUUACGGCUAAUAACAGAAGUGAGCAGAUCCCACAAUGAGAUUGUACAGCAGGUGCUCUGAUGAAGCUAAAACCUCUUUUCUUCACUUAUCUCAUAGGUGUUGCCCUAGCAUAUUGUUUUGUUUCUAUCCUUCAUCAACAAGAACGAAAAUAGGAGAUAUUAGAAUUAAAGAAACAAAGAAGACAACUAGGGCCUCAAGGAGGCACAUCAAGUUCAGCAACACCAAAAAGAGAUCUGGAACAUCAAAACCAUGUUCUCUACCAAAUGGAUAGAAUCUGAAUAAAUUAUGAUCCCUCAUAAAAUGUGCAACAACAAAAGGAUGUCCGUUACCCCUUGAUAUAGUAUCUGAAUAGAAUACAAUUCUUUGUCCAUCAAUCCAACUUCUUUCCCUCCCCUUACAAGAUCAGAAUAGUUCAUAUUGAACACCAUACAAGUCAAAUGAGCUACCACCUUUAGUCAAAUCAGUCAACUUAUAAACCAGGACAUUAAAUAUGCAUAUGCCAGUUAGUAUGGAAAUAACAUGCAUUAAAGUGAGACAGAAAUAGAAAACAGGUAAGCAAAAUAACAGACCUUUUCUCAAUGUCAGUGCCACAACAGCAUCAUUUUCGACCUGAAAAGAUUCGGAAGUGAUAAGGUUAUCACUAAUUUAAGCCUCAAAUAUUCAUUAAAAAUAUAGGUACAUCCGUAGGAAAUUUUUAAUCCAAACAAAACAUAACUUUUUUUUAUUAAAAUUAAGAACCAAGGAUUGCUACUUCCCCAGUACAUAAUAAGAGGAAAAAAAACUAUCAAAUAAAGGGCAUGGAGUCAUCAAAUUGGUACCUUCUGAUCUGCCAACGUUUUGGAAUCAUCUAAUAUUUCCCCAGUUCCUACUAAGAUCAAACGCUGAUCAUUGAUUGGUUGAUCAAUGAGGGUAUGCAAUUUCUGCUUAACAUCUAGAAUUGUCUCAGUUGGAUCACACUGUAGAAAGUAGGUUGUCUUACUGCGUUUAACACGUAUAUACAUAGCCUGCACAAAAAUUACAAUCUAGAUUAAUUCAAAGGACAAAGAAAUACCAUAUCAUCAAACUUUAUGUGGAGCAAGACCUAAAAAUGCAUAUGAUGCUUUUAUAUCUUGGAUUGCUACAAUAAAUGUAGCCUAUUAUAGACAUCUCUAAACAUCUUGGAUUGCUUUAAUUAAAUGUUGCAUAGUAUCUAACUUUAUGCAGAGCAAUACUUUUUUUUUUUGAUAAGUAAACGCAGAAUAAAUUAACAGGAGGCAAAAGAGCCGCAAAGCAUACAGGGAGUAUACGAGGCGACUAAGGCCUCCCAACCAAAAAAGAACAAAACACACCAACCCCUAAAUGGAGGCUAACCACUCCAAAAAGCCUAUAAGGGAGAGCGGCUCCUCUCCAAUAUACAAUUUAGCCCAACCCCAUAAAUUACACACAAAAGAAGUUUUUAACUUCUGAAUUGCUAACACCCCCCCCCUAAAAGCUAGUCUAUUCCUCUCCUUCCAAAUCAUCCAAAAAAUGUACAGCGGGAUGGACUUCCUCAGUUUUUUCCCCUUUUUUCCCACAAAAGAUUUAUGCAGAGCAAUACUUCUUUCUAUCUAACUUUAUGUGAAAUGCCACAACCAUUUUCCAAUGAAGCUUUCAAACAUUUAGAUGUUAGAAGAAAACCUACUACAUGUCAUUGUUUAGAAUUACAUCAGAGGUGGCUUCUCAAAUUGUGAAAAUUCUAGGAGAUUUUUUUGUGGUCAGGAAUCAGUGAAGGCAGGAAAGACCACCCACUCCUGUUAAGAUCAAGUUUAUAGACCUAAUUCUAAGAGGGGCUUAGGUUUUGGGAGUUAGGGAAUAAAACCUUAUUGGAAAAUGGUUGAGGCAAUUCCAUAAAGAACUUCCCCCAAACCUAAGCCCCUCUCGAGCUUAGGCCCUUAAACUUGGUCUUAACAGGACUAGGUGGUCUCUCCAACCUUAAUUGAAUCUUGACCACAAAGAGAACCUCUUUGAAUUUCAAGUUUUGAGAAGCCACCUCCGACAUAAUUUUGAACAAUGACAAUAGUAGGUAGUAAAAUCAGUUAAAUGGACUUGAAUUAAGGUGAUUUCACCUUGUCAAAUAGGCUUUCUUCCAACAUCUUGAUGAUUGAAGAAUUCAGCACUAGCGGAUCCCAAAGAAGACUCACCCUUAGGUUCCCUCUAAGUGUGUCAAAUUAAUAUAUGUACCAACAAAGGUGCUUUCAUCCAUAUUGAUCAUAAGCCCAGACACCAUCCUAGAAAGUUUAAAAAUUAGCUCAAGGUUGUGAAUGUACGGUCCCUUUGUAGAGAAGAAAAAAAUGGCGUCAUCUACAAACUAGAGGUGAGAUGCCCCACCUGUCUUUGCCAACUUGAAAGCCCUCUAUUAGACAAAAAUCAUAAAUUUGGAUAUCAAUAUGCUAGCAUAUAUACCAUAAGAGCGAACAAAAAUGUUGAAAGAGGGUCACAUAGGCGAACUCCUCUGGAGGCACCAAACCAACUUUUGGUAUUUCCAAAGAACAAUGCAGAACUAAUAGGAAUAACAACUUUGCAUGCACCUCCUUUAUCCGAGACCUUUCUUGCAAAGGGUAUAAUCCAAGAAGUUCCCAUAAACAUAGUCACAAACCUUUUCAAAAUCCACUUUGAAGACCACUGCUACUCCCUACCUUAAUCUCCGGUUUUCACCAACAAUUUUAUUUCCUAACAGUACAACAUCAAGAAUAUAUCCACCAUGAAUAAAGGCAGCUUCCUAAGAAGGAGAGAUACUCUCAGGAAUCACAAAGCUAAGGCUCAGAAGGAACCUUCACAAAUGAUGUUAUGAAGGCCUGACAUCAGGAAAAUGGGUCUAAAGUUUAUUACCACAAGAUUACUCAUAUUUCCUGGGACAAGCUCCAAGAAAGUUGAGUAGGUACUCUGAUUGAUUAUCCCAUUAUUGUGAAACUCCUAAGCCUUCCAUUUUCUAAAAAUUUCCAUUUCUAGAAAUCUAUUUUUUAAAAGCUUGUGUUUUCUAAAGUUUCUAUUUUCUAAUUCCUAUUUUCUACAAGUUCAAUUUUCUAGAAAGUUUUUGUUUUCUAAAAGUUUAUACUUUCUAAAAACUUCUAGUUUUUAAAAAAGUUUAUGUUUUUUUCUUAAAUGGAAGGUUGAAUAAUUUUAGAAAAGAAUUAAGAAUCAUAAUAAGUUGCCAUUUAGAUUAGAUUUCUUUUUCUAUAGUUUAUUGAGUAUUUUAGGUUUUUUAAAGCCUUUAAAUGAGCUAGUUGAUGCAACCAAGAGGGACAAUGAAUAUGAUUUUUUUUUUUUUUUUUGGGUCCAUGCUUUGCAACUUGUAAAGGAGCAACUGCAUAGUUCCUCUUCUAGAUGAGAUUAAUGAAAGUUUCUUAUGAGACACUAAGGAGUUUCCUAUCUUUUGUUCUCCAUCUUCACUUUCCUUUUCUCACUUUCAUUUAUUUAUUUUUCCCUGCUGCUAUAAUCUUAAUUCCUCUAUUCCUCUCUAUAAAUCCCCCUCCUUAAAUCCCCAAAAAAGUGAAACCCUUACCUACCUCAUUUGAUUGUAAACAACCAUCUAAGGUUGUCCUAAAUGACGAAUUUAACAAUGGGUCUUCUUCCAAUUCAAGAGCAUCCACAAGGUUUGAAGGCUUAGAAGACUAUACCUCAUCUAUCUCUAAUUGAGGAAAUUUUUUUGCCCCCAUAGAGCACUCUCCCUUUUCCAACUUGACGAUUCUUCUAGAGUUGGGUCUUUUCCCCAACAAGGAGUUGCCUGACAAGACAGAAUUAAAGGAGCUGUUCUCCUCAUCAUCACCUUCCUUCAUGUCAGCCUUUCUUUUUCCUUCUACAAGGGUAAGUGAUCUUUGGCUUGUGUCUACUUCCUCAGCAGAAGUCCCUUGUGCCUUUGGAGUACUCCCCCCUAUACUUCAAUUCACUCUCGGCAUCACUCUAUCACAGAACUGAAAUCGUCUAACCUCUGAUGGAGCAAAUUUUGUUGUCUAAGAUCAAAGACUUGGAGCCCUUUUUGGCUCCUUGCUACAUAAUGGGAAAGUGGAGGAAUUGGGGCAUUGAAAUUUAAGAAGCCCUAAUGUUGAAAGUCAUUUGUCAGUUGGAUUAAAUAAAAGGCCUAACCUCAUGGGCUUUGCCAAGUCAUGGUCCCUUGAAUUAUGCGGUCUAGCUUUGCUUGAGGCUUUUACUAAGGGCACUGAUGCCCCUCAAUUUGGAGGCAAGAGCCUUUCAUCCCCCUAGGACAUCUUUUCCUUCGGGAAAUAAUAAGGAGAGCCUUUUCUCCUUUGAUGACAACACUGAGCAUAGCAGAAAUCUACCUGCAUUGUUGCUGCAAAGGUCCAACUUGUAGCCCCUUUGCUUGAGGCUUUCACUAGGCUACCAUCCCUUGGCCGAGCCAAAAGAGUUUGGCUACUCUACAAUGUUAGGCUUAAUGUCAUUGGGCUUAGAAAAUCUUCUUAGUUGGUCCCUAGGCACAAAGUAUGGCCCGUCACCCUGAAAUGGAUCUUGAGCACCUUUUUUGGGGCAAAAGGUCCAUUGCCAUCCUUGUUUAAAUUUAGAAAAUUAACCCCAGUUGGCUUAUCCUAGUUGCAGGCUGUCCAUGGUUAUCCAUACUUGUGCACCCUUCAACUUGUUUAUAGAGUUUGCAGGUUUUCUGACUUCUGCACUGCAACCCCAAUCUCGUGCUAAGGGUAAGCUAAAUGGUUUAUCCGGUUGCUUUUGGAAAUAUGAGUCUAACUCAUCCCUUCAACUUGUUUUUGAUUCUUCUUUGGCCUCCAAUACUUCUGAAAUCAGCAGCAGGAAAAAAAUUCCUCUACCAUUCACCUUAAUUGAUGUCAAUAAGAUCUCCCCUUUCAUCAAAUGUGACAUAUUGUGCAAGUACACAAUUCAGUUAAGGCACCAAAGGAUUUCAGAAUGGCUUCAAAAGCUCCCAUGUCCAUAGAUGGAAAGGUAAGCCUCUCAGCCUCUCAAUUCAACCUAACCACUCUUUAAGUCACAUUCCUAAUUGUAUUUGUUCUUGAACAUCACCUUCCCAAGCAAACUUUACUCUUUUUGAACCAUAACCUCUCCCAGAUUACUUGAUUCCUCUGCUACGUUUGUUGAUUUGAUCCAAUAAAAAUGCCUUCCAUGGCUGAAAAAGAUAAAUCACAAGAGACCUAUUUAUUCCUAUAGCAACAGCUAGCCUACGAUCAAUUGUUUCCCACUCAAACCACUGGUUUGGAUUUCUUAAGAUGAUUGCCGUUCCCUCAUAAAAUAGCCUCUUCCUCCUUACUCUAUUUUGUGUGGAAUAGCAGCCUUCUUAAGCUAGUGUUUGGUAGAGGCCUUAUCCAGUUCCUUCAAAAGGAAUUGUAACCUCGUAAACACCAAGACAACUGAAAGAUCCAAGACAAUCUUCAUCACUUUCAAAUUCAAUCACUACUUUUAGGAAACCUGGUUGGUAGUUUAAGGUAUUGUAUUCCAACUUCAAUUUACUUGGCUCUUACUAGUAGCAGCCUUAAACUUUAUAGAUUUGAAGAACCCUGUGAAAUGGGACAAUGUAAACUUAACCAACCACUACAAUUUUCCCUUUCUGGGAUUAAAUUGAAUGUGUUCUCUUUUUCAAAGACCAUUACAAAAUGUUCCUUCCCUAUGUCACUGAGUCACAAGCAUGUAUCCAAACAGCCCCCCAUCUCUCACUGUAGAAUCCAACCUCACAGCCACCAGCUGUCAUUUUGUGAAGUUGGCCAACCGGCCAAAGAACCCUUCUUUAUCAAGCCUUAGAGUUUCAGGGUUCUUCUACCUCAUUUAGUUAGCUGCAACCAAGAAUCUCCAGUUCCAUCUCCUUCCCUGAUCUCAAAAUUUUUUCUUACAGUGGCGUGCAGCUUUCUUUCCAUCUCAGAUCUCACAUAAUUGCAACUUUAUCAUUCCCAAUUUAAAAAAAUAAGAAAUGAUGUCACUUGUGAAUUAACAAAUAUCCAGAUCAAUCUUCACAGUUUACAUCUUUACAGCCUGCUAUUGUGAUAUAAUAGCAAAGACACCACCAACAGCCUAUGAUUUGUAUCUAUUACCAUUUAACACAAACUAUAUCUUAUCCUCUGCAUAUGCAGGCCAAAACAGAGUACGGAAAUAACAGUGAAAUACUUCACUGUUCAGGAUAUUUAGGCAAUUCACAGUUUGCAUCCUCAAAGCCUGUUCCUGUGAUAUAACAAGUAAGAUAACAACCAAUAGAUGCUUUCUGUGCCAAAUGUUUGACGAGUCGAUUGAUCACCUCCUUCUUCAUUGUGAGAAAACAAGGGAAGUGUGGAUGUUGCUCCUUUCUUUAUUUGGAGUGCCUUGGGUGUUUCCUUCUUCGGUAAAGGAAACCCUUUUAGGGUGGAGGGGCUCUUUUGUGGGUAAAAAGAGGAAGGCGGUGUGGCAAGUGGGACUGUUAUGCUUGUUUUGGGUCAUUUGGAAGGCAAGGAAUAAUAUUGCUUUUGAAGAAAGUGUGUUGUCCAUCCAAAGGCUGAAAGCUUCUUUUGUGUAUUUACUUUGGUCGGAGACCAAAUUGUGGAUAAAAAGUGGUCCUUCGACCUUAAUAUAUUUUAUAGAUUGGAUGGGUUUGCGAUGAGGGAGAAGGUUUUUUGUUUUUCCUUGUUGUUUUGGGUCCAAUUGUAAGGGAGUGAGUGUCUCUGUGCUGUAUUUUUGUGGGUCGCUAUUUUAGCGCCUCUUCAUAAUACAAUUCUUUUGCUUAUUGAUCAAAAAAAACAAGAUAACAACCAAUAACUCUGAUAUGCCUCCAUAACCACUAAGAUUAUCUUGUUCUCUGCACGCAAACCAACACUUACUAUUGAAAUAUUACCAAAUGAUUUCUUAUUGUUACAUUUUCAUAAACUCAUGUCUACCAAGAUCCUAAUUAACAGUUGGUCAGUUUGAAAAUGUAAGUUUCAACAAAAUUGAGAACUAAAAAGGGAAAUCAAGGAAUCAGAAGAAUACAAACAUACCAUGUAGACAAUGCGAUAAAGACCCCGACUUCUGAUGCUUCUUUUUGCUAGAGUCUGUCAAGCAAUUCCUGCCAAAAUGAAUUAAAAUAACAUUCUGAUUCACAUAACUAAAUAGUAUCCUAAAAUUCACUUACAUCAUAAAAGAAUCCUAAAACAAUUAGAGGGCAAUCUCUUGAAAAGACUUAGGCCAUACUUAAUUGCCUAAAAUUUGGAAUUAAGAUUCAGGUUGAAAAUUCCAUAUCAAAUUCCAGUCUUAGGUUUAGUUGCUUUACAUAUCUAUGGAUUUGAAAUUAUUUAAAUUCUAGCUAAGAACCUGAGAUUCAGAAACCAAGAAUCAUCCAAGGGAAAAUGUUCAAAUGAUUGAUUCCCUUGAGUUCAACUUCUUCUCCAAUGUGCUGCAACCCUCAUGAUCAACAUUUUUCCAUAUGCUAUAAGCAUCACACAUUUUACUCUCCUGAUAUUCAUAGACAAGUUUCUCUGGUUUCAACUAGCCUAUUGAUUAGCUCUCUUUCAAUCCAUGCUGCAAUUAUUUUCUUUUCAUAGAGAUCAUACUGAUGAGCUUUUGUUAGUGAAUUGCCUAAGGUUGCUCCUUAGUAGUGCAGAAAUGGAUUUGAUUUGGAAUUCCAAUUCUGUUAAAUUUGAAAACCAGUAUUAUAAGGAAUUUAAAUUUAAUUCCAAAUUGAUUAGUACACAAAGCAACCAACCCCUGACUCAAAUUUAAGACCAGCAGGACCAUGUCAUGGCCUCAAUCUCAUGCAGAGAGCCUAAGGCCACUAGUUUGAACAUUAAAGCAAAUGUCUCCUAGUGUAGAGCCAAGGCACAAAGCCAAGCCAACACUUAUCUAAGGCAAGAAGGCCUCCUAGAGCCUACAAACAAAGCAAAACACAAGACGUACACCUGAAAAAAGACCAGACCAAUCUAAUGUACGUAAGGAAUUUUAAAUAAUUUAAUGAGCAAUUAAUGAAUAACCUCACUGAUUUGGAGAUUGAGGACCUUGAAAGAUUUAUGUCCUCUCUCAAUCACAUGCAUUUGUCUUCAACUAUCCCAGAUGCAACAGCCUGGUCAUUAUCCUCCUUAGGUUUGUUCUCAAUAUAAUCCUUGGUUGUGGUCUUGUCUCAUCUAUCAAAUACAAGUCCCUUUUCUUUGACCAAAGUUGUAUGGAAGUCUAAACCCAUCUAAGGUUAAGGCCUUUGUUUGGCUAAUGGCACAUAAGAAGGCAAAUACCAAUAAUAUGUUACAAUUGAGAAGACCUUACAAAUCCUCUAGCCCUAGCUGGUGCAUUCUAUGCAUGGGGAGGGGAGAAACAAUUUAUCAUCUUUUUUUACAUUUUCAGACAAUUUUGGGGUUAUGGCACAAUCUAUUCAAACAAGCUACAAAGAAUAGGGUUCCACCUAGGAGCAUAUAUGACAUGAUGACACAAUGACCAUUUCAUAUAGGGUUUUAGGGAGUACCGUUAGAAGCAAGAUCCUUUGCCAAAUCGCUUGUAUCGCAUUGAUGUGGAUUGCAUAGGGGGACAUGAUAGAGACACUAUGGAAUCUAAUGCACUUUUAUUCCUCUUUCUAAGCCUCUUGUAUAGCUGCUUUAAAAGGCAUUCCUCUCAAUGUUGUUCAGCUUGAUUGGUCCUCAAUGUACAAAACAAAAGGAUUUGAAAAGCAAUGAAAGGAGUUUUGAUUGGGUUUAAGAAGAUACUAUUGUACUUUCUUUUGGACUGAUCCGUAUGGUUAGGUCUCCUUGUAUAAUGGAAGAGUUUAGCAUUAUUUUUUAUCAACUUUUUGUAACUAUGGGGAGGACUCCUUAUCCUUCUCAUGUACUUUUUAUCCAUAUUUAAUACAUUUCUAUUUAUGAUAAAAAAAAAAUUAAUAUUGCAAAUUUGGACAUGCAGUAAUGCUUUUUUAGUCAAUUUUCCACAAAACUGGCAAUCUAAAUAGGAAUUUUUCCACCCCAAAUCCUUUCUAGAAUUUGAACCCUCAAACUCUAUUUAAGCAAUAAUUAUCAAAUGUAUCAAAGAUCAAUAUUCAUGCAAUUAUCCACAAAGGGGAAAAGACUUGAAAUAGCUAAUACAACAUAAUUUACAUAACAAAGAAAUAAUUUUUUGGUUGGAAGUUUGCAAUUAUCAUUAUUAUUGUAUUAUCAUUUGUAGCAUACAAUGAGCAUAAAGAUAUGCUUUGCCUUCAGAGAUUGCAUGACCAACCAUGAUUAAUAAAAACUUCCUUACACAAUAGUUCAUUUUAUAUAAUAAUAUCCUAGAAUUGUUACAUCAAUUUAGAGAAUCAACUCAAGAUCUCGAGAAACUACCUUCCAAAUUAGCAGGUCAAAGAUAUGACUCAGACGGACACCUCCAACGAUUUUAGAUGAUUCUUGCCCUUACUUAAAGAUGUAUCCAUCACAAAAGUUCCUAAUCCUAGAUUUUAAAUAAAUCUAGCAAGAUUAAUGAUAGAGUCACCUAAGCAAGUCCAAAUUCAUUGAAACUUGAAAGUUUUAAUGGUGAAAUCCCACUAAACUGGUUAUCCUUUGCCAAACAAAUUCUUCUUCUUUUUUCUUUUUCCUUUUUUGCUAUCAUUCAAGAGGGCAAACUAGCCUCUUCAAAGCAAAAUCCCAUUGAACUUUGUAACACCUUCCUCCUACUAAUAGUGUUAUUUCAUGGUUUGGAAUUAUUUCUCAUUCUAUCAUCAACCCAAAGACCACCAUGACCAUAUGGUCAGUCUUAAAACCAAUUCCAACUCCGACAUACCCCUAGUAUAACAAAUAUCAACCAUAGAAAUGCAAGCACUAAGCGAUAAAGAGCUAUGCUUCAAUCAUGAUGCAGUCCUUAACCCUCGCCCACCUAGCGCUACUAGGUGGUGAUUGCUAGAAUUCCAAUGCCACUUGGCAAGUAGGCAACGACAUUCACAGCCACUUCCUUGAUUCCUAGGUUCAUCGACAAGCCGUUUGUGAAGUAGAGAAUCUUGGAUAUUAGAAUCAUCGCCAUAUAAUUCUAGGACACACUGUUCACACAACCAACCAUGAUUGAGGAAAUCUCUUCCUUACGUAGCUGGCAUAUAUCAUAAUCUUUAGUUUUAUGUAAUUACAUUCACUAUUGCGAGAUUGGAUCAGAAAAUAAACGCAAGAACUUGUGAAUCUACCUUCCACAUAAGAAGAUGAAACCUAUGAAUUAGAAGGAACAAAUCCAAUGUUUUAGAUGACAUUUUACUUUACUUAAAGAUACAUCCAACCCCAUCAGAGGGCAACAUAGUUUUUGAAUAACUAUUGAUCCUUGGCAGAUGAUUCCCAAUCAAAAACAUCUUACUUCUCUCGUCCCAACAUUUUUUUUUCCUAAUUUUCUGCAUAAAGAACAUUCAGUAGUUUAAUGAAGAAUUUCAUUAAAUAAUUCCAGAAGAAAAAUAAAUAAACAUACCAUAAUCAAAAAAACGCCAUAACCUAAAAGACCCCCAAAAAAAUCAGGAAAAAAAGCUCAGAAACAUAAUUUAGCAUCAAACAAAGAACUCCAAAAACCGUAUCCCAUGAAAAAAUCCAGAGUUUGUAAAUUCAAAAAAAAAAACCGAAAUGUAUUAAUCUCAGAGUUUGUAAGCAAUUACACAAAAAUUAAAAUAAAAUGGAGAAAGAGAAGCUGGAAGAAGUGUUGGGAGAGACUACCUGGUGGAAGAGAUGGAGUUGUCGCUUUCUGGGAGAAACAGAAAGACGAGAGAACCGGUGUCGUUUUAGGACAAGAGAAUUGGGGGUUCUCACUUCUCACCUUUUAGCCAAAUUUCAGGCUCAGUCGAAAUUUAAGGGUGGUUUGUCGGUGGGCUCUAAAAAAGAGCCUGAUUGGUGGGCUAACACCCCUUUGCCCAAACCAAAAAUCGUUGGGCUUUUACUAAUAUUUUGGGCUUAUAAAGCAUGGCCCAGUUACAGGUUGGCCAUGGCUGUCGAGACAAGCUUUUGAAAAUCUGAGUCAACUCAGCCCUCCGAGCCUGAGACAUUUUUAAACCUAUUAGAAAACUCGCCUCUUUUUUAACUUUUAAUUCUUUACUUAAAGAUAAGAAAAAUUAGAGAAAUAAUAGAAAAAAUAUAUAUUAAGAGGGUGUUUGGUAAAACUUAAUAUUUAUUAAUUAAUGGCUUAAGUUGACUUUAAGUUAAAUUAUACUUGAGUUGUUAAUUUAAAAUUUAUUACUUAAUUUUUAUUUUAAGUAUUAAGAUUAUUAGAUAAAAUUAACUUAAAAUUAAUUAUAAAUCAUCAAAUUAUAUAAUUAAGGUAUAAAAGAUUGUGUAGUAAUAAAAAAAAAUUGUGAAAAUAAUUAAAACAAAUAAAUAUAAAAUAAUAAAAUAAAAUUUAAACUUAACAAUAAAUUAAUUAUUUUUACUUAUUAUUUAAAAUUAUUUUUAACUUUAAGUUAUACCAUUAAAUUAUUUUACUAAACAUAUUAAUUUACUUAAUAACUUAAAUUAAAUUAUUAAAUCACUUUAAAUUAUUAAAUUAGUCUACUAAACAGUUGGUGCGAAUUUAUUUCCUAUUUCCUCCCCCUCUUUUUUUUAUAAUUUUUUUUUUCUGUGCAUCUUUUAUUGCCAUAUGCAAGUCCUUUUCCUCGUAUUUUUCCAAAAUUCAAAAUGAGUCUCGUAUAAAAAUCAUUAGGCAUGUGCCCCUUAAAAAAAAAAAUUCACAUUGCAAAACAAAACUCCGACUAAUUUGAUAACCAUUUUUAAAAACAAUUCUAAAAACUAUUUUUUCACAUUUUAUAAAACAAAGAUUUAUUUUAAAACCCAAAAUAUUUCUGACAUAUUUUACACAUUUAUAAAUAUAUUUUAAAAAUAAUUUUUUUACACAAUAUUUUAUUUUUAAUCAUUCUUCAUGAUCUUUUUUUUAAAGCAAUUCUCAAAAAACAUUUGAAAACAACCCAAAAAUAUUUUUUGAAAACAUAAAAAUAUUUUUGCCAUUUUUUAUUUUUUGAAGAAAAGAAAACUGUUUUCAAAAUUCCUUACCAGACAAGGUCUUAACAUAGAGAUAUUUCCACAUUUACAAACAAACAGUGCUAGAGAUUACGGUUAUUUGGGAGAGUUACAGAACCAACUUUCCAUGGAAGCUUGCAAUUGGAAUCAUCAGACUCAACUGUAUCCCCACUCCACAACCCAAACUCUUGGAUUCCUUCGUUACAAGCAUCCAAGCUAAUAGAAUUGGAUUUUCUUCAUGUCUGCUGCAAAUUCAUCCUUCAGAUUUGAAGGCAAUGUUCAGUAUUUGUCCACUGAUUAUAUGAGAAAUCACAUCUGCAGAAUCAUAACAAUAAGAUCAGUGGAAAAGAUGUCUACAUUUCUGGAUUCUUAGUGGGAAAAUAGUGUAAUGUGUAUGUUAAACUUACAGGUCCCCGGGAUGAAUUGCAAGUUCAAAUCGAUGCCCAGACGGGAAUUUUUCUUGGUUCUUUGAAUUGAUCAUGCUUGUUUUUAACUUCAUGCAGCCAUUUUUUCAGGAGUAACAGCCAUAAGGUCUCUCAAUACUUUGCCCAUCCACCAUACUGAGCCUUGCCCAGAAUUGACUCGAUGUCACCGGAGUACAAACCUAGACUUUUUGCCACAGCAAAGCCAGCAUACAUGCCAUCAACUGCUGCACUGACAAUUCCACCAGCAUAGCCUGCUCCUUCUCCAAUGGGGUAGAGUCCUCUCAGUGAUGUGCUUUCAUAUGUGUCACUGUUACGAGGAAUUUGGAUGGGGGAGCUGGUUCUUGUCUGGAAGAAAGAUGUUAAGAAUAAUUCAUUUCUACUUCUUGAGACCACUUGUUCAAACAAUAUGAAUUGGAUCAGAUAUAGGACCCAAGAUCUAAAGAGAUGUUAAAAUCUUAAGAAGAUGUUACAGAAUCUCAUUCAUGAGAAGUCCAAAAUACGUGGGAAAUAAGUAAACAGGAUACCUCGACUCCAUGGAGCAAGGCGUCUUUGGAUAUAAAUCCAGGUAACUGGGAGUUCCAAAGUUCAGCAAAAAACAAGUGUAGUUAUUAGAAUUCCAUACAUUCAUGACAACUUGAGAGGUAAAAAGGAACGUGAAUAAGGAAAACCAUAAAACUCGUCUUUAACUAGAAAAGUAAAAGGGGAGGCCACGAAUAAGAAAAACCAAACGAAAGGGAAUGGAAUACCUCUUCAUCAAACAUUGAGAUUGAGUGCUGCAAAGCCUUUGUUAUAUGUAAGGGGAACAACUCAUGGAGAUUGGCUGCCUUGACUCCUAACCGAUAACUUGAUGGUGGUACAGAUGUUACUGCAAAUAUAAGAGCAAGUCAUACUAGAUGAAAUCUUAGGAGUGAAGGCAACCAAGAAACAGAACAGAGUUUUUACCUGACAAUUUGUUUUCCAUAAAAUCUGUGACUGUCUGAACAGGCACCACAAAAUUUCCGCCUCCCAUCAUGGCUGCUCUUCGCUCAAAUUCCCUCUAAACAAUGACAGUAGAAAUUAUAUAAGCAUAUUAAACAAUGAAUGUAGAGAAAUACUGCUACAGCUUAGAUGGAAAUUAUGAAGGUUCCAACCAGGCCCAAACAUUUUUAGACUGAAAAUAUAGCUAUUUUAAAUACCAUAUAUGGUAGAAACAAGGACUGAUUUACCAUAUGGUAAGUUGGUCAAACAGGAAAAUUGUGGCCAACUGGAAGGGCAGAUGGAUUUUACGUUCAGGUAUGUAGUUAAUUGAGAUUUGCAAAAGUGAGAGGAAGGAAUCUUACAAGAAACAGAAAGUAAUAAAUGCAACACACUAAGUAGAACUCAAAAGCAACCUGAAAUUCAACCCCUGCAAGGGGUCCAUCACAAUUCAAUGCCCCGAAAUCCUUUGAUGAGACAGUGGCGACAAGUGCUGCAUUUGCCCACCUGGAGGCACGCCGAGAAAAUGACAUGCCAUUGAUACAAAUUUCUGAUGGAUUCGUACUAGUGAGAACAACCUGCAAGCACCUUAUAAAGUAACUCCAUCUGGUAGAAUAUAGUAUGAACACAAACUCAGUAGUAAUCAUGGGAUUUUGACUCUCAUCACUCCAAUCUUCUGGAGCCUAAUCAAUCCAACCAUAUCAUUUAACAAGGCAUCUCCAGUAUAAAUUUUAGUUCUGAAGAAUCAGAACUGCAUCAAAUUGGAUACACCUUACCACUUGAUUGACAAUAUUCCAUAAAAAAAUUUCAAGAACAGACCAUUAAGAUAGUCUCAUCAAUCCUUUUGGGCUAAAACACACUUCUUCCAGUGCAUCAAGAAGCAAGAAAGUCACAGGUACAAGGAUGAUUUGAAUUACUGUUAUAUCACAGCCUGCAAAACACAAUUUUUGCAGUAGGACUAUGAAAAGAAAAAAUAUACCUGUCCGCCAGGACACAUGCAGAAGGAAUAACAACUACGACUUGUUGCCCCUGAAUCAAAGGAUGUGUCUCCAUCUUCUCCCUGGAGAUACUUGACAACCUUGUAAUCUGCAACAGGAACUUUUCCACGUCCCUUGUGAACCUCAGCAGCCAAGCUUGAAUACUACAUGUUCAUAUAAACAAAUAUGUUUAUAUUUUGAUUGCCAAAAUGUGAAAUUGCAAUAAAUAAAUAAAUAAAUAAAUAAAUAAAAAGGAAUGUAAACAGAAAAUUUCAAAUAAAUCCACCAAAUAUCACUCAAAAUUGACCAAAUCACAAAAGAUGAUGCAAUGAGCAUAGGAAAUCAACGACUUACACAGCCUAGUCGACCUUCAAUCAAGUAAGGAAAUUCCAAGGAGCAAAAGAACCUCACCAAGUGACUAUAAAGAAUUCUAGCUUAAACUUUGGCUUCAUACAGCUAUUCAACUCCAAAAUUCCUGCAAGCUAUGGUGUUUGUUGAGGUGUUGAACCCACUGUCUUGAAAUUUUGGAGGGUGCAGUUAGGUUGUAGAGUAUUGCCAUAUCUUGAGGACACAAGAUCCAUGCUUCUAGAAUUUGACUAAAUAGGGCAGUAGACCCACAUGAAUUGUGAAGCCUCAAACUUCAAAUCAACCUGGUAGCCUAAAAAUAUUGGAAUACCAUACACUUGGGAAUCAAAUCUAAACUUAGUCUAUAUGAUGAAUUUUUCAUGUCAUAUCGCAUGAUUUGCAUCAAGUUAUUUGCAGAUAUUUUUAUGAACAAAACAUACCAUAUUCAUUUUUUAUGCUUCCUUAUUUUCUUGUCAAGGUCUACGUGGCACAGGUUAGGCUCUGGAACUUUUUAACUCAUCAAGAAGUUCCCUUCAAUUUUGGAUUUCAGUAUGAGUUUUCGAAACAUUGCAAAAGAUGCUCCAGGAAACAUAAAGUAUCUCAGUAACAAGGUUCACUCAAUACUAAAUCACCUUACAUCUUAUAAAUCAAAUUUGAACUAUUAGCCACCACAUACCAUAUAUUUUCACUAAGCAAAAGAAUAUCAUUAUUUUAUUUCUAGAAACUUUUUCUAUUAAAUUUCAAGACUGAUUUUUUCUUCUUCUUCCCAUAUGUUGCAAAUAGUCCAUACAUAAGAAAAAUUUGAAAGUUACGGAGAACUAGAAUUUGCUCCAUGCUUGUUCAUGUUUCUAUUAUGAUCAAAGUAAUGAUUGGAUGAUACUAUAUAUUGCUAAAAGUUAAGCCAAGGAUGACACAUAUUGAAUCAUUUUAACUUUUCCAAGUUUUCAGCCAUAUUUAUUGAGAUAAUUUUGAGCAAGCAACUCCAUAUUUUUUAAGCUACCUAGCAAAUAAGGAGAGUAGAUCAACUUGACUUUGACUGUCUCUCAGCCAUAUCUACGGAGAUAUAAUUGAAUGAACAUUGAGGUAUUGUCUAGACCACCCAGAAAAUUUAAGGAGUGAGAAACAUGCCUUCUACUGGUUUUCAGUGAUAUCUGUAGAGAUAGAAUUGAGUGAGUAUAUCUGCAUGGCCCAAAAAUGUAGGGAGUGAAUCUUGACUUAUAACUGCAACCAUAUCUACAGAGAUACAAUUGAAUGAGCAUCACAGUAUUAUCUAAGCCACCCAGAAAAUGUAGGGACUGAAGAAGACGAGUUCAAUCAGAUUCCAGCCAUAUCCACUUGUUAUUCAAAAUUUCCACACGUUCAUUGUUCCACCCAAAUAUACCACCUUGUCAGACAUGUUCCGGGGCCCAAUAUUGAGAAACUUGGAAACUCCCAUGUCAUUCACACCUAUCCAGUAGUAGCACUUGUUGUGAGUGGAGAUGCCACUAACAUGCAAGGCUUUUGAAACUAACAUGCUUGGCUAGGUUUUCCAAGCAUCUGUUUAGGUUAUCUUUGCAUUAGAUGAAUGUAGGAAGUGAUGUGUUCAUUCAAAACGACAUUUGAUGUUAACUGGUUUGGAUGAAUUAGGUGUGCGAGACAUUACUAAUUGGAAGAUAGGUGACAAACUCAGGAUAGGAUUCGGGAAAAAACAGGGUCCAAAGUGGAGUGACUUUUAAGGCUUUUUUUUUUUUUCUAUUUUUGCCACAAUACUACAAAGUUUACCAGUGCUGGUUAUCCCUUGGGUGGGUUCCGGCAAUCCCACCCUACAGGCAAAUACUACCUUGGUAAGGGGCAUUGUUACCAUUUUCUCCAGUUCUUUCCUUCUUUCUCUUCAUCUAACAAGCUUAUGACAGGGCUUUCUUAAUAGGCAAAUUUAUAAUAUAUCCACAUUCAUACAUACAUGCAUGCAUACAACCAUAGAGCAUGUGUCGGUGUGUGUAUAAAGCACCUAGCUUCAUACCAUUCAAACUAAUAUCAUACCAGAGUGAGGAGAACAAGGGGAUAAGCAAAAAAAUUCAGCUCCAGUGACCAUGCCAUCCACAGAGACCUAAUUUCAGAAAGGAUAAAAAUAAAAAAUAAUAAAGCUAUUUUACCCAUGGAAUCACCCACCUCUGAUAUACUAGCUUGCCAAAUUUCAGCCUCAUUGAGAUUUGUUUGAUAUGGUUUUAAUCCCCUCCUUUGUAUUUCCCAAAAAAAAUGUGUUUGAUUUGAUUUUUCUCUCAAAUAAUGCUCAGAUCAGGGCCUACUUUUCUCUAUAUUACAUCAUUUCAAAGCUUCAUAUCCCUUCCGAUUGAGAGAGUGCCAUAGGAUUUUUAUUUUUAAAGACCUGCAAUAUAGCAUGUAUUGCAUUCUGAAAAAUUUUGGAGUCAGAAGCAUGAUAGAGGCAUCCAUCAUGUGUCUCAAACCUUUUGAUGGGAGAUAAUUCUGCAAUUUUUCCUUUUAUUCUAGGUGUUACAGGCUGCAAGAGGGCCGUGGAUAUAUAAUCAGUGGCUGCAUCAUAUUGUAGAUCUUUCUAGAGUUGCCAGUUGUUAAUUGGUAAAGGGUAAAGAUUGUGGAGCAGAAUAUUGCCAAUGAAAAAUAACUUCACAUCCAAAUUCAAAUGCACAGUAAAUCUUUUAUAAAAUCAGCAAAUGAUCAAAUUCUUCAAUAAAAGAAACUUAUUACACAACCAACCUGUAUGCUGUUUAUUAGUUCCUGAGGAUGCUCAAUCCGCAAGCCAACCUGUUUGCCCAUGUAAUUGUUAAAAACUUUGCAAGCACAAGCAUAAGCAUAAUGUCUAAGUCCACAGAACAACCAAUAGUCAUCACUAGAUUCUAUUCAAUUAUACAGAAAACAGAUGUCAAACAAAAGAACAUAAUAGUGGAUCAAAUAUUCAUAAUAUAACUUUCUAAUAUAGAAAUUGAAGGAAUUGCACAACUAUUCAUAACCAACAUUGUAUAUGCCUACCAAACAAACACGUAUGUGCAAGUGUGUGCAUCACUACCAAACAUCGAACACCUUAGUAACACUAACCCACCCAAAUCACCAGUCACCACCAACACCAACUCUUCCAAAGCUGCCAAUACUACUGUCAGGUGCACAACAUGCCAGGUAGAACUUGCAGUUUUACAUAAAAAAAUAAAAAAUUAAAUUAAAAAUAAAAAGCUAGCUUUCUAUAAUAUAUCUACAGGAAUGAAGAAAGAAUCUGAAGUGCCACUGGAUAUUAUAAAGAACUCACAGCAAAAUCUUUUGGGACCAAAUCCAUAUUAUGAGACAGAAGCAUCUGGUAUGCAUCACGUGCAGAAUGCCCUACUGCUAAAACAACUGCAUCAUAUCUCAACUUCUGACUAUUAUGCUCUGAUUUUUCUCUUGAAUCAGAAACUUCAACUCCCACAACAUUAGCAUCCUCUACAACCAGAUCAUCAACUUUAGUCCCAAACCUGAUGGUAACCUAGACAUGUCAAAACAAGAAAAAAAAAAUUAAAAUAUGCAAACAUGAAAAUUAGUUCCUAAAUGCCAUCUAUAUAAGUGACUCACACCCAAGCUUUCUAGAUGUUGUCGAAAGUUGCGGAGUAAUGGAAUCAGCCUAUCUGUUCCCAAAUGAGGCUUCCCAUCAACCAAGAUACUUUCUGGAGCUCCAAAGUGAACUAAAGUUUUCAUAACCUAAGACAAUAAUAAAUGUAAAUCAAAUCAUUGAAUGGCUAAUCAGAAAAUUACAUAAUAGAGAAUUAAAACUACAAAUGACACAUGAUGAAACAAGCCAAAAUACAAUAUUUCUAAACACUUCAUAUUUUUUCCAUGCUUGGGUCUGAACCUGCAACUGCACAUUAGUUCACAAAUCUUAAUAACACAGCACUAGGAAAGGUGAAGUACACAUGCUGGAGAGCAGAAUGCAGAGUAUAAUUUAAUACCAUGCGAAACCUAUAGGUAAGUAGUUUUUAUUAAAAACACUUUUUUUUGUCCCACUAGGACUCAAACCUGAAAUCCCCCACUCCAACCCCUUACCACUUGAGCCAGACCUCAAGGGCUGAUAGGCAACCAAAAUAAUCACUCUUGAAAAGAAAAUGUAUAUGACAAAACAUUUCAAUCCAAGGUUCCUCCCAAUCAGAUUUUAUUUAGUACAGUGAUAUUGAUAUCUAAAGCAAAAGCAUUGAAUCAAUUGGAUUAUCAGUUAUAUUGCAAGAGCUAAGAGUACAAUAGAAGGAUCAUUCAAAUCUUGUUUCCAGGGCAUGCUACCUAGGAUUAUAGCAGGAUGUUGAGAAAGCUAUAGUUUAGUUUCUGAUGCCCAUAUUUUAGGCAUAAAACAAUUCUCAAGCUGUAACACAGACAGAACCUCACAACUUCAAGGUGGGGGAGUAAUGGGUACAGUGGGCCUCAAGGUUGUCCAUCUGGAUCAGGAAAUUUCCCCUGUGCCUCAGCCCCAGGUAAGCAUUUUCUUUUGCUAGAUGGUACCAAUAAUACACCAACAACAACCUACAUGUACCAAAUAAAAUGAUAAUAUGUACCUCAAACCACCAUCAAUAUGCAUUCCUUCAGAACACAGACAAUAAAUAAGGAUUUCAUUGAUUAUCCUGUAUUAUUUUUUAUAUACUCGAAAAUCCCAAGUUUUUAAGCUUCCUGUAGGUAAGAUGGACAUCUUUAAUAAUGACAUACAAUAGGCUACCACAAGAAUGGACAAGCUGCAAGCAACCUGGGCAAGUUAUGGGCUAUGAUGGAGAGACAGAAUGGUUUCAUUGAAUUAACCAGCCAAGGUGACUGUUAACUUGAAUCUAGUUCUUGUCAACCUCUUCCCAGUACAGGCCUUCCCAUUCUUCCAAGGGAUAGCAUAGGAUCAAAUAAAUAAUUUUUCCUAUAAUAAAUAAAUAAACAGUAAUAUAAAUUACUUACUGAAUAUAGACAGAAUAAAAAAUCAAAACUUAUACAAAUAAACAACACAAAAGAGUGACUUCUUGACUUUUAAAACUACCAUGCCUCAGAGUUUCAUCCAAAACUGAUAUGCACCCACUGAGACACUGAGACACUGAGACACUGAGACAUAUAGGUCUUGGUAAGGGAUGAUUCAAUACAACCAAACAGUAUAUGGAUCCUUUAAAAUUCUAAAGGUUCUUCCAAAACCAAUAUUGACCAACAACAGCUUAUACGUACCUGCAAUAUGAGGUUGUGCCAUCUAGAUACAAUAGCUCUGAGCCUGGAAUUAAACUAAAUUAAACUAAUGGUUUCAAAAAUUUUAAGGCAGCAACUUCUUCAUAGAUCAUUAGGUAUGGAAGUACAAUCGCUGGUAAUUUCUUGAAUUUUUUAAUUUUGAAAUAUUGUUUCUGAACAAUGUUUAAAUGGUUUCACAUGAUUUUUAACACGAAAUACCAUGGUCUAUUUAGAAGAAAAUCCCAUCCAUGGACUUGCAUUUCCCUAAAAAAAAUCCAAUUCUAUGAAUUUUUUCCUAAUUUCCAAAUUUUUGCCUUUUAAAAAAUAAAUUCAGCAAAAGUAUUAAAUGGGCAUGAUCUGAGAUGUGUAUAGUGAAGAAGACAUGGAACAGAUUCUAUAGGGCAUAUACUACCCAAUGUUAUUUUUCCAAAUUUUCUAAGGCCUAGAAACACCAUUGGACUUAUAGCCCUGAUUUUUUACCAUAUAAUUAUUUUCUAUUUUUCAGAAGCUUGUCUCCAAUAACAACUUGAAAACAAGAGUGAAACUAGUUCUUUGAACAGUGAAAAAUACACAUACCACUAUAAGUAUGAGGAAAGAGUACCUUUGAACACUUGCACACACAUAGUAUAAUCAUUAGAACAUAUCUAAUUACACUAAUAUAAGAUCAAAAGAAUCGGGGAAUGAUUCUCACCGCCAGAACACUGCCACUAUUCCUUCCAAUUCUAGUCACCAACUUUCCAUCACUCCAGGUACCUGCACCACCCUGCCAUGCAUAAGUCCUUAAUAAUGACUCAGAAGUUGAUAGAAAGAUAAGAAUCAGUACAAGCAGAAGGAAACCUUUUUAAUAUAUUAAGAUGAUUGAUGAUAAGUAACUAAGCAAUGACCUAAUUUAAACAAACAACUGUUUGGAAAUUAGUAAAGAUUCUUUGUUGUAAAGAAUAUUGUAUAAAAUAAUUUUCUAGGUUGAUAUAUCAUUGUAAUAUUAUAUUUCUUCAUAGAAUAAGGAAAGUUGUUAGAAAUAUCUCUAUAAAUAUUCUAGGUUAUGAGGGGAAAAAGUCAUGAAAUGGAGAUGGGCUUGUAGAGACUAUACGAGGUGGAUAGAGAUGUGAGGAAGAACAAGAGAUACCCGGUGGAGCGAAAGGGCUCAUGGUAGGGUAUGAAUAUAAGGAGUGGGGAAACAUGAGAUGUUUCAGGAACCCAAUAGUAGUAUCUAGUUCUAUCCUCUAUAAUAUUCUCCAUUGUAUAGUGGAAUAAUUCUCUCUCAUCCGUGGAAGGAGGCAUGGUUGGCCAAACCACAUUAAAAUCUUGUAUACCGUGUGUGUAAUUGUUUUAUCUUUGUGUUCUUGAUCUAACAUUGUUGGAAUCAAAACUUCCGUUGGCACAACAACAACUAGGAUGUAUUUCAGCAACAUUGUUAGACAUACACAUGCUUAUAAGCAAAAGCUGCAACUCAGAAAAAAAGUAAAUGGCAGUAUUCUAUAUGCAUGUCAAACUAUAUAAAUUCCCACACACUAGCAGUAUGCAAUUACUUUAACUUGCAAAGUUAUAUAAGCUUAAAAAGUACAAAAACUGCAAUGCUGCUUCAACAAAUUGCACCAAAAACUUUUUACCAACUGCUGGAAUGUGGAUAUUGAAUUAGAAAAAAGAAAAAACAGGCAGUAUAAGCGCUAAAGAAUGUAUGAGGCAUACACAAGCCAAAUAUUGCUCUUUACUUCAGCAUCUAAGUUAUAGUCAUCUAAUAACUACACAGGGAGGAGAUUUGUGUUGAUGUACAUAAAACAAUCAUGGUUGUGAAUUUGUACAAUGUUCCAACAAACCAUGUGUAGCAUGUUUUUAAUGAGCUUCAGCAAAAAGCAUUUCUGUGGCCAUGCUUGCACCAGGUACAAAUCUUUCAUCUGUGGUUCUGAAUGAUUGAUUUUUCCAAUCUCUUGUACAAUUUUUCAUAUCGUAUGCAUGAUAAGCAUAUUGCUGGAAAGGCAGUAACAAACAAAAUUUCCUUAGACCUGACUCUCAGUUCUAUAUAUGACUAUCAACAGUGGAAUUGAUAUGAGCUAGCACAAGUUCAGUAAAGAAGCUGGAGAGCUUCAGUUGAACUUAUUAGAAAUGAUUCUACUAAUAAAAAAUAUCCAUCCCAAUAACACCCUUCUAAAAAUAGAAACAGAGUAUAGAUAUACAUUAAUGGCACAAGAAAGUUUUAGUGCCUAGUGUCUCGCUCUAGAAGGGAAAAGAAUCUGUGUGUUCCUUUUCAGCUUGGUCCAAUUCAUUCUUGGAAUCAUAUCCCAACUUCAAAUGCCUAUUUGUUUUGCAAUGAAAUUGUCAAUUUUCAAAAAUAUUUAAUAAUUUAAUAUCAGAAAAGGAAAAUCAGCUAACAGAAUUCCAAAGAGAUCAUAUUGGAGAAGGACUAUCUCAAAAAGUAACACCCUAUAUUUUGAAUGGGAAGCACAAUAAAGUUGGUGUUUGGGUUCAUUGCUAUAUAAAGUAUAAACUAGGUGUUCAUUUUGAAUAAGAAGCACAAUAAACUUCAAGUUCUGGAUUUCUUUCUCUAUAGAGUAGUGGUUCAGCUAACAUCCUCUAGUGUUUUCACUUUCAAUAUAGCAGCUAUUUUCAUUACUUUAUCAAACCACUUCAUCCAAAGGAGAAACUUAGCUGCAUCCAAAUCAGAUAAACUAAAGGGUUUUAAAUCAUUUAAAAAGUGUGGCCUGAAACAUAAGCUGGUAAAGAAUUGAAGUGGUCUAUUGUCCCAAACAUUGCCCAAAAGCAUAAACCAUAGCCCUUCACUUUCAGCUUUAGAAGUAUAUAGACUAAUUAGGGUGAAACAAACAAACCAAACAAACAAGCAUUGUUAUAAAAGGAAUGUAAUUUAAAACAAAUAGCUGUUAGGUUAAGUGAGAAAAAUUCCAAACUGUACAAGGACCAAAACAACACUAAGACAACAUUCAAAAUAUAAAGUGAAUCAACAUCUUACCUCCCCAAAGCAAAAAUUGCUUUCCAAUUGUAAAAUCCGACGAACCAUCAAGGCACCAAUAUCACGCCCCCUUUGCUCAACUGCUUGACCUCUUUCUAUUAUAGUAACAUCUACACCGAGUUCUGCAAGAACAAGACAAGCAAACAAGCCCGAUGGUCCACUACCCACAACAGCAACUUUUGGCCUUCUAGAUCCUGGGAAGUCAUCUGAUCCCUCCUUGUAAAUGCUCUCUCCUUUUAUUGACUCUGCACUUUUAUUGAUCUUGUAAUCACGUGUUAUACUGACCAAAUCACCGGAAGAACCACGCAUAUGCUCUAUGUGCUCUAUGAGCCCAACUUUAGGCUCCAAACGAGAAAUGAAGUCCCAUGUACGAGGCUCUAGAGUCAGGAGCUUAUGGACAUCCAUUUCAACCGUAUAAACAAAUUUGGGCUCCUUCAGCACCUGCAGACAUCAGGAGAGCACCCAAAUGACCACAGAGAUAUGUUAUGAUUUUCAUCUUUCAAUGGAUAAAACAAAAUACAACAUGAAUGGAAUCAAGCAGAUAGGAUAAGGAAAGAAAAUACCGAAAGAGAUAGCAUGGAUUACUUUAAUAGACUGAAUUUUGAUUUUAGAGAGAUCAAUUGUCCAACACUAGAAGAAUGAGAAAGGAAGAGAAAUUGGAGAAAAAACAAGAAAUCAAAUAGGAUCUUGGGAGAUUUUGGAUGGAACUUCUAUACAGAAGUCCUUUAUAUUUGGAUAGGGAGACAGAGAAAGAGAGAGAGAUAGAAAGAGAGAGAGAGAGCAUGUAUUUCUCCUAAAUGCAUAUAGUUUCUAACCAACAAGUUUUUUUACCCAUUCAAGAGUGUUCAAGGGCUUCUUUCCUGCUUUGUUGAUAAAUAGUGGCACUGGAGUCUCAUAUUACAUAAUAGUCCUGCCAUGCAUGAUUGUUAUGUCAAUUUGUCCAAGUUCUUUGUUUUCAAUAAUCACCUUUCAAUGAGGAGCAAUAUAAACUUUUGAAAUAAUAUGGACCCCAAUUCUCUGUUUCACUAGCAUUGCAAUUUGCAAGUUAACAAAUUCAAUGAACAAUGUGCUUUCAUGUUGAACUUAACUAACAGUGCAACAUCCGUAGACUCUGAUUUUUGGUUUCUCACGAUCUGGUAGCAUACUUAAAACACUUUUUUGUGGUAUAUUUUCUGUUAUAAAAUCUUCCUUGUUUGGUAAUACCACUCUAUUAAACCUAUUUUUCUACACACAUCAACGGACCAGCCUUUAGAACCUUGAGUUCCUAUAGAACAUAUUAACUAUACUUUUCAUUAAAUAUGCCUGCAAUAAAAUUCAAAAAUAUAUUAAAAAAAAAAUUUCAUUUUUUCCAACAAAUUUCAAUAGAAAUGACAUACUAUCCCAUUUUGCUUUGUUACUUGAUUUCAUCUAGCAGGAUCAAAUACAAAGCAACAUAACAACUCACCAAUAGAAGGACAUGGCAUGCCAUAAAGGAACAAUUUUGGAGUACCAAAAAAUAGGAGAAGUCACAAUAGAUAGAUAAGUACAUCAUAAAUAUUUACACAACAAAUCAAGAGACAGGUCACAGGCGGUUUAUUUUGCAACUGCAUUAGCAAAGCCCAAUAAAUCUGAAGUUAAGUAUGAAUGGAUAAGAGUGCGUUCGGCAGUGUUUCUACUCAAAGUGCUUUUAGUGGAAAUGUUUUAUCCGAAAGUGCUUUUAGGAGAAUCACCUAUCAAGUGUUUAUCCAAAAAAUGCUAAAAGUGAUUUUCCAAAAAUAUAAGUGAUUUUUCAGGUUUUUAAAAGUAUCUAUUCAAUUUUGCCAAAUACCUUCUUUCUUUUUUUUUCAAAAAUGCUUUUUAAACUAAAAACACUUCAUAGAAUCACUGCCAAACGGAUUCUAAUACUCGCUUGUAAUACAUAACACAAUACAUAUAGAACAUAAAAGGAAUCAAUAUGUUAUUUUCAGAAACAAACCUUCCUUGCAUCAAAAGACUUCCUUACAACCAAGAAUGCCUCUGGGGGAAGCAUAGAAGCAACCUAGCACAAUAAAUAUAAAAUGGUAACUUAGUAUACCACCCAUCCAUAUAACAAUCUAGAAUUAAAAAAAUCAAAGAUAUAACAAAUUGAACUAAACCAAGAAAUGAAGUGAGCCACAGGAAAAGCAUCCAAGCACAAACUACAGUUCCACACAAACUGCCAUAAAGAUGAAAGAAUUGGCUUCACAGCAAUGAAAAUGAAGGGAAAUAAAAGAAGAUGAAAUUUCGAAUAUUAUCUUUCUCAUUUCCUGCCACUAAGGUGGAAAACUAAAAAACCCCAACUCAAAAGCCCACUGCAACCAUACGUUUUAGUCAAUCCAAAUACCAAACCAGCAUAAAGAAAAUUUCUUUUCUCUCCUUUCAUUUCUUCAGUUUUAUCUCAGCGUCCAAACAGAGGAAGUCCAAAGGGUUGGGCAGUUCCUUCAAGCAAAAAAUCAAAUACACCACUAACGUUUCUUUUGAUGGAUGUUUAUAAGCAACCCAUAAAAAUACACACAAAAAAAAAACCUGUUUGAUUUUUCUCACAUUUCCAGCAACCACACCAAAAGCAAAAAAAAAAAAAAUACACAAUUCAAAAAAGGAAAAAAAAAAAAAAAAACUUGGUUUCUUUUCUUUUCCUCAAAUUUCUUAGUACCCAAACAGCUCAUUACCGGGAAUUUGAGAACUUUGGCAAUUUCUUGGAGCAAGCCCUCAGAAACGUCAAGAAAAUCCUUUCCGGGGUCCAAGUGAAGUGGAACACCAAGCUUGGAAAGCCUCCAAAUGCCUUGAAAUUUGUCAUUGACAUGAGUGAGGGCUUUGUGUUUCAGCUUGAGCUUCUUCUUCUCGGAUGGGUACCUCUGCUUUCCAGUUCUCUUAGCACACUGGAUUUGGAGGGUUUUGGGCUGACAAUAUAAGGGUCUUUUAGGGUUUAGGAAUCUGAAUUUUGGGUUAGUAUUAGGGUUCGGAGGGCAGUAGGGGAGAGGAAGGAGCUUGGAGGGAAUGGACAUGGUGGGAACUGUCGACGAGGAGGGGAUAAUGUUUUUGAAUUUUGGAGAGAAUUUUUCAGGUAUUUUAAGCAUAAUUAUUUAAGUUUAUAGAAUUAUAUUUUGAUUUAUUAAAUUAUGUAAAUAAAUCCAACAAAAAAAAAAAAACUUCUAGAAAAUCCACUUUGUUCUAUUGCUAAAAAUGUCUAAAUUAAAUUUUAUGUCCAUUAGUAGUGGAUUUGCCGUAUAUGUUUCUAAAAUUUUGUUUAUUUUUAAAAAAUAGUUAAUAUUAAUUAAGUUUUUUUAAUUUAAAAUAAAAAAAGUUUUAAAUUAAUUUUUAUAAAUUUUAAAAUUUUUUAAAAUUAAUAUAUUUCUAAGGAAUAUUUGCUAUCGAGGAACGAGAAAUGAGAAAUAUGAAUAUACAUCUCAUUUCUCCACACUCUCACUUUCAUGUUUAAAUAAAUUAUAUGAAGACAUAAAUAUAAUAAAAAACUAUUUUGAUAGUAAAAAUUAAGAGUCUUAUUUGAUAAUGAUUAUAAGAAGUGUUUCUAUCCCUUUUAAUACUUAAAAGUUAAAAAAUUUAAAAUGUUAAAAAAAUUAUAAUCGUUUUUUAAAAUUGUUAUUAAAUAGACUCUAAAUUUUAUUUAUAAAUCGUAUUUGAAUUUAUUAAAUAAUAAUUUAUCAAAUAAGUAAUGUAAGGAAUGAACUUUAAAAAAAAAAGUAUACAUUAUAUAUUUAAAAAAAUCAUAAUAUUUAACUAAAAAUUAUAAAAGAAAAAUAUUAAUAUUUUAAUAAGCAUAUACAUUUUAUUUAUGUCUUAAAUAAUAUUACCCUAUUUUAAAUAAUCAUAGUAAUAAACAUUCAAACAAAUAAAUGUUGGCAAAAAAAAUUAUUUAAAUAUCUUAUUUAAAAUUUUUUACAUUAUAUAUAAAUGAACAAUUAACAAGCAUGAUCCUUAAAAUAAAUUUAUAUUAUAAGUAAAAAUGAUUUUUGAUAAAUCAAUUUAAUAAUUUAAGUAAUAAUAAUUAACAACAUAAAAUAUUGAAAAGUAACGUAUAAUGUUGAUACUUUCUUGUAAAAAUAAAAUAAAAUAAUCCUGAAAAAAAAAAAAAGAAGUGCCAAAAUCUGGAUUUUUGUGUAAUUUAGCCACGUUCAGCCACUAAGUUGUAAGUUGUAAGUUGUAACAAAGUUACAAAACCCUAAAUUUGUAUGAGCGGCGCCCAAAAUUUUUUUGGACCGUUAGAUUUCGAUCUCACGGCGCAGAUUAAAAGCCCUAACUAUAAAUAAUGAUCGUCCCCCUGUGCUCUUCAUUCAUCGAGCCCGUUCUGUAGGUUUUGCCAUAGAGGGCUCCUCUCUCUAUGGGUUAGGGUUAGGAUUGGGUUUCAGAAGUCCUCGACGAUAGGUCUGGGUUCAGAUUCGUUCUGAUUUGUAGUUCUGCAUGCGACGGGGGAGUUGAGAGACUCCUUCACAUAAACGGAGCAAACCAGUGGCAGUGUUUGCAAAUUCCAAUGUGAACGUCGCAGAAAAAAGGAUCGUUGGCGUAGAGGUUCGAGAGUUCCUCCGCCGGUGAGAGUGUCUCAUAUUCCAUCGCCUUGUGGAGCAGCGUUGCUGCAGUUACCUCUUGGGACUGGCCAUGAGACAUACAUUUCUUUUGCUUUUCUUCUUUUUCUUUAAUUUUGAUUGGGUUGAUGCCUGUGAUGAAAUCAGUUAUCAAAACACCAUCUUUCGGGACUGAAUGGCUCUUCAAAAGCCUUGCUGAUAUUCUGCAAUUCUGAGGCUACUUCGUUUUAAAAUCAUACCUUUUUUUUUCAUUUUCCAAUAUGAAUUUUCUUCUAUUUAUCAGAUUUUAUAAUAGGGUUUCAUCCUCUGAUAUUAAUCUAAAAUUUGUAUACUAAGUUACUAACUAUAACAAACUCUAAUGAAAAACAACAAGAAACAACGCCAAAAGUGUCCAAAAAAAGAACCAAAAACAUCAUAGAAAUUUAAAUGAAAUUAUAAUAAACCAAAAAAAAAAAAUAGAAAGCCCUAACAAAAAAACAACCCCGAAAAAACCCCUAGUAGUAAAUAGUAAUUACUAUAAACCCUAACAAAAAAUAAAUGCAAAAAAUCAUAACUAAAAUAGAAUCAAUAUAUUGCUUUUUUUUUUUUAUUAUUUUAAAAAAAUCAAAGUGAUUUUUGUUUGUUUAUUUAAUUUUAAAUAUAAUUUAAAACUAAAUAAUAUUUAAUACUAUUAAGUUUUUUAUUUUUAUAAUAUUUUUAUUUAUAUUAAAUAAAAAAAUCAAUAUAUUAUUUUUUUAUUUAAAAAUUAAAACAUUUAAUUUUUUUUAUUUAAUAAAAUUUUUAUAAUAAAUACAUUCGAUAAAAGGUUAAAAAACAAACACAUAAAAAAAAAAUUAUAAUAAAUGAUAAAAAAAUGUAUUUAUAAUAAAUCAUAAAUAUUUAUACAAUGCUAAGUUUCAAUUCAAAUUAGGCGUUCUUAUUCAAAUUAAAUUAAUAUUUUUAUCCACAUCUAAUAAAAAUAUAUUUAACAAUACUUCCUUAAUAUAUCAUAUGAGAUUUGGAAUCAUAAUUUUUUAGAAGUUUAGUUUUUUAUUAUUAUUAUAAUUAGGUUUUCAUAAUUGUUCCUACAUAUAUUCCAAAACAAUGGAAAGUUAUAUAUGGUAAAUUUUACCUAAUUACUUUUUUAUUGGUGUGGAAAAUUUGUUUUUAUGUUGAAAAUAUUGUUUUUUGAUUGCUCACAAAAAUGAUGAAAUUUUUUUAAAACCUAUAAUAAAUUAGAGUGAAUUUUGAUUUUCUUGAAACCUAAUUGGGUAUUUUCACCUUAUUCCGAUUAUAUAUAUAAUUAAAUUAAAAAUAAUUUUUUAAAAUUAACAUAUAAAAUAAAAAAUCACUGUGCAAUAGAAUAAGUUAUAAAAAAUUAUAAUAUUUUAUUUAUAAAAUAAAUUUAUUUUUAAUAUGAUUACUUCUCAUAGACAUGAAUUAAAGUAGAAAAUUUUCAAACCUACCAAGUCUUAAAUUUGAAUGACACUACUUUUGGGUGUGAUAUUGAUUAGAAACUCUACAAACUUCAACCACCGUUAUAAAAACCUCAUUUUUGGGAAGUAAUCUGAAAAGAGAAAAGGAAGGAGAAAUAGAUGGGAAGGGAAGGACUUGACCUUUUAAAAUUGGCUUUAUCCUCUCACUAAAAAGAUAAGCAAUUGACAUCAUCAUCAUCACAAUAAACUAUACAAAGGAAUCCAAUUCUCUGCUACAACCUGACCAAACUCUAAUAAUUUGCUUUGGUUCUACUCUCCUUUUCUGGUGUGUUGAGAUCAUCCAUGGCUUCUGAGCGGAAACCAGAGAUCUUUGAACUCAACAAUGGGACCAUGCAGGUCAAGAUCACCAACUAUGGUGCCACCAUCACUUCCUUGUCUGUACCAGACAAAGAUGGUAAUUUUUUUCAGUUCUCUUUUGAUUGGUUUCUCCUCUCAUUUUGCUCUCAGAUGUUUUGCUGAUGUUUGGGUUCUGGGAAUUUGAAGGAAACUUGGCUGAUGUUGUUCUUGGGUGCGAUUCUCUGGAACCAUAUCUGGUAAAUUCUUUUACUCACUUUUCAAGCGAAACCCAUUUGAUUUCUCUUAUGAUUUUGUGAUUCCUUGAGAAAAUUGAUUUUGGGUAUGCAUACUUUUUUUUUUAAUAUGGGUCUUAUGGGGGAAAGAAGCGAUCCAGUUGAUAUUCUGUUAGGAUUUCACUGCUAAAAAGCAAACCCAUUUGAUUUCUCUUCAUGUUUUUUAGAUUUCAUGAGAAAAUUGAAUCUGGGUGGAUUGAAUUUUCCUUUUUCAUGGAAAAGAAAAGUGACCCAGUUGAUAUUUUGUUGGAAUUUCACUGUUCUGGUGCAAUUUGGCUUGAUUUUAUCUGUCCUUUUGGGUUAUUUCUGUGUGAUCAGAAAGGUGAUGUGCCCUAUUUUGGGUGCAUUGUUGGUAGAGUUGCAAAUAGAAUCAAAGAUGGGAAGUUUACUCUCAAUGGGAUUGAAUACCAAUUGCCCAUCAACAAGCCCCCAAACAGUCUCCACGGUAUGGAAUUUGUCUGUUCUCUUAUAUUCUAAUGAUUUUCUCAAUUGCCUUAGGGUUUUGUUUGGAUCUCAGGAAAAUUGAGGAAAGGAAAGGGAAAUACUGAAAACAUCUGAACAAAGGACUUUUCAUUUUUGCAAUGUUCAACAUUUUCAUCAUCAUGGUCUCUCCUAAUAUCCAAAUCUUAGAAUUCCAUGGACUUUGUACAGUUGUUGUGUUGUAAUUCAUGGUCUUGCUUUUGAUGUUUCUGCGUAAAAAUUUUUGGGUCUUUUGAAGCUUAAUCAGUACUGUUAGAUCUAUUUGAAAACUUGAAAGUUGCCCUCUAGCACCUUUGCAGGUAUUUUACCAAUCAGCCUUUUGGUAAUGGAAACCGAAAUACAAAAUAAUUUCUGAUAAAAUUAUUGCACACUGAACCAUUUGAGCUGGUGAUGUUAAAUGGUUUUGUGGCCUUGGUUGUUUGUAUGGAAUUUUCUCCUUAUAAACUGUUUUUUUUUUUUUCAUUUUUCCCCUUCAUUGGGUGUGUUUUUGAUAGUUAAUAACUUGAAUGAACUUAUCUCAAACAAAGCCUUAUCAUAAGUAUUUGGGUUUAAAUAUGUUUUCUGUCAUUCCGGUUUUGAUUAUCAAAUUACAAAUUCAUAGAUCAGUUUUGUAAACAAAUUUCCCCCAGUUUGGUUGAUGAGAAAAUGAAGGAAAACAAAAGGUUUUUUUUGGUCCGAUUUUUUACCAUUUUUUUAUAGUGUUGAGCAAUAAUUGAAAAGAUGGAAAAUACUUUGAAAACUUUUGCGUUAUACAAAGUGUACAAUACCUUCACAAAGACUAACCCGGGAAAAAUGUUUUUCAUAUUUGAGUUCCCAAGUAGAAUUCUGUUCCUAAAAACAAUUGAAAGCUUGCAACUUUUUUUUGAAAACAUAGUUAUGAAGGCCUUAGGUCUGCUUGUUCAAAAUGGGAAGUAUGAUGCUCAUAGUUGAGAAUUUCAUGACCUGAAUGUAGUUAUAUGUAGAAUGAAUUCUUAUGCAGAAGUUAUAUAUUUUCUUGUCUUUAGGUGGGCACAAGGGCUUUAGCAAGAAGGUCUGGGAGGUGGCUGAAAGGAAAGAAGGCAAAACCCCAUCCAUCACUUUCAAGUACCAUAGUCACGACGGGGAAGAAGGUUCUCUCUCCCUCGAUCUCUUCCCCCCACUCUCUCUCUCUCUCUCUCUCUCUCCCCCUCUCUUUUAAUUCUUCUGUUACUGUUCUAACAGGUUACCCAGGAGAUGUUUCCGUAACUGCAACUUACACUCUUACUUCGAGCACAACAAUGAGGCUUGACAUGGAAGCUGUGCCUGAGAACAAGCCCACUCCAAUCAACUUAGCUCAACACACAUACUGGAACUUAGCAGGCCACAGCUCCGGCAACAUACUUGACCACUCCAUUCAGAUAUGGGGAUCUCAUAUCACUCCUGUGGAUCAGAACACAGUCCCAACCGGUGAAAUCACGCCAGUGAAAGCCACCCCAUUUGAUUUCACGACUGAGAAGAAGAUUGGUACCUCAAUCCAUGAGGUUGGCCUAGGAUACGACCACAACUAUGCACUCGACUGCGGUGAGGAGAAAGAGGGCUUGAAACAUGCUGCAAAGGUGAAGGACCCAUCAAGCUCAAGGGUCCUGAACUUGUGGACAACUGCUCCAGGCAUGCAGUUCUACACUGCAAACUAUGUGAAUGGAGUUGCUGGAAAAGAUGGAGCUGUUUAUGGAAAGCAUUCAGGGCUCUGCUUGGAGACACAGGGAUACCCAAACGCCAUUAACCAGCCAAACUUCCCGUCCAUCGUCGUCCAGCCAGGGGAGAAGUAUCAACACACCAUGUUGUUUGAGUUCUCCGUUGAGUGAAGGAGCAGAUAUAUUUGAGAAAAGUCUGCUCUGUGUUUGGUUUUCAAUGGCUGUGAGACCAUGGAAUCUGAAUAACAAUAAGCUUAAAUAAUGAAAUGAUGAGAAAUGAGUUUGGUAACACUCUUUUGGUAUCAAUUCUAUCAAAAAUACUUUUUAAAGGAAAUUGGUUCUAUUUGAAUAUAUAGAAGAAAAAUACAAUAGUAAUCUUUACAUUAAAUAUCAGUCUCUAAUUUAAAUAAAAGAAAUAGCUCUAUGAAUAUGAUGUUUUUCACUCUGAAUAUGCUGCUCACGAGAUUCAAAAUUUAGAUCCCAAAACUCGAUAAAUGUACUUAACAAAACUAAAAGCAUAAACAAUCAGCAGUGAUUAUUCCGCAGAUAUAUCAUCAAAGGGUAUCUUAACAAUUCAAAAUGAAAAAAAAAAAAAAUCAUGCAUAGUUUUCUUCGUCUUGAUCAGAAGAUGCAGAUCAUCUCACUUUGUUCGAAUCAGUUCCAGUGGUAUAGUUUCCAUUGCCAGCUGAAAGUUGUAAAGAAAAUUUUUUAGAAAUGAGAAAUAGCUGCCAUUUCUUCGUGAAUUGCUGAAACUAUACUUACCCAGAGUCUGGGAGUUUUGGGAUCGGAUUUUGGAUGCAGUUUCACCAGUUCUGACUCGAAGGUAAUGACGAUGGAGAUUUUGAACUCAAUUGAAAAUGGACUGCACACAGAACUUAAUGAGCUAGUUUAUAGAUUUAUAAUUGUAGUUGUGGUGUCUAAAUGAACCAGAAUGAAGAAGCGGAGAAACCGAACAUAUCAGCUGAAGUCAGAGCAUUCCAAUGAGCAGUCAUAGAAUUAGAACUCAAAAGGCACAAUUGUUCAUAAUUACUACUCAACUCGUGGAAUCAAUUUUGGGAGGUCAAGGAAUCAAGAAAAUAACACACUUCUUUAAGCAGAAGAAGGAAGUGUGAAAUCAAACGUUUAUCAACUUGCAAAGAAUACAGAGUUAUAAUGCCUUGGGCAGUGAUGUUCCAUUUUGAGGGACAAAGAGGCUAACAUGAGCCAGGUAAAUGUAUUCAAGAAGUAAUAAUAAAACAGCAAAAUUUAAUCCCAAUUGGUAGGUUUGUUGAAUAUUUACACCUUUCAACUAUCCAAAAUAAAAAUCAAUGCCAUGGAAAAACAUUCUAUAACUUAAUUAAGGAUAGAAAAAGGAAAUUGAAAUGGAAUUAUGGAACAAUCAUGCAUCAGGGACUCACCCAGCUAAGACUGUCGGACAAGUCAAAAGACGAGGAAGAAUAACAUAGAUUGGAAUGGUCACUCUACGACACACAUCUCCAUCUGCUAUCUAGUAAAUGGGAGGAAGGAAUUAAAAAAAGUUGAAUAAAAUGAAAGUGAGGUUAAUAUAACUCGAUAAGUUGGGAAAUGCUACAUGCCUGCGUUGUCUGAAUCAAAGAGCUUUCAGUUACAAUCUUCUCUCCAACAAGAAUUGACUCUACACGGUGCAGUUGAAGAUCAAUGGAAUGAAUGGGAACUGCAGAUGCUUCUACUAUUAGCUCACCGCUGAUAGGAUCUAACAAAGAACACUGAGAGGACACUUUUCCAGUCACUCGAAAUCCACCUAGUCAACAAUAUCUACCAUCAGCAGGUGAUGAUGGCAUUACCAUGUUUUGAUUAAUAAAGAACUCUAAAUGUAUUGAGCCUAAGUACCCAAUAAUGUAACUCAUGCUCAUUGCAUGUGUUUGAGAUAAAUGGUCACUUAAAAGAUCCAACAACCCAUGGAAAGUAAAAUAUGUCUAUUUGAGAUUUGAAUUAAAGGACAUUAGGGCAACAGGAUGAAUAAGUGAGAACCUGAUCUUAACUCAGGAAGCAGUGGAUGUCUUUGUGUGUCCUGAGUGAUGUAGAAGAUAACCAUUUCAGGAGGAACUGGUGGCUCAAAAAGAUUAGCUGAAAGCAGAACAGCAGCAGAAAGAUGGAGACUUUUCCAAUUCAGUCACAGAAGAAAUUAUAAAGAAAUAGCACAAUGGGAUCAUACCUUUAUCACUGUCAAUUAUAAACUCCAUUGUAGCAGAUAAUGAUUUAUAUAGGUAUCCUCUCAUUACAUCUACAGUUACCAGAUACUGCCACAGUAUUCAUAAAUCAUGAGAAACCAAAUAGAUACAAUAACCUCAGCAGAAAGCAAAAGCUGUGAAGAUCUGCACCUUUCUGAAAAAGACAAACCCUUACCUGGAUGCUGAUAUUUGCCCCAUGGAAGGUUUCAUAAAAUCUAUCAUCUCCUUGCUGCCUCAGAAUUACAGAAAAUGGUAUCUGUCCCAGCAAGCAAAAAAUUACAUUAAAUUUGUAACCAAACUACAGAUAUUUCAAUUAGGAUAGACAAGUACUGAAAACUGAAAGCCAAACUGAGAACAACAACAAGCAUGGCAUCUACCAGAACUCUUGAAAGAAAACAAACAAACAAACAAAUAAAUAAGUAUAAAAGCAUACAACUAGAAAUAAUAAAAUAAAAUAAAAUAUAAAGUGCAUUAAAGAAGGGACUGAAUCUUCAAUGCUAACAUCUUGAAAAAAGAAAACAGACGAACAUCAGAUGAGAGGAGUUAGCCGAAAGGACAAGAAAGACAAAUUCCCACCAACCAUAAUGGGAGUGAGAAGAUUUGUGACAGGAAAUUGAGUUCUAAAGUUAGUAGACCCAAAAUACAGCAGAUUCAAAAGCCUUCAAUCUAUGAACAAAAGAGAUUUUAGUUUCAGUAGUGAUUUCACCAUCUAAAACCACAUCAGGUAUCAUAAGAUGGUUUUAAAACUAAAAGCAAUGUUAAACUAAUGCUGCUCUUCUAACAUACUACCUCAGUUGUACCUGAACCAAUCUUUCCGGCAGGUCUAAUCUCAACACUCUUGUUCCUGUUUCCAAGAGAAAAAAAUCAGGAAAGGAGGAAAUAAUAUGGAAAAUGAGUAAAGAUUAAGUUAUUUGUACAGCUAUCCUUACAAGCCAAGAAUUCAAAAUGAAAAAAAAAAAAAAGCAAAUGAGGAUAAUUACUAAUUUCACCUCAUAUUACAAUGGAGAAAUUGUAAUAUCUGUGCAUUUAAGACAAGGAUGUGAUGUAUGAAAAUACAUAAAGAUAUUGUAACUGAAAGUAGUGAGACAUGGCUUAUAACUGAUGAUGUUUAUAACCUUGAAUCCUUUUAUAAUAAAUUAUAUCCGUAUCUCAAAAGAUAGAAGACAAAUGUAAUAUUAUAUAUAUGUAUGUAUAUUGAAGAAUGAGAAGUAAUUCAGAAAAGAAAAUGUACAGUGAGUACAUAAAAGAGAGACAAAACUCCUUUGCAAAAAAUCCCUAGGCUCGUAACUAGAGAAGAGGAUCCUCUCUUUGCAACCCUGUCAGCUUCCUAAUUUGCCAAUAUAGAUUUCCAAGAGAAGUAGCAAUCAAACACCCUAAUGGGGCCCACAAUCCUUGCACCUAAGUUAUAUCUUGGCUUAACAACCAAACAAGUGGUCCCUUUUAGUGCACCUUGGGCUAGAGCAACAAGGUGGUUGCUAGGGGAACACCUCAUACCAAAAGUUAGCCAAGUGUUUGCUGGAUGGCUUCUAAUAUUCCCCCAUUUUAAGUUUUUCCAGUCCUUAAGUUGUGCAAUUCUAGCACAGGAAAAUCCUACCCUAAUAAAUGUGAUGGAAUGAACCAGAUGAGAACAAAGGCAUAACUUCCUUACAUAAUUAAGCUAGCCCCCAAAUUAAAGGGAUUAGGCUUGAUCCAAUUCUGAGAAAUCAGGGCCUAGUCAGGAUCUUAUAUCCCACAAUUCCCACCAGUUAAGCUAGCUCUAAACAUAAGGAGCCACACAACAAAAGUAUGCACAAUAACCACCAAUAAAGUCUAAGAAAAAUUCCCAUCAGUUUCUAUGGCUGACACCGAAUCAAUAUCAUUUGCAGGUGGAAUUUCCAGCUCAUUUGCACCAAAUCCAGCUCCACCUGGGGAGAGCCCUAAGAGGACAAUUUCAAGUUCUAUAUACAACACUAAAUGACUCAUUUGCUCCUAAAUAUCAUUAUAUCCAAUUUGCUAAUCGGGCAAAAGAAUGAUGUAUCACUAAAUGAGCAACAAAUUUGUAAUCCUUUUGCACUCCAAAAGUUGGUAAGAUUCUUCCCAUGAGAUAGACAAGAGUUACUCUUUUAUCACUUUAGCACCUUCUUCUUUCUUUUUCUUUUUUUUUUUUAUAUUUUUUUGCUCGAAUUAAUAAGACAGCCAAAUCAUCAGAGACAUCCUCUCUAUAAUUCAAAUUUAUUUUAUUGCUUAAAACAAGAUAAUUGUCACUUAACAAUAAGAAAUAACUUUGGAGAUUGCAGUUUUUUAUCAUGUGUAUCAGCUUACUGUAUUGAGUCUACUCAGACACAAACACACAUGCACACAUAUUUUAUGUAAUUUUAUAAAAUGGAGGCAGGUGACUAUAAGUUAAGGAUAUGGAGACUCCAUUGGGAAGAACCACUACCAAUUGUUGUACAUGCAGGAUAUAAGCAUGGUAGCUUUGCUGAUAAAAUAAUGUACUUUGAAAAGAUGGACUUUCUUUGAGAUGCCAUUCUCCAAGAAGUAAGCUAGACUCACUAACUUCUUCAACCCAUCUUAUUAUGUAAAUCCAUCGAGAUUACAGAUUAAAUCUUAUAAUCUCCACAAUAAUCAGCUCACUGUCGGAAUUAAAAUUUCCUGAUUUUUUUUUUCUAUGGAAACAAAUGGAGUGUGAGGCUUAGAAGAAACACUUAGAAACUACAUAAAAAUCAUGCUCUAUUAGCCUGUGGAGUAAAAGUAAAAAAAUAAAAUAAAAAAAAGUGCUUUAAUUAAAUUGUUGAUUGAUAUUUCCAGCUGUUUUGUUUCACAGCAAGUGAAAAACUUAACUAGCUAUACCAAAUCAUUAUAUUAAGCAUUUGGUGGGCAUUUUCAUUAUCUGGGGGGCUCCAAAUGAUGAUAAUUUUAUGGUGAAAAAUUUAGUUUCUUAAAUUUUCACACAUUUUCUCAGUCAUUAGUCCAAUGAAGCAAUUAGUGAACUGGGAUUUUUGACAUUUCUCGGCCAUUACUGUCCACCAUCUUCUCCAACUACUUAAUCAAAUACACUCUUUUGGUUUUUUUUCCCUAAUUCCACAUUAACUGAAAUCAUAUUUCAAAUACAUAAUGCAAUAAAUUGGAACAGAACCAUCAGAGACAGAUCGUUACACAAUGCGUAUAGGCUUGACAGCACCAUACAAGGCCUCAAUUGCUCCUGCUGAGCCUCCCCGAACCUAUCAGCAACAACAAAACAAUUUCAGAAUAGAUUAUCGUAAUGGUCAGGAAGAUUUCUCAAACAUAAGCAGAGUUCUUCUUUCAUUUCUGGUUUUCCCUAGGGUUUUUCGAGAAGCCAAACAGAGGAGUUAAUUGACACCUGUCGGUUGACGGAUCCAUCGAGAGUGAGGCGAAUCCCAUAGUGAGAAAUUGAAGAGGGUGACUUCAGGAUGAUUUUGCCUUCAAGAGGUUCCUGAAAUUCAACAUUUAGAGAAAAAUUUUAAAGAAAUCAAAAAGGAGAGAACAGGAGGGGAGAGCAUGUGAUUACGGCGGGAAAAUAGAUGCGGUUAGGUCGGAAAAGUUUGAUCUCUAUUGACAUUGCCCACGCCCCCUACUCCACAAAGGCGAGUUCAAGAGCCAAAACUAGAGCUAUUAGCCUAGAUUUGAUCUGCAAAAUCAGCUCUCUUCCAAACUAAAUUUGCGUUGUCCCUUGUCCAACGUGGUAUGAGUCGUAUGACAAAGGUUUAUUUGAAAAAUUAAAAUGUUUUUAGUUUUUUUUUUUUUAUGUUUUAAGAUAUUUUUUAAAAAUAACUUUAUUUGUAAUGUUUUAUUUUAAUCCUUCCCCGUAAUUAUAUAUAUAGUUGAAAAACCUUCAUAAAAAAAUAAAAAUAAUUUAAAACAACUCAAAUAUGUUUUUAAAAGACACUCUAAUUUACAUUUUAAAAAAUAAUUUUUUUAUUUUUAUUUUCUAAUUAUCAAAUAUAUAUAUAUAUAUAUUUAUAUAUAUUUUACAAACAUAAAAAAUAAACUUCCCUUAAUUUUUAAUUUUUUAUUAUCAAACAUAACUUUUUGGACAACAAACAACAAAUUCAUUACAGAAUUUAAUUUCGUGUUUGGGUUUGGUAGCGGGUUUUUAAAACAAUUUUUUGUUAUACAUAACAAAAAAAUAGUAGGUUUUACAAAAAAAAUAUAUAUAUAUAUAUUUUUAUUCUUAAAGUUAGAAAGAUGUUUUAUAUAAUAUGUUUUAGUUGUUUCUAUAUAUAUAUAUAUAUAUAUAUAUAUAUAUAUAUAUAUAUAUAAUAUUGUUUUAAAAAAUAAUCAUUCAAAUAUAAAAAAUAAAAUAUUAUUUAUAAAAAUUAAUUUUAAUGUAUAUUAAAAAAUAUUAAAAAAAAAAGGUUAAAAACAUUUUAAUUUUUUAAAUAAUUUAUUGUUUUAAAAAUAUUCUCAAUAAUUAUUUUUUGUAAAUGUUUUUAUGUAUAAAAAAUAUUUUUAAUGCAUAUUAAAAAACAAAAAAAUAAUAGGUUAAGAAUAUUUUAAUUUUUCAAAUAGUUUAUUGCUUUAAAAACUAUUUUCAAAAAUGAUUUUUCAUAAAUAUUUUUAAAAACAUUUUCUAAAUAAUUAAUUUUCAAAAUUAUUUUUGAAAAUACUCUCUCAAUUAAGUUAUAAUCUCUCGAAAAUCUUCUAAAAACAAACUAGAGUCAUAGCCUCAAAAUAAACUGUUAGAAAAAUUAAGCUAAUCCAAUUUAUGAUAAUCACUCUAGAGAGGGGGUGAAUAGGGUGAUGGUUUUUUUUUUGUAAAUUUAAUGUAAGAGACAAAUAUAUGCAAAUAUAUAAUAAAACAAUAUAAAGACAAUUGCAUAUAAAGUAAAAGAGUAGAGAAGAGAUAAUGCAAAUACAAGAUUUUAUAGUGGUUCAGCGCAACCCAACCUACAUCUACUUUCCUCUAACUUCAAUCCCAAACUUGAAGUUCCACUAAUUUAAAGCUUCCAAACCAAGCCUUCAAGCAAAACAAUUGGAUUUUGGUUCCAAUCCACCCUUUUGGACUUUUGGCUCCAAGCACCCUUUACAAUCCUCAAAAGAUACCCCAUUCUUGAACAACCUCUCAAGUGAUACCUCACACUUGAGAAUUUUAAUCUCAAAGAUAUAUAAAUAAUUGAUCUCACAAAAUCCAAGUACAAAAACUUUAAGCUUAAAUAAUACAAGAAAACUAGGAUUGAAAUGUACACUAAUGAUAUGCAAGUUUUAGAACAAUGGUACAUUAAAAACACUCUUCUAAGGCUCAAAUAUAUUCAAGAAAGGUUUGAGAAGGUUGAGCUCUCAAACAAUGAAGAUUUAAAGCAUUUUUAUAAAGGAAAAAAAAUCCAAACUAGCCAUUGGGGGUUUGACCGGUCGAGUUGGGGGUUGACCGGUUGACUAACCAUUAACAUUUAAUGCUUGGUAGGUGAUUGUUGGACCUCGACCGAUCGAGGUGUGGGUCGAUCGGUUCCUCAUCUGGUUGAACAACCAUUAUGGAAGAGAGAUAAGGUUUUUUGCACCCCUUGACCGAUUGAGCUGGCGGUUGAUCGGUUAUUAUUCAGACCCUUGACCGGUUGAACUGGGGGUCGACUUGCUCUUAGACUGCUUGAGUUGGGGGUCGACCGGUUACUCAUUCGAUUCAACCGGUUGAACCGUUUUUGGCUCAACAACCAAUUUUUUCAACUUAAAAUCUUUUAAACAAGUUUGAAAAACAUUUGACACAAGGUUUUAGUUGAAAACAUGAAAUCAUCCAAUUUUAAAAUAUUUGAAACAAAAUAACUCUUGAAUGAUUUUGGUACAUAAUUAAAUAAUGUAUGUAUGAAAAUCCUAGUGCACCAAUAAUCUUACGAAGAGAUCUUAUGAAACUUGGGUCUUGAAAAACACUUCUCUUUGAGGUGGUCUUUUUCUUCAUGAUUUCUCCUUGACUUGAUUUGUUUUUGUGACUGCCAUUUUGAAAAUCUUCUUGCCUAAUCACACUUUAAAUAUAAUCAUUAAUUCUAAACUUUGUUUUGUUAUCAUCAAACCCGAGAUUAACCAAAUCUUAGUUUCACAAUCUCCCAUUUUUUUAUGAUGACAAAACCAAAGUUGCUAAAAAGCUACAUUUCGAUAUAUGCUCCUUUGAAUUUAGAAAAUAUUAAAGUUUAAAAACUUCAAAGAGUAUAUUAAGGAUGCUUAAAAAGAUAUAAUCAAACAUAUAUAGCAUAAAGAGCAAUUUAGCAAUUGGCAAAACAUUAUUAUUAAAUAUAAUGCAUGCAAUUAUAACCAAUAAAGCAUAUAACAUUAAUAUGAAUAGGAUUGCUAAAACAAUAUUGACAUUUCUUUCCAAGUUAGCAACCUACCAUUACUUCUCCCCUUUUUUAUCAUCAACAAAAAGUCUCAAUAAAGUAUAUAAGGAGAAUCACAUUUUAUCAAAAGUCUUGUUUUAAAAAGAAUAAAUAAUAAGUAUGAUAUGAUUUCUCAUAGAAAUGAAUCUCCCUCUUUUUCAUUUAAGAACAUUUUCUAAAUAAAUGAUUGCUCAUCCUUAGAGCAUUCCCAAUUUAAAGCAUAAUUUGGAAAAAAAAUUAUGGGAGAACAUAUGUAUUAAAUAUAUAUAUAUAUAUAUAUAUAUAUAUAUAUAUAUAUAUAUAUAUAUAUAUAUAUAUAUAUUCAUGCAUUGAAUAACACUAUUAGAACAUAUAAGCAUAUGAUCAUUCAAUUUUACCUAGGUGUAUAUUAAAAAAAUCUUAUUUUUAAUCCAAACAUUGGUUUAACAAAUAUGAUCAUUCAAGCUAUAUAUAUAUAUAUAUGUAUAUAUAUAUAUUCAUGCAUUGAAUAACACUAUUAGAACAUAUAAGCAUAUGAUCAUUCAAUUUCACUUAGGUGUAUAUUAAAAAAAUCUUAUUUUUAAUCCAAACAUUGGUUUAACAAAUAUGAUCAUUCAAGCAUGUGAUACCAAAUGUUAUAUUAUUAACAAAAAUUAUAUCAAGUGUUAGCAAAAUGAUAAAAUGAUAUUGCAAAUUAAGCUUUAGAAGGGAUACCAUUACCAAUAUUAUCAAUGCAUUUUUUCCAAGGUAAGCAUAUCCUUCUUCCUGUGAGGUUUAUGGAUUGCAAAGGUUUAUGAGACCAAAAUAAGACAAUAUUUGUAUGGGAGGGAAGAAGUUGUUUAUAAUAUAUAUUUUAAUAUAGAUAUUGGAAAUUUGAAGGAAGACCCAAGGAGUGGAAAAAGAUGGUUUGCUAUGGAGUCCAAAUCUUUUGAGCUUUUGAUUGACGACAUAGGAGAAAAGUUGGGAGGGUGCAUUUGGGAGAGAUGCAGAGGACGAACCUUCUGGAUCAGAUUUGGGGAUGCAAGCCUUAGUAGUUUGUUGACUGGAGUUGAGACUUGUUGUAGAGGAAAUGAUGAUAGAAGCUAGUCCCUCAUAUGGGAUGAAAAGUGAAGGAAGUACAGGCUGGAGCGCCGUUCAAACGAGGCGGGAAGAUUGCUCAUUUUCUCUGUUCGUGAUCUAGAGGCAAAACGUUUUUGCCUAAUUUUUCCAGAAGAGAAUGGGUUGAUUGGUGGAUGGAAUAUUUUGGCAGAGAAGUUGAGAGAGAUUGGGGUAGUUCCCACUAGAGGUUUAAAUGAUUCUCUAUCCAUUGAGAUGCUUAGGAAGGAAAAUGAGCUAAAACCAAGGACUUUUGCAGAUGUUGCAAAAUCGAAAACGGGUAGGUUAGGAGAUAAAGUAUAGUUGGAGUUAGGAAGGAGGGAGAUGCAUGGAAGACUGGAGUAGUUGGAUUGUUGUUUAGUGGGUAGAUGGGAAAAUGUUUCGACCCAUUUCCCUGAGUUGGAUUUUCUGAAGAAUUGGGCUUAUCACACUUGGCUCCUCAAAGGGAGGUUGAACAUAGUUGUGUUGGGAAGAUGACUCAUGUUUUUUGAGUUCGAGUUGUUAAGUGAGAUUGAAUGUGUUCUAGUAAGAGACAAGAGAAUGGUUAAAGACAACGUCUUAUUUUUGGAAAAAUGGUACUCGGAGGUGGGGUGCUUCUGUAAUGGAGCCAAUGCUAACGAAGCUUGGGUGAGAGUGGUGGGUCUUCAUCUUCACAUUUGGAGCCGCGAGGUGUUUAAAUUGAUAGGUGACGAUUGUGGAGGUUUCAUUGUUGUGAACAAAAAUACGAAUUCCAUGGCAAAGUUGCAAUGGCCCAGAAUUUUGGUGAAAGUGGUUGGUAGGGACUUAUCUACCUCUGUUUAAAUUGUAGUUGGGUCAAGGUGUUUCUCAGUCCAUCUAUGGUGGAAAACCCCACCUUGGUUUUCUUAGGUGGUGCCGGCGGGAAGUCUUCUUGGGAAGGGGGUUUCAAUAGACGAAGAUGAAGCAGGGGGAAAACCAUGUGCCGCGUGCAGUGGAAGCGUGUUGGAAAAUGAGUUUCAGUCCAAGGAGCAAACUGGAGUACAAGUUAUGUUUCCCUUUGGAAGUUUUUCAAAAAGUGCUACAGGCUUUUCCUCUGAUUCCUCUGCAGGGGGGUCUAGUCCUGAGACGAUUGAUGGAAAAGAAAGCUUAAGGAAUAGGGCUUGAAGAGGUUAAAAUUGGGCAUGUUCUUUGGGAGGCCCAUAAUAAAAGUGGGUUUGGGGAGGUUAGUCACGAGAUUGCUCAUGUGGAGGUCCCGCUGCAAGGGAUGGAAAGCAAGCCAAGGCCCAUCAUUUUAAAAGGUUGUUUGGUAGGUUGUGAAGAGAGGCCCUUCUUACUUAAGGGAUCUUUAGUGGGUUGCAAGGAGUUGUUUGGAAUGGCCUUUGGGCCUAGAGUAGUGGGAUUAAAAAGAGAUAAAGCUCUUUACCUUUUUGUGGUUGUUGAGAUGGAAGUUAGGACAUUAGAGGAGGCUUUGCGAGCUUAAGAUAGAGAGAAUAAGGGGCUCGUUUGCUUUCUCGGAAGGGCUACGAGGGAUUCAGAGUCUCUUACGGUAAAUGUUAAAGUGAAAAUCACUGAUAAAGCGUUGGUAGCCGAGGCAUCCAGGUACGAUUCCUUUCUCUCUGUCUUUGGGAGAGAUCAAGAUAUCUUCUCUUCUACUCCUUCCUCUGGGUAUGAUCGGGCUUUGGUGGUGGGGGAAUUUUCUGGCUUGGGAGAGGUGGACGUCAUUGAAGGAGUCGGUUUUCAGGCUCCGUUGAGUGCUGUUUUUACUGAUGGUAAUCCAUGGGUGAUGGAGACAAAAGGGGAAAAGUCUUUGGUUGAGAUCAAAGUAAGGGAAUAAGUUGAUAAGCUUGAGUUUGAUGAGGCACUAUAGGAAAUGGAGGUUCCUGGCAGUAGGUUGGAUGAUAGUUGUCUGGCAAAGUUCAGCAAAUCUUUGGGGUUUACAACAAAAAGUGUGGAAUGGGAAAUCCUAAAAUUGCUUAUAAGUUUGAAAAAUAGAAGAGUCCAAGGCAAGAAGAGGGGAACUUUAGGGACGACUAGGUUUGAACGAGAACUCGAGAAGUAAAAAAGUUAGAAUGUUCAAUUAAUUAUGAUGGAGUGAGCAGAAAGAAUGGUUCAGACAGAAAAAGAGUAGAUAGAGUUCUGUAUUUUAAAUGAAGAUUAAGAUAUUAUCUUGGAAUGUUCGAUGGGUCAAUGAUAGAAAUAAGAGGAAAAUAAUCAAAGCCUGAAUAAGUUCUCAAAAAGUGGAUUUGGUCCGUCUGCAGGAGACUAAAAUGACAGACAUGUCUUUAGGGAUGGUGUGAAGCCUAGGAGUGUAGAGCCUUGAAUGCUAGGGGUGCAGUUGGAGGGAUGGUAGUUUUUUGGGAUAACAGAGUGUUGGAGUUGGUAGGGAUGGAGGUGGUUCUUUUCUCCAUUUCCUAUCGAUUCAAUAAUUAUGAAGAUGGUUUCGUAUAGAUUUUUUCAGGAGUGUAUGGUCCUACUAUGAAAAGAUAUAGAUAAUUUUUUUGGGAAGAGUUAGGGGUCAUUCGUGGGCUUUGGAAUGACCCGUGGUGCAUUGAAGGAGAUUUUAAUAUUAUCAGAUUUCCAAAUGAAUGUAGAAGAUGAGGGAGGAUGUCUCCUUCAAUGAGAAGAUUCUCGGAGGUGAUCGAUGAUCUAGAUUUGAGGGAUCUCCCUUUUUAGGGGGGCCCGUUUACUUGGAGUGGUGGGUUGAACAACCAAGCCAUGUCAAUAUUGGACCGGUUUUUGGUGUCGGAGGAUUGAUAGGGCCAUUUCAAUGGGGUAGUGCAAUGUAUUCUUCCCAGGCCAGUGUCUGGUCACUUUCCCAUUCUAUUGGAUGGGAAAGGGGUGAGGAGGUGGUCAACUCCUUUUCGGUUCGAAAACAUGUGGUUGAAAGAUAAGGAUUUUAAGGAUCUACUAAAGGGGUGGUGGCAAGGUUUAAGUUUUAGCGGAUUCUUUAGCUUCAUCAUUGCAGAGAAAUUAGAGGCUUUGAAAGCUAUUUUAAAAUUUUGGAACAAGGAUGUUUUUGGGAAGGUAUGGGUGAAUAAGAGGUUGGCUUUGGACAAAGUGGCUUUCUGGGACUCUCAUGAGAAGUUGUGUUAUUUAUCAAUGAAUGAGCUGAAAACUAGAAAGGAAGCAAAAGAGGAUUAUAAGAAAUGAGCUCUUAUGGAGGAGAUUUCUUGGAAACAAAAAUCAAGAAAAGUGUGGUUGAGGGAGGGUGACAUAAAUACGAGCUUCUUUCAUAGGAUGACCAAUUCCCAUAGAAGGAUAAAUUGUUUGUCUAAGAUUAAAAUAAAUUGAAUCUGGUUAGGAGAAGAGUAAGAAAUUAAUGGGGGCGUGGUUAGUGCAUUCCAGAACUUUCUGGCAGAUCUUGGUGAUUGGCACCCACUUUUGGAUGGAUUAGACUUUGAUAGAAUUGACGUUGAGGAAGUAGAUAUAUUGGAUGAGGUUUUUAUAGAGGAAGAGGUUUUUUCCGCUCUCUCAGAUCUAAACGGGGAUAAGACUCUUAGUCUAGAUGACUUUUCUCUAAGUUUCUGGCAGUUCUGCUAGGAUUUUGUGAAAUAUAAGGUUAUGGGUUUUUUGAAAAAGUUCCCCGAGCAAAGUAGAUUUGCAAGGAGUUUGAAUUCUACUUUCCUAGUCUUAAUAAAAAAAAAACGGGCACGGAGGACCUUAGAGAUUUUAAACCAAUUAGUUUGGUGGGAAGCUUGUACAAACUGUUGGCAAAAGUGUUAGCUAAUAAGCUUAAGAAGGUAGUGGAAAACGUGGUAUCUUAAGCUCAAAAUGCUUUCGUUGAAGGAAGACAAAUUCUUGAUGAUGCCUUAAUUGCCAAUGAGGCAAUAGACUCUUUGUUGAAAUAGAAUAAGAGUGGGAUGUUGUGCAAGUUGGAUAUGGAGAAGACAUAUGAUCACUUAAACUAUAAUUUUUUUGUUGUUUGUGAUGCAAAGAAUGGGUUUUGGGGAGAAGUAGAUUGGUUGGAUUUCUUGGUGCAUUUCCACUGCAACGUUUUCUGUUUUGACCAAUGGUACUCCGACAAGAUUCUUCAACAGUUCAAGGGGGCCGCGUCAGGGGGAUCCACUUUAUCCCUACUUAUUUGUGAUCGACAUUGAGGCUCUUAGUAGGCUCAUCUUUAGAGCAGUGAGGGGAGAGAGGUAUCUUUCAGGCUGUAGGAUAAAUGGAAUAAGUGGAAAUGGGGUUUUGGUCUCUCAUUUGUUUUUCGCUGACGAUACUCUAGUAUUUUGUGAAGCUUCCCAAGAUCAGAUAACUUAUUUAAGCUAUUUGUUGAUGUGGUUUGAAGUCAUCUCAGGUUUGAGAAUCAAUUUGGAUAAGAGUGAAAUUUUGUCGAUAGGAAAAGUCGAAAAUCUGUAGGUUUAGCUCUUGAGUUUGGUUGUAAAGUGGGAAGACUUCCAACUUCUUACUUAGGCCUAUCUUUAGGUGUGCAUCACAAGUCUGUGGCUAUUUGGGAUGGGGUGGAAGUGAGAUUUCGGAAAAGACUUGCCAUGUGGAAAAGACAACUUAUCUCUAAAGGAGAGAGAAUCACUCUAAUUCGAAGCACAUUGUCAAGUAUGCCCAUAUAUUUGAUGUCUUUAUUGCGUAUUCCAAGAGUGGUUAGUUUAAGAUUGGAAAAAAUUCAAAGGGAUUUUUUGUGAGGAGGGGGAGCUUUGGAGAAGAAGUCUCAUAUAGUAAAGUAGGAUACUGUAUGUUUGGACAAAAGAAAAGGUGGUUUGGGAGUUAGACGUCUUUCUACUCUCAAUAGGGCCCUAUUAUGUAAGUGGAACUGACACUUUGCUAUUAAAAGGGAGACUUUUUGGAGGCAUGUCAUUAGUAAGAAGUUUGGGAAGGAAUAAGGGGGUUGGUAUACUAGGGAAGUAAGGGAGGGUUUUGGAGUAGGUUUUUGGAAGGAAAUAAGGAAGGAAGGGUCUCUUAUGCAAAACAAAGUUGUAUUUUUUGUGGGGGAUGGUAGAAAAGUGAAAUUUUGGAAAGAUAAAUGGUAUGGGAACUUCACUCUUUGUAAUUCUUUCCUCUCUUUGUAUGCUUUUGCGAUUUUUAAAGAGUCUUGGUUAGUGGAGUUGUGGGACUCUUCGGGAGAGGAUGGGGUUUGGAGCCUUAGGUUCUUUAAGCCCUUCAAUGAUUGGGAGGUGGAGAGAUUACUUUUGACAAUCCGGGAGGGAGGCUUAAUCCUAAUUUGGAAGAUAGAGUGCUAUGCAAAGAGACUAAGGAUGAGAUUUCUCAGUUAAAUAUCUUUAUAGUGCUCUAGUUUCAAGAAGUGUUGUUUAGUUUCCUAAUAGCAUCAUUUGGAGUCCCUGUGUUCCUACUAAAGUGGGUAUUUUUGCUUGGAAAGCCUCUUGGGGUAAGGUGUUAACUUUGGAUCAACUUAAAAAGAGAGGGUGAACUUUAGCUAAUAGAUGCUUCCUUUGUUAUGCGGAAGAAGAGUCUAUUGAUCAUAUUCUAAUUCAUUGCACAAAUGCAAGAGUUAUUGUUUGCUCUUUUUGGCAUAAUUUGAGUCAUUCCUUAUUCGAUUAGAGAUACCCUCCUUGGUUGGCGUGGUAUUAACAUGGGCAAGAAACAUAGAAAUGUGUGAAAUAGAGCCCUUUUGUGUAUUUUUUGGGCGAAAUAGGAUUGCAUUUGAAAAUGAGGACCUUUCGAUUCAUAGGUUGAAAAAUUAUUUUGUAUGUAACAUUUGGUUUUGGACUAAAUCGGUUGUAAAUGAAGGACCUCUUCAUUUAUUCAGUUUUUUUUUAUUGAUUGGGUUCUAGUUGAGGGCUGGUGAAUUUUUGUAUCCCCUCUUUUUUUUGUUUUUGCUUUUAAGCGCCUGUUGUAUACCCCCCGGUAUGCUUUUGGGUUAGCCUUAAGGUGCCAUUUUUUCUAAUAUAUAUAUUCUCUAUGUGUUUACUUAUAAAAUAAUAAUAAUAUACAUUUUAAUAUCUUAACUAGAUGAAGGAAAAAUAUAUAAAAAAAAGGAUAUAAUUAUAUUUGAAUAGUUAAAAGUAGUAUAUUUGAUUAAAAAAGAAAGAAAGAAAUGUUAAUUAUUUUUAAAUAAUUAUUUAAUUUAUAGUUUAUAAAAUUGAGAUGUUAUUUUAUGAGAAUUUUUCGUACGAGUGUAAGAAAAUACAAUUUUCCGAAAGAGCAGCGCGACUUUGUAAUAGAAAUGGAACAAGGAAGAAGUCUAAUUUAAAGUUUUGGGGCAAAACAACUGGUGGGACGACGUGGCAAGUUAUUAUUGGAAGAAGGAUGGUAUACUUGACGUGGCGAUGGUACACCAAGCACACUCUUCCAUUUCUGUUAACGUUCAUCUUGCCGGAACAAUAAGAAAACAGUCCGGCUUGAAACUGCACGCGCCACUUCAUCUCUUCUUCCAAACAUGCGCAGGUUCUGCUACACUCUUCUCGUCGUACUUGCGCUCCUCCCUCUUUCUACACUCGCACGCCCAUUCGUCCUCAUCCUCACCCCCGACGACCUCAGUGACACCGCACCACCGUCCUCCGAAUCCGCCGCGGACAGCGGCGACACGUCGGACUGGGAUGAGUUCGGGGACUCCGACGCCAGGCUCGACGACGAGCUCGACCCGGGCUCCUGGCGCCCGAUCUUGGAGCCGGAUUCGGGUCCGGAACCAAAGACUGAGGAUGAGGCGGUGUACUACUCCGGCGUGGCGAAGAUGAUCGCUGCUGCUAGCUCUGGCGGACCGAGGGUCAUGGAGGAGGCGGCAUCGGAGAUUGAAGCGGCCGCGACAGCGGGGAACCCCCUUGCGCAGUCGGCGUUAGGGUUUUUGUAUGAGACGGGCAUGAUGAGGGAGAGGAACAAAGCCAAGGCGUUUAUGUAUCAUUACUUUGCUACCGAUGGCGGUAACACGCAGUCUAAGAUGGUUCUUGCCUACACUUACUCGCGCCAAGAUGUGAGUGAAACCCUAGCUCUUUAAUUUUGUUUGAGUGGAUUUUGGUUCUGUUUGGUCGCUGAGGUAAUGGGAAUUUGAGUGUGGUGAUUUAUUUAUUUAUUUAUUAUUAUAAUUUUUGCAGAAAUUCUACUCAUAGUUAAAAUUCCAAAGCCUGUGGAAACCUUAUAUAUAGUUAUUAUGGGAGAGUUUUAUCGAUGCUGGAAACCUAGAUCUGGAAAUAGUUGAAAAAUCUAUAAGUUUCUCAUGUUCGGAAACCUAUCUGUUCUAUGCGGUUUCUGGUAAAAUUUAUGGAAGCAAAAUAUAGAAGGCUUCAAUUUUAGGUUUUUGGUCAUUUUGGUUUGGCCUUUAUUGUAAACUAGUUAACUUACUUUUCCUUGAGCAGUCUGAAAUCUAAUUUCAAAUGAAAGUCCUAGACCAACUUUCAACCAUGUAGAGUCUCAACAAUUCCAACUCAAACAUAGGUAGUUUUCCUAUCCAAUAUCAAAUUGAGGGAAUAAUAAAAAUUUAUACAAUUAAGCAUAAUACAAAAUGCAUCCAAAGGUUCUCCGAAUAGUAACAACGUAAAGCUUCAAUUACAAACAACCGUAUUGAAAUAUAAUAUUUUUCUCAUAUUUGGAAGUUCAAAGAUUUGCCAAUUUUCUGAUGUAUGGAAAUACUUGUUGAAAUUAUGACCCAUUUGACUGCCAAGAAAGAUGGGAAAGUGUAGAAGAUAGAUUGAUGCUUAGAGUUUUAAUCAUCUCAUCAAGCAUAAGUUUCUGUCUUUUCUUUUUCUUCCCUCAGUUUUCUCAGAAUGCAGACUGAGGUUUUUGAAAAAAAAUUUAUUUCCAAAUGUACUAUGGAAAACAAUUUAAGUGUUUGAAACUUUUGUAUGGAAACACAAGCUCUACAAAAUCAUUAUAGAAGUUUUUAUUUUCUUCUUAAUAGUCUUGUUUAUGAGUUUGGUGAUUGUUUGUUUUCAGAUGUAUGAUAAAGCGGUUGAGCUAUAUGCUGAAUUAGCAGAAAUAGCUGUGAACAGUUUUUUAAUUUCGAAGGAUUCACCAGUGAUUGAACCUGUUAGGCUCCAUAAUGGAGCUGAAGAGAACAAAGAGGCCCUGAGGAAGUCUAGAGGGGAGGAAGAUGAAGACUUCCAGAUCUUGGAAUACCAGGCUCAAAAAGGGAAUGCAGCAGCUAUGUAUAAAAUUGGGAUAUUUUACUACUUUGGAUUGAGAGGAUUGAGGCGUGAUCGUGCCAAGGCAUUGUUGUGGUUUCUAAAGGCUGUGGAGAAGGGGGAGCCAAGGUCCAUGGAACUUCUUGGGGAGAUUUACGCAAGGGGAGCUGGUGUUGAGAGGAACUACACUAAGGCGUUGGAAUGGCUAACGCUCGCAUCCCAACGACUCCCUUCAGCUUAUAACGGGAUGGGGUAUUUAUAUGUGAAAGGUUACGGAGUGGAAAAGAAGAACUACACCAAAGUAAGAGUUAUCUGUAUAUUUUUUUUACUGCAUCAUUCCAUGUUUCUUUAUCUUCCAUCUCACUUAUAUAGUUAUGCUUACUCAUUAGGUAUGUCUGUUUCUUUUUUGUAGCGAUGGUUUUCUUUUUUCACCUUCCAAGUUGCUUCAGCUAAGAUACUGCUUUAUGUUCAGUAUUAUUUUUUUGGUAUGGCUGUGUUUGCUCUCUAUUGUUAGUGGCAUUGGUUUGCUCCAGUUCGCAUCAUCUAGUGAGGAACACAAAUAUUAAGAAUCUAUUACUUGAAACAACUAAUGCAUUUAUACACGCCCCUGCUCUUUUCUUUACCAAAUAUAUCUCAGUACCACAUUCUCAACCUUAGAACAAAAGAAAAUUCCUUUUGUCUCAGAAGGAAAAAACAUACUUGUGUCUUUCUAUUUGAUACAAAGAUGCUCAAGGAUAUUGCUUGUAAGAUCAUAAAAUACUGGCAGUGCUCACUGUAUUUUAAAGAGUGCAAUAUGUUGGAAAUAUCCAUUUAAUUGUUUUGGUGUGGCAUGAAGAAGGCAAACACUUGGCAAAAACCAAAAUGAUUGAAGAGCACAAUGAAUGCAUCCGAAAUGUAAAAAAACUAAAAAUAAAAAUUCAAGUAGAUGAAUGGAGAUACUGUUUAUACUUUAUAAUUAUAUAGUUAUCAAAAAUAGCUGAGUUGUUUUCUGUUGCACUGCUAAAGAUGCUUGGCUAGCUGAGAUGUGGGAGCAGGAAUGGGAGAGAGGUUGUUGGAACUCCCGCUUCUCAAGACAAAUCCAUGAUUAGGAGCUUGAGUGGGUGAAGGCUUUCUUUAGAAGACUACAAGGUUACACUAUUAGUAGGGAAGUAGAGGACGAUAUAUUAUGGUUGAGUUUGAAGGGUAGCAAUUUCUCAAUUAAAUUUCUCUACUCCUCUUUAAAGGAUGUUAAUGUUGGACCAACUCAAAACAAAGGAGAUGGAAGUUGCUGAACAUGUGUGAUCUUUGUAAAGAAGAAGAAGAAACACCCCAUCACAUCCUUUUCCAUUAUGUAAAGGCAAUCAUCUUGUGGCAAAUUUUUUAUGCCCUAUUUGGAAUAAAGUGUGUGAUGCAUUCCUCAGUUAGAAGCAUCUUUUUGGGUUGGCAUGGAUCCUUUGUCAGGACAAAUAGGAAGAAAGCUUGAAAAAUGUCUUUUUAGUUUUUAUUUUGGACCAUUUGGAAGGAUAGCUUUUGAAAACAAUGAAAAUGUAGAUCAAAUGGUUGUUUAUGUUUAACUUAUUGGGGUAGGUUGGAGAGUACAUAGGUGAUUACUCAAUGUCUAGGCAGACUUCAUCGAUUAUUGAGCUUUAAAGAGGGAGCGACUAUUAUUUUUUAUGUCUCUCUCUUUGCUUUGUGUGGCUUUUUGGCAUGUUUUUAUACACUAUAUAUUUGUGCACUCUUUUUUUUUUCUUUUUUCUUUUUUUUUUAAAUAAAAAAAAAAACAUUUGUUUACAUGGAAAUAAAAUUGUAAAUGAAGGAUGAGAAAUCCUUCCCAACAAUUACAAACUCUAAUCAAAAGAAGGAGAGGAGAAGCCUUAUUCAAAAUACUAGGAAUUGCACAUUGAUAGAAUACCACAAAAUGCUAUAUUCCUCCCUUUUCUAUCCUAAUCCUUUGAUCCACAACACUUUCCGAUCAAGCUAAAUCACAUUGAUGAGAGUGCCCUUAAAUGCUUUGUAGCACAGGCCCAUAAGGAGAAGUAGAAAUAUUUAUUUAUUUAUUUUUUGAUAAGUAAAAGACAAAAGGAUAUUAUAUAUAAAGAGAAAAGGGCGCCCAAAGGACAGCUCAAAGCAUACCGGGAGUAUACAAGAGGUGCCUCAAGGUGAAAACCAAGAAGAAUAAGGGUUACAAAAACUUACCCACCCUCAUUUAGAACCCAACCAAUCAAAAAAGUUGAUCAAUGAUAAUGGACCUACAUCUAUGAACAACUUGGAGCAAGACCAAUAAUUUUUCAACUUAGAAAUAAAUUAGAUCUCAUAUCUUCUCUUAAGUCCUCCAUUUGUCUUAAAAAGUGAUUGCAUUUCUCUCUUGCCAUAUUAUCCAAAUCAAUGAAAGACAUGCCAUUUACUGUAAAACUUUGCCUCUUAUGGUUCUUCCAAAACCUUUAGAGGAAAUGGUCAUCAUGUCAUUUAUGCUUCUAGAAGGAAUCCGGUAUAGCAAGUGCCAAAGCCCCUAAAUCAUUGGGAAAUGUAAAAAGAAGUGAUCAAUCAAUUCUCCAUUAACCAUGCAUAUGGUGCAAUUAUUAAGACUAAGGGCUUUGAAAGGUCUUCUCGCUUGAAGUAAGCCAUUGGUAUUGACCUUCUGAUGCUAUACUAUCUUUGUGAUGGGAAGAAAAUAGUGUUUUCUUAAUUAAUGUUAUUCCUGUCUCUUUCAGUUUUUCAUUUUCCAUCCCAUUGCUUGAGGAAAAUUCUUAGAUAACUUUUCUUUCCCUUCCCAUUUUCCUUGUAAGAAUAAGAUUUAGAUUUAUAUUUAUCUGUGAAGGGCAAGAGGAAAUGAAAGCUGUUCUUCCACGAAAUAAUUUCAACAACAGAGAAAGUAGCAUACCUCAUUGUAGAACUUUGUUAAUUUUCAGCAAUAACUGCCCUCUAGUUACCAUAUUUGUUAGUUCCUAAGUUUUCGGCACUUGCUGACUCUCUUUCAUUGCAGGCAAAAGAAUACUUUGAGAAGGCUGUUGAUCAUGAUGAGGCUGGUGGGCACUAUAACCUAGGUGUAAUGUAUCUCAAAGGAGUUGGAGUAAAAAGGGAUGUGAAGCUAGCUUGCAAUUAUUUUAUAAUGGCAGCUAAAGAAGGGCAGCCAAAGGCAUUUUACCAGUUGGCAAAGAUGUUCCAUACUGGUGUGGGGCUUAAGAGGAAUCUUCCUAUGGUAAGUUGGGAUUCCCGUGUUUGUUUUCUUUUGUUUAAUUGCCUUUACCUAUUGAUAAGCUUUAUUUUUUUAUUAAUCUACAUGAUUCAUUAUUCAUGUUUCUUUAUCUUUAAUCCAGAUCCCUUUUGGUGGAAAUUUGCUUGAGAAAAGCUCAAGAUAUCUAUGUCCUAAUAUGUGCAAUAUUGUCAACUAUCUAUUAGAUAAUUUAUGCUUUAUGCUAGAGUAAUAUUUCAUUUUUCAUUUUAUAUUUUUGCAUCAUGGUCAUAAACAGCUGUGUAUUUUAUAUAAAAAUAGGUAUUGCACGCUAAUAUGCUAUAAUUUGAAAUGAGAGCAACCUUACUUGGUCUAAAAUUUUCACAAGUCUUGCUGGGUGACAGAGGGAGGGAGGGAAAAAGGUUCAGACCAUAGAAUUUUUUUUUAAUUACCCUUUGAUAUCAUAAAUAGGUUUCCUAAAAUCCCUGGAUGCAUCAUUUGUCAGGUCCGAGGAUGAUUUUUCAGAGUCCUGUAUCUCUGUUAAAUUAAGUUUUUAAAAUAUAAGUACACAAAAUUGUUUGGCAUGAUACAUUUCCCAUAUAGUUUGCCGAGUUAAGCUUCCAACAUCAUCUAGUUUGAUUCAGAUUGGAGUCAUAAUAAAAAUGAAUAUUUAAUUGUUAAUGAGCUAUACAAUCUCAAUCUCUCUCUCUCUUCCUGAUUGGCAUUUUUUUUGCUUUAAUUUAUUUAUAUUUUUGGUACAUGAAAUUGAAUAUGGAAGUUUCUCAUUUCCAGCCCGACUCAGGCUGCAAUAAUAUUUGAAAGUUAAUAAUAUUAGUUAUGGAGUACCUAGAGAGGGUUGAAUAGGUAGUUAUUUCUUUUUAGCCCAAAUUAUUAUUUUUAAAAUUUCACUUUAAGAAUUAGAGAUGAAGUUAAUAAAUUUAAUUGCAUAAGGAGACAACGAUUUACGUGGGGAAACCAUCCACAAAGUCUCUCAUAGACUUUGCGGAUAUAAAAAUCAUGAGGUCAAAGAUCAUGAAGCUAUAAUUCACUAAAUAUGAAGAAGAGGUACAUAGAUUUACAUAGUGGUUGCUAUUUCUUGAGACUGAUAUCCCUGAGAACCUACACCUAAUCUCACGUUUGUGAUGCAACACCGCCAUGCUUCUUGGUGGACUCUUUAGCACCUUAAGGGGAUGCAAAUCUCUCUUACAAACCCAUAAAUAAAAAUGAGCACCUUUGAGAAUUUCGGGUAAAGUGCAAAAAAUAAUGACUUUAAGUUUAGGCACACGAGUUCUCGAAAGAACUCUCCUAAUAGACAUAUAUUAGAGAAAGCCUUGUGGACUUGGAGUCAAUUUAUAAAUCAUAUUUUACCAAAAAACAAUUUAGGAAACUUAAGAAUCUUAGAAAUAUUUGGAAAUAUUUUUUCGAUUUUUUUGAAGUUAAAAAAAUAUUUAGAAAGAUUUUUCUUUUUAAAAUUCUUAAUUUAAAUUUCUUUCCAAAUUUCUUAAAAGAUUUGGAAACAUUAUCCUUUUUAAAUUCUCAAUUUAAAAUUCUUUUCCAAAUUAAUUUUAUUAUUUUUAAAAAAUUCUUUUAAAAUUUUCAAUUUAAAAUUCUUCAUUCUAUGUCUUUUACAUCAUUGUUCUUACUUAACUCAACUAUAUUUAUUGGUUUAAUCUCAGGUUGAUUCUGUAGCAACCUUAAAUCUUCAAAAGGAGUAUAUGCAGAGUUCUAACCAGGAUGGAUAGAACAAAAUUGUCAAUUUAAUCGAAAUAACCUAAUGCACUAACAAUGUUAAUAGUGCUAAUGGGUUUUACUAUCCAAAUGGUUGAUUAUUUGACAAGUUGAGUGUUGGGUAUUUGCCAUUUUAUUUUUGAGAAUUAAGUUCCAUAUAUUAAUUGUCAAAUCAUGAUUUAGGUUCAUGGGAUUUGGGGGCAUUAUAAAGUGGAUCAUGAAGAUGGUUAAUCAUGGUGUGGGAGAUGGAAUUAAAGGUUGGGUGUAAUCAAUUUCCAAUGAUUAUAAAUGAAAGGAGGUUGCUUCUCCAGUGGUUUAUGAGUUUUGCACAUCCUUUUGUGUUAAAAACCAGGUUAUGACUAGUAUGGAUUUUGAACCCAUCACAUUUUGGCCCCCAUUCAAAUUGGUUCUAAGGAAUUUAAUCAGUGCCCGAUCAUUAUAAAGAAAGUUGCUUCUUGGGUGUGUUGUGAGUUUUGCAUGUCCUUUUGUGUUAAAAACCAGGUUAUGACUUGUAUGGGUUUUGAACCAUCACAUUUUGGCCCCCAGGUAAAUUGGUUCUAAGGAAUUCUGUUCAAACGUAGAGGUGGACUUGUUUCCACCUGGAGAGACUAUUGAGGAGGUGAAAGAUGUUGAUGAGGAGACUUGAAGGUUUUUUGGAUGUGUAGAGAGUUGCAAAGCUUGUGAGAAUGAGCUCUUAACAAUCACAGGUGAUGAGGAAUUGGAUCCUUCUGCUGUAUCAAGAUCCCAUGUGACAAAGAGUUGGAUCCUUUAUGGGGCUUAUAUAUCUUCAUUCUACCUGGGAAGGUGGGAUGGGUUGAGGUGGAGGGAUUCUGAUGAAAGGCAGAUUUCAGUAAGAUUGUUUCUCCAGGUAUUGUCUUUUGGUGGGGAUGCCAUAUCCCUAGCAUCGAACACUUGGAGUUCAGCAAGCCCUUAAAAAGUGGCUUUCAUUGUUUGGAUAGCAGUCAGGAUAAGAUUUGACUAUUGAACACUUGAAGUAUCAAAGAUGGAGCAUGGCUAAUUGAUAUUGCAUUUGCAAAUUAAUUGAGUCAGUUAACCAUCUUUUGACUUGUUCUCUGAUUGCUUGAGAUAUUUCAUUUCUAUGCUUUUUAGGUUAGUUGGAUUCUUCCCAGGAUGAUGAUAGAUGUGCUUUCAAGCUACCAUGUCUAGUUCAUUAAAAGAUAUAGGAGGAGUGGAGUAUUACUGCUUUAUGUUUGGCUGAGUAAUUUUUGGAAGGUAUGGAACAAAAGAAUCUUUUAGUGGUUUGAAACUUCUGAAAGCAAGAUCAAAGUACUUGUGUGAGAUCUUUGCAUAUUCAAACAGGGAGUGUUUUCUGAGUUAGCACUUAGGAGGCAUUCUGUCUAAGCUUUUGUUAGUAGUAUGAGCUAUUUGACGGGUUGGGGUUGUUGUAUGUUAUCAUUGCUCCUUUCACUAUGCCAUCUGGAUUUUGGUCUGUUUUAGAUUUCUCAUUGUUUUAUGUGGGUGCUUUGCAUUUUUUUCACCUGCAUUGGAACUCUUGAGGUGCUUUUCCUAUUAUUUAUUGGCAAUAAAAAAUAAAAAUAAUCAAACUAAGUUUACAUUUCACUCUCUCUUAAGUGUCAACUAUUAGAAUGAUGAUAUGCUGAAAGUUAAUAUAAUUAUAAUUAAUGGUUCUUGAUUUUAGUGGUUUGACUCAUCAUCUUCAUUAAUGUGAUCGACCUGAGAUUGUACAUAUGCUCAUGUAUGAGGUUUUGAUUUUUUUUUCCUGAUAUCUACUUUUGUCUUCAUUGGCUAGAAGCUCUUGUUCUUCCAUCUAUUUGAAAAUGAACAUGGCCUAUCUGUGUUCUCCCCCUAUUUUCUAAAUCACCAGAAGAUGGAAUAAUACCGAUGAUUUUCUUAUGUGAUUAUUGUAAACGAAGUGGAACUGACAUAUCAAUUCACCAAAAUAAAGAA
Molecule: long non-coding RNA, 93578 nt
Filed under: Vitis vinifera (wine grape)
Lineage: Eukaryota; Viridiplantae; Streptophyta; Magnoliopsida; Vitales; Vitaceae
Description: long non-coding RNA (VVIN_LNC005626)
Rfam family: Small nucleolar RNA SNORD96 family (bases 65176-65267)
Source: RNAcentral